Molecule: long non-coding RNA, 140756 nt
Filed under: Eucalyptus grandis
Lineage: Eukaryota; Viridiplantae; Streptophyta; Magnoliopsida; Myrtales; Myrtaceae
Description: long non-coding RNA (EGRA_LNC000702)
Source: RNAcentral
CUGAUUGAAUUUAAGUCCCAAAGUAAGCCUUGAUCAUUACAUAGACCAACCAAACCUGUAAUAGAAGCAGCACCAGUUUACCUUGCUUGAUAUAUUUCAAGACAACAUUUUGACUACUGGUAAUUUUAAGAAAGGCACACAUUCAUAUAUGACAGACUAGCCAAAACUACUUUAACAUUUCUUAAUCACCAACCAAAAAUACACCGAUUCUCGUUCAAGAAAAAGACCCUAUAUAAACUCCAUCCACACUAGAGACUCAGACAAACCUUUGAUCGAAAAUUUGCAUAAAAACAACUCAAUACUCCACUCCAGAACCCAGUACUUGAUUGAGAAUUUGCCAAGCGGUGCGAGCUCCAUGCAUCCACCUGAGCGAAUCUGGAAGGGGAAAAGUAAUGCUGCUCUUCAAGAAUGAACUGGUCUCUCUACUUGGUUUUAGGUAUGAAAAUGUACAUGGUUGUGUCUCUUCUGCUUUUAGAUUCAUGCUUAAAUAAAUCAAUAUGACCAAAGCAAUUGCAAAAUGCCUACAUAUGAAUUUUCCAACGUAACCAGCCUAGAGAGAUCAUUUUACACUAAUGAACGCCUGUAUUUUGUGUUCUAAGUUCUUCCAAAUGAGAAACUAUUGUCUUCUUGAAAACCUUUAAUUUGAAACUCUUGGCUACAAUUGACAGAUUAUUUGCUGAUUCCACGGCAUUUGCUUUUUCAAGAAAAAAGCCUCUCCCAGUCUCAAAACUGCAGCUUGAAGUGGACAUCUAGAUGGUACUCUUGUUAACAAAUCUCAAUUUUUGCUUGACUUCACAUAUAGAACCACUUGCACAUGCGGUCUUCCUCCAAGCAAUUAGUGAUGGGGCCUUAGUUAAAGAAUAGCACGAUUUCAAAGCUUGCAAAGGACUAAUACACCACAUGAGAAGAGGUUGCCUUUAUCAAGAAUCAUUCGAGGAGUAUUAACAACAUGAAGCAAAUGAUAAACGCCAAUUGCAAAUAACUUUGGAAUGCCUUUCCAUACUGACAUAGCUCAUUCUUGCCCAUACCUCCAACCUGCAGUGUUUGGGGAGUUUCUCUGAGUUUCAUCAAAUGUAGCUUUCAUCUGCAUAAGAAGGAUAGCACCGACUAAUUAUAAUUAAAUGAAGAUAUCCAAGAUCAUAGCAUCAGAAUUUACCCCAUAACAGAUAAGGUAAAAAUGUGUAAACAUUGACACCAAUCGGAGUUGGACCACAAUGAAGAGCAUUAGCUGGCCAAUGACAAAGAAACCAACAGACUUAAAAGAAGUAAACAUUUAGCAACACUUUCCCUGUUUGUGUUUAGGAACAGAAUUGAAGCUAAAAAAAUUAUGCUGAAAAUGUGAAGUGCCUAAACUAUAGAACAGAAAGAUGCAUUUGCUACCGGGUUAUUUUGCAAGUUCCAAUUAGCAAAAUCAGCAAAGCGGAAUAGUUUGCGAGGAGAUCAAUUUCAACUUUACAAAUCCAAUGCCACAUACUUCAGAACUGAGCUUAUCAAAUCAGAAACCUAUAUUACAACAUUCAAAGGAUAUCAUCACACGAAUAAACUAAUAGAAAUGGAGGAGCCUAGCAAUGCAUACCUCCCUCUGCAGAGCCUCAUCAAUUCCGAAGUGAUAUAAUUAGAAUGCAACCACGUCGAACAACUGUGCAUCAGGGUAACAUGCAAAAAAUCAGUAGCUUAGUAUUUGAUGAAAGGAGAGCUAGAACCUAAUGAGCAUACAGAAAGCAUAUUUAAUUGAAAAAAAUACAUUUACAAUUAUUUAGGGAUGUGAUGUUGAGAUCAGAUCAAGUAUUUGAAUAUGCAGAAGCAUCAAAACUUCCUUGGGACACUCCAGCCAGCCCCAAAUUGUCUUUCAGUUUGGCAUGCAAGAUGGUCCUCAGCUGUUGCUGAUGCUUCCUCUACAAAAUCCCUCUUCUUUAUUUUGAUUGGUCUCAAGUAUGGAAUUUGAAGUUCCUCAGCCAAGUUAGCUACGCCUAAAUCAGAUGAUAAAACAAUUCCAUGGCAGCAAUAGGAUCAAAUGUGAUGCAAACCAAUUAGCAAAUUCUUGAGCCCCUCAUCCCAGCUUGUUUCACAGUCCGGGGAAAAAAUUUCUAAUUAUGCAAAAGGUCAUCAACACGGUUGAUUAAAUUGAAGUCCCAAAGUAAGCCUUGAUCAUUACAUAGACCAACCAAACCUGUCAUAGAAGCAACACCAGCUUACCUUGCUUGAUAAUAUUUCAAAAGAACAGUAUGACUACUAGUAAUGUUAAGGUGGUCUACAUUCAUAUAUGACAGACUAGCCAACACAACUUUUAACAUUUUCUUUGUCACCAAACAGAAACACUUGAACCUUGAAUUUUAUUUUAGCACAGUUCAUCAUAUUCCCAGAAGCGAUGAUCUUCUUAGAAGGUUAAUGAGGGACAUCAAGGGUACAAUAAGAAACUUGACGGGGGCUUCGUUCAUUACGGAAAAUCAAAAGGUGUUUGUCCCAAACAGGAUAUCUGCCAUUAGUCAAAUUUGACAUACAAAAGAACUUACAAAGGAACUCAAAAUGGCCAAGGACAUUUUUCAAAGAAAAUAUGAACAUUGGACAUUGGGAAAUUCCGAGCGUAGUAUACAAUAUCGAGUAGUAGAAGUUCAUCAGCCUGUAGAUGAAAAUUUCAAAUCCCGGGUUUUUCGAUAAGGGAAAUGUUAAUUACUAGGUAAUUCCUGUUUAUCUUUGUUGGUAUUUAUAUUCUUGCCUUGCAAGCUGCUAUAUGUUUGCAGUCUCCAAAAUCUGGCAAUGGAAGAAUAAACAAAAAACAUUGCUAUAACGUAAUCAACAGCAAUAAUAGAGGCAAAUCCAGAGUUUCCAAAAUCAGUCAAAUAGAUACCUAGUGUAGAGCAAAUCAUUCUAAAAAUUUCUCUUAUCACUCAUGCCAGCAAUUCAAGGAUGAAGAAUCUUACUAUGCUUUCUAUUGGGUCUACAUUGUGAUCUUGACUGAAGCAUCAUGUCUGCUUCUUGCCAGCUCCCCCACUCCUUCAAUUAUGUAAGACUAGCAAUUUAGACCCUGUCAUGGAAAGCCUUCUUCUCAGAAGAAGAUAGUUAUGUAAAGUUGGUCAUGAAUCUCAGAAGAAAAAUGAUUGUUCAUUGCUUAUUUACCUCUGUUGAAGAAACAUUACUCCUCUCACUGUUGUAAUAUGGGUGUAAGAUUUAUCACAUCAUUAUCACUGCAAGAUAAUGUUUCCAGAGAGAACUAAAAACAGAGGAGGUAGUUCAUAAUUUCUAAAGAUGCGCGUUCCAGAUAAGUUAGGUAUUGCUUCCAAUGAGUCACAACCAGAAAUAUCCAAAUCAAUUAAAUUCAACUUUUCAAGCCCCCAAAGCUGAGUAAGUUUCUUGCAGUCUCGAACUCUUAGAGAUUGUAACUUCUCACAUCCCGUCAAAUCUGGCAAAGUCUCCAUUGAUUUGCAUCCUGUAAAAUCCAACUCUUCUAAGAACUUUGCACUGUCAAGACCUUGAAUUUCGACUAAAUUGUUGCACCCAACAGCCACUAAUUUCUUCAAACACCAUGAUUUAUGACAGAUAAGACUUUUAAUGGAAUUGCAGUCAAAUAAAAAUAUGACCUCCAAGGACUCCAAAUUAUCAUUGCCCCAAAUUCCAGCUAGGCUAUCGCAAUACUCAGCGCGUAUCGUUUCAGAUGAACCAAUCGUGAAAGGGUCAAUUUUUCAAUGGAAUUGCACUUUUUUAUUGAAAGCUCUUCCAAGUGCAUGAGUCCGCUGAGCCAAAGUGAUGUCAGCUUAUCCCACUCCUCAAAGCAGAGUUUCAAUGAUAUUGAGGAUGGUUCGCGGAUGUCUUCAAGUAAAUGGCGUACCUCAAGAUGGAGUUGUUCUAGGCAGAUCAGGCUAAAAAGCUGUGGCAGUCCAAGACUCUGACAAGUGACCGACAGAUCUGUUAAGCCCAAAGGAAGCUCUGGCAGCGACUGAAGCUCAUCACAGUCCCUUAGGUCAAGGCUUAGGAGAGAAGAAAGAUUCCGGACACUUUCUGGCAGGUCAGGUAUCGGUGUAAAUGUGAGAUCGAGAAUCUCGAGGGAAGGCAGGUCGCCGAUUUCACUUGGAAUUGCCCCUUUCAGACUACGGCACCAUGAGAGAUGUAGAGUCCGCAGAUUUUUCAUCCUUCCAACAGCACUGGGAAGCUUUUCGAUCGCAGAACCACUCAAGUCAAGAUGUUGCAAAUUCUUCAAAUCCUCAAUUGAGCUAGGAAUUUCUCUCAGUGACCCACAAUAGCGGGCACUCAGUUUCUCCAGCUUCCUCAAAAAACCAAUAGACGUAGGAAUCUCUCUAAUACCAGAUUCAUUUAAUAAAAGUUCUUCUAAAUCUUUUAAUUCGCCCACCUCCUCUGGUAGCUCCUUCAGACUUCCACAGCCAUUCAAAUCCAAGGUAACAAGGCUCACGAGUUUGCCAAUAGAAGGGUGGAGAUGCUUCAGUCCACCACAAUUGAACAAGAUGAGAAUCUUCAAUUGCGUGAAAGCCGAGAGAUUAGGAAUACGUCUUAAAUUAGGGCACUGUCCAAGGUCAAGAACUUUAAGCCGCUUUGACGCCUAAUACAAAAGGAGAAUAAGCUAUCAAAGAAUAGUUGAUUGGCUAAAUAAGAACAAAAUCUUAAAAUCGCAGUUGCCUUUUUUUCCUAAUCUUACCGUGAAUGACCUCCAUCCUCGCCAGCCCUCUGUGAUGUCGCUUGAUGAGAAAUCCAACACCGAUAAUUUCGGUAAAUACAAAUUAGUCGUCGAAAAAGACAAAUCGCUUCGCUUCACCGUCCACUGAAGCCAUCUCACUUGAGAAAGGGGUCCGUCGUUGGAGUUUCCGCUUGGAUCAGCCCGCAAAAUGUCGCAGAACCAGGAGGCACGUCCCCCCAAAAUUUUGCGGAACCAGGAGGGGAACCUGGAGGGGCGUCUCUGCGAGUUUUAUAACUUUUCAGUUUUUCCUGUUCUUAAAUCUUGGAUUUUGCACAAUCUGUAACCUUUCUAUCCUUCCCGUGUACAAAUAAGGACACGUUAACUCACAUUUAAUUUUUUUUAACGACCUUUCGAAAAUUGAAUAAAUGACGUGAAAAUAAAAAACAAUGGUCAUUGCUUUAAAACAACUAAGGCAAAUGCAACUCAAUGUUUUAUCUUUUCCUUUUCUCCUUCAAAUUUUGUAGCACAUGCACUUUGACUUUUAUUUAAUACUAAAUACAUGAAACCAUUUUACAACAUACAAAUGUUUACCUAUAAAUUUUCAUGAUUUUUUUUAUAAUUUUUCAAAAGAAUUUAUUAAAGAGUGCUGGUGGGCCACCUGUAAGUAGGCUAUAGAAGCAAGUGGUUUUCAUUUCAUUAAUUAAAUGUAAUAAUGCCGAAGAGAAAAAAUGGGGAAUUUUCAAUAUAUUUCGAUAUAUAUAUAUAUAUAUAUAUAUAUAUAUAUAUAUAUAAUAUCACAUGGAGGGCCUAUUUAUAAACUUAAUUGUAGAAAAAGCUAAAAAAAAUCAAAGAAAUUCGAAUCAAAUAUGCAUAAUAAAAAAAUAUAUAAAAGAUCAGAGAAAAUAUCCUAAAUAUCUCUAGGAGAUAUCUACAUAACUUUAACAUCAUUAACUGUUUCUGUGAAGCGUUUAAUCAUUUCUUUGAAAACUGAAACGUUUUUUUCUUUUUCUGUUUAGUAUGUUUAAAAAGUGCUGUGGCGACAAUGGACAAUAGUGUAUAAAUCAUGUCAUGAGGCAGCCCAAAUGGACAAUUUAUAACAAUAAAAUGACAUGAACAUUGAUGAUUUAACUAAAAAGAUUGGAUUCAUACUGAGCAUCAUUAUACUCAAAGGUAUAGAUAUAACAACAAGUAUGACAUUUCCUCUAAUUAGUCAAGUUUUCAUAGAUUUUUUAUGACAAACAGUUGUAUGUGCUAUAAGUAAUUUGUAGUGGAUAUGAAUGUUUGUUAUAAGAAAAUCCACUUUUUAUCAUACACCUAACCUAAUCCAUGAAAUGAGCAAUGUCAAUGUGAUAAAACCUUAAAAAACACUAAGAUUUUCCUAAAAAUACUUUUAAGGGGAUUUUUGUUAUCUUAUCUAUUAAAAGAAAAUAAGAAUUAAAAGUGAUAGAUAUAACUAGUAGAGUAGAGGGAUGUGUAUCUUCAAAAUCAAAAUGGAGAAAAAAAUAUCAAACAUUCGAUUCCUAAAUCACAAGAGUACCACCAAUACAUUUGGCCAUACUAGUAAGCCAGAACAUGUGAUAAGCGUGAAACUUUUUCCAAUCUUAUUGUUUUGAAUUUAUUAUUGGUUAUUAUAAUUAGCACAUGCUAUCUUUUUUUUUUUUAAUUGAGAAAUCUUCAUUUAUCCGAUCUAUGAUGUUUAUACUUCAUCUUCAUUGAUUAUUGUAGUCCAUUAGAUUAUCAAUAUUUUCAACUAGAUAUGACAAUUACAUGCUUUUAGUAAAUGAGAUUUAUAGUGUAAAUUGUAGUUAAAGGAUCUUAAAUUGAUUGUCAAUCAAAUCUUUACAAAUGUAAUUUAUAUCAAUGAAAUUGAAUCAAAUGAUAUAACUUUUUCAUCCUUCAGAUACUUAUAACCCAUUUAGCCGUCACAAUAAAUCUAAGAUGGACAUAAAUGGAUGUUUACUCCUAGAAAGCAAGAGGAGAUGUCAAUCCUAGAUGAAAUAUUAGAAUAUAUUAGAUUAAAUAUAUUAAAAUAAGCAGGAGCGAAAAAAAGAAAAAAAGUAGUGCCAUAUUUUACCAAUUCAAAGCUUCUUAGUACUUUUCGGACUCCCCCGUAGUUGUGGUCCCAUGGUCCGCUACAUUUCUCAAGCAAUUGUCCUUGGCAAAAAAUACUCCUUCCAAGUUCUCUCAGUUGAUCAUGCAUCUGAAACUUACCAUUCAUAUCAAUUUUAAUUAAGCACCUCAACUUCAACUCUUCAAUACCAUGAUUUGGAUAAAGCCCACAGUCCUCCCACAUGUACAUGGCGAAUCUGCUCCGUUCGCCAAUAAAGAAACAAACAAUAUCGAGAAAAAUCUGCUUAUGUCCAUCUUCUAAUGCAUCAUAACUUAUUCGCAAUAUCUUUUGGACAUCUCUAUGCGGUUUGUAUUUUAAUUGCUCCCGCACAUCUUCCCAUACUUUUCGAUUCGUUUUUUUAUACAAGUAUGAACCUACAACCUGAAGUGCCAAGGGAAGCCCAUCCAUGUUGUCUAUGAUAUCACGAGAUAUACCCUCAAACUCCUGUGGAGAGUGGUCCAUACAAAAUGCAUGUUUAUUAAACAAAAGCAAAGCUUGCACCUCAUCCAAUUCAUCCAAUUCAUACUUGUAGUCUACCUCAAAUUUAGAUUGAUCAAGAAUGGCUUUGUUUCUAGUUGUAACAAUGAUCACACUUCCUCUCAUAAACCAAUGACAUUCCCUAGCCAAUGCAUCUAGUUGACUGUUGUCAUCUAUAUCAUCCAAAAGAAUGAGAACCUUUUUCCUUUGAAAUCUAGAUUUGAUUAUACUGAUUCCAUCAUCAAUUCUAGAAACUUUUGUUUCACAUAAUAAUACAUCAUUUAUUAGUUGACUCUAUAGAUACAUAAUACCGUGGCGCCUGGUAGUUUCUCGAACAUCUGGAAGGAAGCUGACAUGCACAAAUUUAUUUAAGAGCUUAUUGUAGAUGCACUUGGCAAGAGUUGUCUUGCCUAUCCCGCCCAUGCCAUAAAUUCCAAUCAUUCGAGCAUUGGUGGAAGGAUUGUUGAUCCAAUUCAUAAUUUCGUCUAUAUGAUUAUCAAAUCCAACUAGUUGUGGAGGCACAUCCAGCUGAAAAUCUUUAUGUAACUUCCUUAUAAUAGUUUCAACCACAUGCUUAAUUAAUUCUCCCUCAUGCCUGUCAAACAACAAAAACAACGACUGAAAAUCUUGUCACAACUUGCUUAGAACAUUUUCGGUAACUUUUUUCACCAAUUCUCCUUCAUGCCCGUCCAACAAAAAAAUUCACAGAUAAUUUCGUGAUUAUACUUAAUCUCAUCAAAAGGCACCGACAGACGUGAAGAAUGGAUGGACCAAUUAAAAUGCAAGAUGUUUUGGUUUUACAAAUAACAACCGGGGGAUGAUGGCCAGCGGUCAUUUCAUUUUUUUCUUCUCUCUUUUGCUAGAUGGAUCUUGUUGAAAGAAAAUAAGGCUGUGCACCUGGCUCGUUAAGAGUCUUUAGAAGUGUAAUGUUUGUUACAAGGCUUAAGAUUGCUGCUAGUUAAAUGAUAGGAGGUCAAUUUUGUUUUAAUUAAAAAAGAAGUUUAGGAGAAAACUAUGUUACUCCACCCUAAGGACAGGGCAUCUCACGUGUCAAAAUCGAGGACUUAUAGUUGAUUUACAAAUCGCUAUUGAUGGGGUCUAUUGACAGUGGAAAUCAAACCUAGACAUGGUAAAUGUGAAGUGUCCGGUCCUUUUGACCUAAGCCAACUUCCAUUCGCAUGAGGAGAUCUAUUUUAUCUGGUGGUGAUAAAGCUUUGAAAUACUAAGCAUUCGAGUCCUUUCUAAGCGUAUUGUUUGGUGAUUGACACUAUUGGCCAGAGGGGUAGUCAUUUCUUUGAUUUUGCUCUGUUGGAGACAACUGCAGUUCGUCUGUUUCGCAUGAACAAGAAAAUUUACGGGAUAAUUACUAAAAAAGUCAUAAAUUUAUUAUAAUUAUAUCUAUCCAGUUUUAAUUUUUUUUAAUUAUAAUUACCAAAAAAAAAACAUUUUGAAAAUAUGCUAAUACAAUCUAUCCAAUCAAUUUUGACUAAAAAUCGCUGAUAUGGACGUCGGCCAUCUUAUGUGAUACCGCUGGUAUUGACGUGGAGAAUUUUUAUAACUUUUUAUUAUUUUUUGUUAACUUUGUUGGAUUUGUUUAUAUUUUUCUUUUUGUUCUUUCUUCUUCUUUUUUUCCCUUCUUCCUCUACAGUCGCCGGCCAUAGAUGACAGCCGCCUCACCGUGAGGGCUGACCCCGCCAAAAUCUGGUCGUUCUAGUGGUCCUAUAGAGAAUCGCAAGGAGGGAGAGACUGAGAUUUUUCCAACAAGAGAGGGCCGUCGUUGGGUCAGAUGAGGAGGUACGCAAGCAGCCAUAACGUGCUGGCAAACUUCGACUGGACGACCCAGGUGGCGCCGGUGGACGCAGCAGAGCAGAGGAACUGUUACUUUGGCAACAAAGACAGACGACGAGCAAGAUGAUGACAACGGCGACGAAGUAGUGAUUCCAUUUUCGGCCGCCAUUUUGGUAGGUGGAGUGGAGUCGAAGGCGAAGAAGGAAUUGAAUCUGUGGAAGAGACGGACAAUGGCUCACCCUCAGCCACUUCGCUUGCGACAUCCCCAUUAAUUCUGCAAAUAUAAUCGUGUUCUCGAAUGAUUGCUUUCCUGGAUUCCCGAUUUCUGAUGUUCUUCCUUCUUUUUUUAGGGUUAUUAGUUUGUGUUGGCCUGACCUCUUUAGAAGGACCAGAUUCCGGCGAGGUUGGCCCUUGACAGGGAGGGCGAGCCUCACCAACCCUAGUCUGUGGCCUGUUGCCGGCCAUCAAGGAGGCCAGCAGCCGGAGAGAAAGAAGGGAUUUCUAGCUAAAUUAACGAGAUGGACUAUAUUGGUAGAUUUUCAAUAGGUUUAGGACUAAAAUGGCUAAAUAAAAAAGUCACUGUUAUAAUAGGUUUAAUAUUUUUUUUGGGUAAUUUCCCCAAAAACUUAUGAAAAAAGAGAAGUUUAGGUAGAAGCAAAGUACCCGUCAUCAACUUUCUGAGACUCCCAUCCCUGUAAAUGACUCACUUCUUCGAGUGCUUGCUGCACUUUCUGGAUGUCCUCCUCAUCAAAAUGCUUCUUACAUGAACGAAAGGCCUUCCCAAAGUUUCCUUUUAGAUGCCCCACAUCCGAUGGGUCCACUUUAUAAAAGAUGGGCAAAACUGUGUGUGAUGGGCUCUUCGCACGAUCCAUGAUAUAAAUAAGCUCUCGGAGGCACCAUUUGCUUGAAGCAUAAUUUUCGGAGAUGAUGAGAAUCGAAAUCUUAGACCGAGCGAUGGCAUUAAGAAUUUGUGGACCGAAUUUCUCACCAAUUUGGAUGCUCUUAUCAUCCUUGAACACAAAAACUGGUGCAAUUCCUACCUUGACUAGAUUGUGAUAGAGGUGAUCGGUGAAUCCCUUGCGGGUAUCUGACCCUCUAAAGCUCAAGAACACAUCAUAAUGAUCCUUACCUAUUCCUUCGAGUGUUGGAGAGAUUUUCGAAGGUGUGGGUGCUCUCUUCUUCUUCUUGAGAAGAUAGAAUGCAAGCACGCUGAAAAGAAUCGUCGCGGUAAGCACCGCGGAAGAACGCCCCAUUACGAAAGGGUGCAUCCUUUUGUUUGUUUCGGUGUGGCUCUGCCCUUAGUCUAUGGCAAUCUGAGGGGGAAAGUUGGGAAGAAAGAUGCUCUUCUGCUGCAUAAAAGGAUUCAUAACUAGUCUCUAUCAAGUAUGAACAAGUAUGAACAUGAAAUCUUUUACCAAGCAAGAAAAAAAUAAACAUGAAAUCUUUAAUUAAUUAGUAUUUGAUUGACUAGGAGCAGUUGCAUGCUUUUAGUCUUUGCGUUAUCUUCUUUUGCACAUCAUCCUUUAGUCAAGUCAAUCUUGCUGGCUUUGGUCUCCUCACGUGUAACGUGUACAUUAAUUUCUUAAUUGGGCUAUAAAAUACUAGAAUCUAUGUACAAGUAUAUCGCAUGCAUUCAAAAUUAUACGUAGUGGUUUAGUUGUUACUUGGUUAUUGAAAAUAAGAUUUUGAAAAAUCAUUUUUUCAAAGAAUUUCUUAAAUCAUUUAAAAGCUGAUAAUUGAGUUGAGACAAAAUUGGCAAUGUGGGGAGGACGUGAAGAAAGGACCUAGCUAGUAAUUAUGAAUGUGAUUUUAAAUUUAAUUUUGCCAUAGAUUUCUCCUCCUGCACAGCACAAAGCCUCCCUUCUCCUUGUUUAUCUGCUCCUCUCGCCGACACAUUCUCUCUUCCCCCUCUCUCCUUUCGUUUUUUUCUUUCUUUUCCUCUUUCUCCUUUCUUUUGCUCAUUUCUUUUCCUUUCUUUCUUUUCUUCUUUUCCUUUUCGACUCUAAUGUAUUUUCUUUUUCUUUUUCUCAUCAUUUCAAACUCCACUUCACCUAAUAUUACUACCUUUCCACCAAAUCACUUUUCACUUUUGACCGCAUUUUACUGUUCACUUUGACUGUAUGUUCCCCCAUGUAAUUGAUCGGAAGUGACCGAGUGUCAGGGAUAGUGAAUGAAAAGCUCUUAUUCUAUUAAAUUAUAUUGGAAAAUUAAAAUUUCUGGAUGUUACAACAUAUGUGGAAACAAUUUAUCAAGGGGAUAUCUCUAUCAAAUAGAUAAAGUAAUGAGAUUAGAGAAUAGAAGAAUAUGUCUAUAGAUUUAUAAGAGUUCAACUGAUAUUAAAUCUACAUCCACUUUCUCAAAGUAACAACCAGCAGUAUGGCUUCUUUUAACAGAAAGAAUCAAAUGCAAGCUGAAACAUAUUGUGAACGCAUGAGAGAUAGUGAGAGAUAGAGGCAAUUUAGAGAUUUGAAUCUUUCUGAAUUUCCACCUAGUCCAUUGGCAUCCUCUAAAUCCUUUUAUAGAAAACUAACCGUUGGAGAAUAAUUUUACCUGUAAAACAUCCUUUCAUAUGUUUUCUUUGGAGGGUGCCCUUUUUCUUUGGAGGUCAUAAAUACGAAACCUAUGUCUGGUAAAAUUCCACAAAAAUAAUAUUGUUAUUCAGUUAAUAGUAAAUUUCUUUUGUCUAUUUUCAAUAAAAUAUGUAAAUUGAUCAUAACUCUCCUUUGUACUUGGUAAAGUUUUGACACCCAUGUCUCAGUAAUUUUCCUUACUCAUCGCAAGUUUUCUCCAUCAAAUGAUAAUUUGAUCAUGUUUGCAUCUAACUUUCUUUUAAUGUUCGGAAGUGAUGAUAAAAAAUUGAUUUUGCAAAAUAGAUUUGACGGAUCACCUUUUUUUCCCUUUUUAACCAACGGUCCAUGUCGAAUGUAGGACUCAUCCUAUAAAAGAGAGUUUUCACUUAUAAAAUUUCCAUCGUGAUUAGAACGUUUUAGCCAUAAGAAAGUUGUUUAUUUUUUCUGAGCAGUAUAGUAGUUUUAAUGUUAUUUUUCCAAAAUUUUGAAAAUCGUUCCUUUGAAAUAUAUAUAUAGGUAAAAAUGUAACUAAGAAACUAUAUUAAUUUGUCAAUACUUUCUUUUGCUGAUGCACAGCAACAGAUAAAAGAAAUUUGAGAUACUUCUUGUAGAUCUAUAACUUUAGUACGACACGCAAGUCUUCUUUUUGCAAAGGAGCCUUCACACAUAUUCCUUAUCUACCGAGGUCAACAAUGACUCAAACCAGAAGAACUGAUGAGGGUGCAACAUAGAGCUUAGAAAAACUCCGGGUGCAAAAACGGAAUUUUCAAAAAAAAUUGAAAAACUAUGUCUCCAAUCUCUCCCAUUCUCCAGCAUAUAUAAAAAUAAAUGGGGAAACAUUAUUCCUGCCGUCGCCCUAAGAAGAUUUUUCGAGAAGAGCACUUCGAGCAUGCGCUCUGGAGAGAGACUAGCAAUAAUCGAUUCUGACUUGUGCAUCAUGGAUAGAUCGAAUCGCUCGAAUAGGUUGGACAUCCAUGGAGGAUGGGGCCUGGAGGUAGAGAAAGCUCGGUUACUGAGCUUGGUGCCCAAUUUCGACUUCAACGAGCAGUCUGCCAACAAGUGCUUGGACAGUCUUGUUACGCCCCACAGUAUCCGAAUCAUUAUUUUGUCGAGCAUUUCUUGUGUCAUUUUCCGGAAAUUAUGAAAAUUGCCAAUAUAAUGGAAAAUGGUUUUAUGGACAUCCAAAAAUUCUCUAAUUGAUCUGAUUUGUUCAGAUAAAUUUUUGUUAUUGACAAUUCUAAUUCGUAGCCUUUGAAAGGUUUUGUGUGAUUAUUGAAGAGAAUAGACUAGCACAAUUGAUAUUUGGAAAAACUCAGUUUUUAAAUGUUUUUAAGAAAAAAAGAAUUAUUUCGGCAAAAACAGAGUAUUUUGGAUGUUUCAAGCUUUAAGUAAGUUUGGCUCCGACCAAAAAAAAAAGAAGGUAAUAUUGGACAAUCGGAGUGCAUAUAGGGCAAUGGACCCAAAAUCGGGUCUAGAAGGGUAAUUUUAGUACUUUAAUCGAGCGGGCUUUUUGUCCCAAGGGAAUUUCACAUGUAUUAUUCUGUUGCCCUAGAGGAUGUUAGGCGAUGAGUAAUAAUCGAAUGAAUUUUGGUCCUAUCAAUUGUAAUAGAUCGGAGAAUGAAGGUCGGACUUACCUCGAGGAGGAGAUAUUCAUAGAUGAAAUAACUGUGAUGGGUUUCAGUGUUUGAGAAGAAGUCGGCUUGAAGCAGUCCAGGUCCCAAACGUCAGUGCAGUCCCGAGGAUCACCUUCACGCCUCAACCUGGACCGACUUGGUUUGUAAAAAGACGCUAAAUCUCAAAAGACACUGAGGUAAAUUUGCAGAUCAUCUCAGGUCAGAACGUCACGAGAAAGGACGAGUAGUGGCUACGAAGAAAUCACCAACAACAGACGGCUAACUUACUAUCUCUCGAUAAAAUCCCAGCUCUUCUCCGGUAUAUCUGGAGAUCCCAGAAACGACCCACGUGUUCUGAGCGAAGACCGCCCCACCAAACCUAGGAACCCUAAUCGUCUCUGCGGAGUCCACGAUCAGAAAUUAUAGCAAGCGGAACACUAAAAAGGUUCGAAACUUGACACGAUUCGAGUUGAUAUUACCUGCUGAUUGGUGCCCGCCGAAAAACCAGUCCUUUGAAGCCGGUGGUUCGGAAGGAGCGACUGCAGGUGCUCUUCGUGACGGCCUCGGGUGUACUGCUCGGUGGAUUCGCGAGAAAGAAGAUCGCUGCUUCCUCCGCCGAUUCAAGCCGAAGCUCUCGCUCUGGUCGUAGAGGCUUCGAUGUGCUUCAGAUCUGGAAGUAGAGAGAACUUGUACUUGGCAAUCGGAUAACGCGGUUCUGUGGUGACUAUUUGCUGGAACAUGAUCACGUGCCACGGGUGGGAGGCGCUUUGUCUUGGACGCCAGAGUCCAGUUGGCUAAUUUUCAAAAGUGUAUCCGCGGCCCAUAUCGCUAAACGGAGUUGGAAACAUGACGUGGGUAUAAACAAAUGGACUUGUGUUUAUUCCAUGCUAGCUCCACAUGCUAACGAUUUCAUCUAAAUCCAACGUAUUUUAAAAUGAUAUGGUAUCACCGAAUUAUUCUCCUAAACCUUAGAAAUUUUAAAUAGUUGAUUGAUAUGUAGAGCAAAAACUUGUUAUAAGAUACUGAAGAAGGAACAUGAAUACUCCCUUGAUGCUAUCUUUCGCAGCAUUUUUGUCUUCUUUCUUUUUUUCUUGAGAUGAUUGAAUAUAAAAAUAGAAAGAAGAAUUGGCACAAUGAGCACCGCAAAGGGAUGAUGUGAAACGAAAUAGUGCAUUCCUUUUGUUUAUCUUGCUUUACUUUUGCCCUUUCUCCAUGGAAAUGUUGGGAAAAUAUGAGAUAAUAUGAAAAAAAGAGAGAGAAUUGUUGGAAAUAUAUUAAAAAUGAUGAAAAAAAUAUAAGAUAUAUUAUUUGAGGCAUUCAAACACUAUCCUUGAGAUCAAUUUCUCCCUUCAAAGCAUGAAACUCGGUACGAUGGGCUCUAGUGGCUAUCUUCACAAGAUAAAACUCUACAUGGAAUAACAGAAGGAAUGGGAACGUGUUAUGUCCAUAGCCCAACCAAACAAGGAAAGACAUGUGAAUCUCGCGAGUUCGAUGUAUAUUGAAAGAUUGUGGUUUUAUAGUUAAUCUUGUAUUCAAACAAAAGAGAGAGCUGUUAGAAAAUCGCUACAAAUUAAUUGAUAAUUAGUAAAAUGACGACUAUUAUAGAUGAUAUUUUGAUCAUGUCAAAAAAUUAAAGAGAGAGCCUCUAACUCUCCUUUGCACUUCGUAAAGUUUUGAGAUCUUUGUCUUGAUAAAUUUCCUUACUCAUCGUAACUUUUCUUAAUCAAACGAUAAUUUGAUCACAUCUAUAACUUUCCUUUAAUGUUUGAAAGUGAUGAAAGAAAAUCAAUUUUGCAAAACAAACUUGAAAAGUCAUGUUUUUUCCCUUUCUAUUUACUGGUCCAUGUUGAAUAUGGGACCAAUCCCAUAAAAAGAGAGCUUUGACUUGUGAAAUUUCCAUCCCCAAUGUUUUGUCUAUAAUAAAGUAGUGUUGAAGACGCUAUUUUUCUAAAGUUUGGAAAAUCAUUCCGCUAUGAUAUUUAUAUUUAAUAUAUAGAAAGGUAAAAACGUAAAUUAAGGAACGGUAUUACUUUCUCAAUGUUGUCUUUUAUUGACUGACGCAUAGCAAUAGAUACGUAUGUAAUUCUAGUAUGAUAUGCAAGUCUUCCGUUUCCAAAGUAACCUUCACACAUAAUCCUAUCUGCCGAGGUUAACGAUGAUUCAAGCCCAAGCGUGUCAAAUGAAGCCCGGGGUGGAAAAUAGAGCUUAGACAAACUUCAAGGGCGAAAGAGGAAAUUAAAAAGAAAAAAAGAAAAAAUAAGGCUCCAAUCUCUCCCAUUCUCCAGCGUAUAUAUAAAAAUAGGCAGCAGAAAACAUCACCAAUCCCGCCAUCGCUGGGAGCGUCUUUUGAAAAGAGCACUUUGAAGCGCACGGUCUCUAGAGAGAUUAGCGAUCAUCUCGAUUUGACUGCGGCUUGUGCAUCAUCGAUCAAUCGAAUCGUUUGAACAGGUUGAGACUCCAUGGAGGAUCGGGGCUUGGAAGAGGUAGAGAAAGCUUGGGGUUGCUGAGCUUGGCUCUUGAGUUCCGCUUCGACGAGCAAUCCACCAACAAGUGCUUGGGACCGUCUCGUUUCCUGGUGUCUCAUUGAACUAAGUGCAAAUCACAUAUCGUAGAUUGUGUUUAUUUGAUCUCUUGUUUGCCAUGGAACUUGCAAAACCAUCUCUUUCUUCUUUUGGUUUUCUUGACGUGAGAAGGCCGAGAGUUUAUCAAGUGGAGCGCUGUGGCGAUGGCUUCCUAGCAAACUUGCUGAAAUGAUGCAAGAUUUUGAGGAUUGGGAUGAUUUGCAAGCUGCGAAAAAUCAGAAGCUUGUGGAGGUUUGACUAUAUGUUUGGCCAAGACAUUCGUAAUGGCAGUGAAUGCAAUGUUUCGCACGAUGUCGAUAUUUUAGAAGAUUCUCCACAACCUGAGGAAAACCUAACUUUUCUUGAGGUGGAUUCCUCUACUGAUAGUGAAGAUGAGGACAACAUAUUUGACGGCAAAAUGGGUAGGAAAUCCACAUGCUAUAUUCCUGACCAAAGCAGUACUCCAGGCAAUUCUUCCACUCAACUUCUGGCGAGACAAUCUAGAAUCCAUGUUAUGCUUCUCCCACGGACAUAAACAACGCACGCCAAACCACUUAAAUCACUUUGUCACUAUUCUUUUCUCAUAUAAGUUAUUCUCUCCUCGAUCUUGCUUGUGAUUCUGCACACAGCAAAGGACCUACACUAUGUACAUGUACAAAAGCAUUAAUUGCUCAUGGGCCCUCUCGUCCAAUCAAAUGUCCAAUAGAUACCCCUAACAUUUGCCAAUUACUUUCACAAUCUUCAAAAUCCAAAAUGACAUAUUAGAAUUCCUUGGUCAAUAAAGAAGUUGAUUUUAGCUUUGGAUGAUGUACGAAUGCCUAUAUUUUGCAAAUACUUUGAGAGUAUAGCAGAUCAUUAAAGUCUGGACUUUAGCAAUCCACCAUCAUCGAUAGGAAUGUUUUGUGUAAAUGAAGGCUUGUGAUUUCUUUGUGUACAUACAUUCACCACAAACAUAUAGGACAAGUUGCAACAUUGUUUUCAUAAACUAAUGAUUUUUGUCCAAUGUUACACUUAAAUAGAUUUUGGGUAUCAAUCUGAAGGGAGGUUUUCACCUAAUAAUUUUGUCGGAUAAAUUGGAGUCUCGUAUGGUUUUUACUCUCAAAGUUAGCUUUUCCUAUAUAUGCACACACUUUCUAGAGUUUGAAAUUAGGUUUUGAUUCAAUGUUAACAUCUCAAUUUUUUAAAACUCGAAGACAAAUUUUCAAAGCUGGCGUUUUAAUUUGGUUCGUAGCAAGAAAAAUUUCUUAAAUAUUUAUGGGUUGUUGAACGCGUGAAAAUGAGAAAACAUGGUAUUCGUCUUCUGCAGUAUUCCUUGGUAACUGGAAUUAGUUGUUGAAUGUGGAAAAAAAGAAAUAAUAUUCAUCGUCAGUCGCCAAAAAAAAAAAAAAAACAAUAAAAGAAGAAGAAGAAGAUUUUGAAUAGAAGGCACGCAGUUUAAGAAAUUGUUCAAGAAAUUAUGGUCUAUUAUUAAAAGAUAUGCCAAAAAAAAGGAACAUUAUUUACUGUCCAUUAUUAAAAGAUUUGCAUCUUGGAUAAUGUUCCAUUCGUCCAUGAUCAAUGAUUUUUCAAAAAUAGUCACGGGAUUGUUCCGUCUAAGAACCAUAUAUGGGGAUUAUUUUAUUGAUGGCCAAACUUUCGUUUUAUAUUGAUCUAGUCCGAGGAGCACUAAUAAGUCCAAUUUGGCUGAAAAAAGAAAAAUUAAUAAGUUUACCUUACUAGUCACUGAUUAUUUGUCUUGGUACUUUAUAAUGGUUUGAGUGUUGGUCUUUGUUUUUUAUUUUUUCCUCUAGAAAGACCCUUGGUCGUCAUUACAUCUUCUAGUUGGCUAACAUGGAUGUGAGCUUAGAUUGUGACAUUCUUCCCAAGAUUAAGAAUUAAUAAUUGCCUUUUAAAAGUUGGUCGCAAAGAAACAAUAAAAAGAACAAAGAAGAUUUCGAAAGGAAGGUAGGCGGUUUAAGAAAUUGUUCAAGAAAUUAUGGUCUAUUAUUAGAAUAUAUGCCAAAAAAUGGAACCCUAUCCACUACCCAUUAUAAAAAGAUCUGCAUCUUGAAUAAUAUUUUAUUAGUCCAGAACCUUUGACUUAUCAAAAAUAGUCACAAGACAAGUUAUUGAAGCCAACUAGAUUAUUAUGUGGAAGGGGAUUAUUUUUUUAUGGCCGAUCAUGAUCAAAUUUUGUCAUUAUUAUCGGGGCAUGCCUGAGCCGGCACGGCUUGGGCAUGGCUCGCAUGGGCCUAGAUAUUUUAAAAAAUUAAUUUAAGAGAAAUUAAAUUCAAAAAAAUUGCAAUACUUUUUUUCAAUGUAAAUAAUGAGAAAUUAUUUGAGGGAAAUUAAUAAGGAAAAACACUCGUUCUUUUAAACCAAAUUGAAACCCAAGUACAUCUUCAUAUAAUUUGAGAAAAAAAUUACACUUAGUGGAGCUUUACUAAUGAUUUCACUCCAGCAAUCGUGUCCUUAGGCACCGUUACUCAGAAAUCAAUAAUUGUCUAUUGUCCAUACGCCUUGUACAUGCCUCAAAACUGACUUGAUGAUUCUUAUAUACCAUUAGUUGAAGAGUGUUUUACCUGAUCCUUUUUGUGUUUGUGUUUUGCAUCUACGAAUUCCCUUUCGUAGAUAGCCAAUAAUUUUAUCAUAAUGAUGCUCAUACUUUAGUCUUUAUCUUAACAUUAUCUCUCCAGCAAAAUGGAUUCUGCUCGAGAAAGGCACUCUAAAGAUCAAUGUGGAUGGCUCGAAUGUGAAGGGAGAGAGAAGAGGAAGCAUCGCCGGUGUUUGUGGGGACGAGUCUAGGAACAUCGUGGCUGGAUUUACCAAGGAUGUGCGGGUGAACUCGAUGGAGCAAGUGGAUACUCUAGCGUGCACAGAAGCCCUACGCUUCUGUUCUAUUUAUGAACCCAAGUAUUCUCUAGAGUCAAAUAAUUGGUCUAUGAAAUGUGCAUUUUCCAAAUCAAGAAUAGCCAACGUGGAGUAUCCAGCCUCUUAUCUCUAAAGGCAAAUGCCUGCUGGCCCAAUACGAAAGCAUCCGUUAGCCCACUGCAGGAGAGAAGCGAACCAGGUAGCUGAUUGUAUCUCUAGGGCCCAUCGGCAAAAAUCCCUUCCCACCAAUUGGGUUUCUUAUCCCUAAAAAAUAUUAUGCGACCUAAUUUAUUCAGAGGCCCAUUUAGUUUGUAAUCGCAGAGCUACUUAAAGUAUGAAAGAAGUUUAUUUUGACAAAAAGAAGACAAACAUUUAGAUUUCUCCACCAUCUUCGAAUUGUAAAAGAACUUACAAAAAUUUUGUAGAAAAACUUAAUUGCGAGAGUUUUCGGUGAUUGGGGCUCUUCCUGAAAUUCUAAUAACUUUAAGACAACUUGAGUAGAGCUUCAACCUGCACAUCAUCAAGGAACUCGUUGAACUACUUAAUUUCAUCCUCUUCGAAGACUAUCUUAUGAAUGUGCAGAUUCACAAAAGGAGAAAAUUGGCCUAAAUGACAAGAACAAAUCAAUUUGCACUUACGCUCUUUUAUUUGAUGGUCUUGUUCGAGAAUCUAGUUAUCUCAUUGAACCUCUCACUUAUCUCCCCACCAGCAAUUAUCUCCCCAUUAGUGUAUUUACAUCAAAUCAUUUUUUUUUUCGCGUGGCUCUCAUACUUGCCCAUCCACUACUGCGAGCGAUUGAUUCCAUGAAUCGCUCCGAGUCUUCGCCUAUUUGUGAUAAACAAAUGCAAAAAUGGCGGAUUUCUAGAAGGGCGACGGUGCUUUAUUUUGCUGGAAGAGGAUGAUUAGGAUAAGCCCUUAGGCUUCACCUGCCUAUUUCACCCAACUCCUGGAGGGAUCAUGGAGAAGAUGAAGAAGCAUUGCGCCCCUGCCAUUGACGCGACCGGUCGGAUGAAUUCGAAGGGAAUGACCCCCAACGUUUUAGCCUGUGCAUUCCGAUGAAUUGCCUCUACCAAUUGAAAAGGUCCAAUCUUGGACUCGAACCCACAACCGAGAGCUUCAAUCCUUGACAGGUGGCUUAUCUUGCAUAGGCAAAUGGAAAAUAAAGCAAUGAUUUUGUUGAUGAAUACAAUACAACACGAUUUAGUAUCCAUUAUUAAAAGAUUCGCAUCUUGGAAAUGUUUUUUUUGAUCGACAACUAUUGACUUUUCAACGAUUAGGAAGAGUUAUUGAUGAAAUUGAAAAAACUAUCAAUGGAGUUUACUUUUUUUGUUAACUGAUCAUGAUGAAAUUUUGUCUCACUUUCAUUUUAUAUCGACCUAGGCCAAGGACAACUAAUAGAUUUUAUUUGGCUGAAACAUCUUCCAGCUAGAUAACAUGGAUGGAACCUUGGGCUCCAUAUGUUUCCAAAAAACAUUAGACCAUGUGGUUGCAUCAAGAAGUCAUGAACUCAACCCUUCACCAAUAGGGAGGCUGUUAUCAUCCGUGAACACAAAUAUUGGUACAAUUCCUUCAUUUAUGAGAUUGGCAUAGUCUCGAAAUCUCAAUAAUUCAUCAUAGGGAUCACUUCCCCCCUCCUAUUGGUGUUGGAGAGACGAAUGUAGACGCUCUGGUAGUGCUCUUAUUUUUGGCAUGCGGUAUUGCUUCUGCUGUGUUUUCUUGUCUUGAGAAGAUUAUAAGCGCACGGCAAAAGAAGAAUUGACGCGACAAGCACCGCUAAAAGGGCACCCCCAAAACCGAACUGUUGGCACUUCGUUAUUGUCGUUGAUCCGGCUCUUCCCUUCAGAAGAAAUGCCCUUCCUGUAGCGCAAAGGGGAUAGAUUAACGUGUCAACCGGACUUAUGCAUCAACUUGAAACGAUCGCCGCCACACGCUCAACAGUAAAGUGCACAACUUCUUCUACCCAAGAAAAAAAAAAUUACAGACCCAAGGGUGUCAAACGAAACCAGGAAAAACUUAUAGGGGGCAAAAAGAGAGAUUAAACAAACUUCAGAUGCGAAAACGGAAUAUUCAAAAAUAGAAAGGGAAAAUAUCAAUCCCGCCAUCACUGGUGAGGUAUUUCGAACAGAGCACUUUGAGCACACGCUCUCCAGAAAGAGGCUAGCGAUCGAUUCAAUUCCGACUCGUGCAUCGUCCAUCAAUCGAAUCGCUCGAACAGGUUGGAAUUCCGUGGGGGAUCGGGGCUUGGAGGAGGUGGAGAAAGCUCGGUUGCUGAGCUUGGCUCUCGAGUUCAGCUUCGACGGGUAGUUUGCCAGCAAGUGCUUGGACCGUCUCGUUUCGCUCUAUGGUAACUCGAAUCAUUACGCCGAGUUAUGUAGCCCAUUUUUUAUGCUGAUUGGCGUUCCAGAGGUUAUGUAGGUAUUCAUCGUCCACCACGGUGAUGAUGGCGGUGGAAUAGUCUACUCUAGUUUUGAAUAGAUCGGAGCUGGUUCAGCAAAGUGGUCUUGCUGACAAGCGAAAUGUCCGGCACAGUUCUAGUUUGAUGUUUUAAGGUUGCUUCGGAUGGUGGUUUUUGGUGAUUAGGGAAUGACGUAAUUGCUUGUGUUGUGUGGAUAAUUGGUGAAUCGAUUGAUUGUGCAUUCUUGGAUAAGGAGAUUUAUUGCAGUUAGUUGUCAUUCUAAUGAUGGCUGUGGAAUGGUCUACCUUUUGGAUUUGGAUGGACCGGAGCUGGUUAAAUCUAGUUCAUUGAGUGUUAAUCAUGUCCUUACUUCUCUGUGGAAUGGUCUACCUUUGGGAUUUGAAUGGACCGGACUAGCGAAAUGUCUGACUUCUUUCUGAGCUAACCGCAAAAUUACAUAUGGUGUCUUGCCUUCAUAUAAAUAUGGUGUCUUGCUGAACUAAGUGCAAAUCACAUAUUUUACAUUGUGUUUAUUUGAUCUCUUAUUUGCCAUGGAACUUACAAAAUUAUCUCUUUCUUCUUUUGGUUUUCUUAAGGUGACGAAGGUCGAGAGUUUAUCACUGUGGAGCACUGUGGCGAUGACUUCCUAGCAGAACUUGCUAAAACCAUUGGAGAUUCUAAGGAUUGGGAUGAUUUGCAAGCUACAGAAAUCAGAAACUUAGUGGAGUUUUGACUGAUAUGUUUUGGCCAAGAUAUCAGUAGUGACGAUGAAUGCAAUGGUAUACAAGAUGUCGAUGUUGUAGAAGAUUCCCCACAACCUAAGAACAACCAAACUUUUCUUGAGGUGAGGAUUCCUCUACUGAUAGUGAUGACGAAGACAAUAUAUUUUCAGUAAAAUGGGUAGGAAAUCUACAUGCUAUAUUCCUAACUAAAGCAGUACUCCGAGCGAUUCUUUCAUUCAACUUCUGGCCAGACAAUCUUUAGAAUCCAUGGUAUGCUUCGACCAUGGACAUAGCCAAUACAUGCUAAACCACUUAAAUCACUGAGCCACUAUUAUGUUCUCACAUAAUUUAUUCUCUGCUUGAUCAUUUGCAAUUUGCUUGCAAUUUUGCACACAGCAAAGGACCUACAUGAUGUACAUGUACAAAAGCAUUUAGUAAAUUGCUUAUGGGGCCUCUCAUCUCUUUACUAUAAAAGUGGCAAAUGACUCAGAUCUAACUUGACCUUCAGUUAUAAUGUUUUUGUCAUUUUUUUAACUUUUUUUUAAUUGGUUCGGUAAUUAUAUUUUAUGGCAUGUGGUCAGCGUUUUGUCAUCUACAAAACACAAUGUCGAAGUCAAUCGAAAGCUAUUACCAAGAAUCAGGGAGGCAGGAAGAGAUCUACCAGCAAUUUUUCCACUUAAUUUCUGGCGAGACGAUCUUUAGAAUCCAUGGUAUGCUUUAACCAUGGACAUAGCCAAUAUAUGCCAAACCACUUAAAUCGUUGUCACUGUUCUGUUCUCAUAUAAUUUAUUCUCUGCUCGAUCAUUUCCAAUUUUCUUGUGAUUCUGCACACAGCAAAGGACCUACACAAUGUACAUGUCCAAAAGCAUUUAGUAAAUUGCUUAUGGGGCUUCUCAUCCAAUCAAAUGUCCAAUAGAUAGUCUUAACUUUUUCCAAUUUCUUCCACGCUCUUCAAGAUCCAAAAUGACAUACUAGAACUCCUUGGUCAAUAAAGCAGUUGAAUUAAGCUUUGGAUGAUGUACAAAUACCUAUAUUUCUCAAAUACUUUGAGAGUAUAGCAUAUCAUCAAGUGUGGAUUAGCAAUCCAGCAUCUUUGAUAGGAAUGUUUUGCAUAAACGAAGGCUGGUGAUUUAUGCUGAGUGUUGUGACUGUCAAAUUAUUAAUCUCCACUUUGGCUUUGCCUGCCUUUUCAGAAAAGAUAAACCAUCGUGCAAGCUACUGUAUGUAACUGCUGAAAGGAUUGUGGGAAACCCAUCAUUUCUUGAGAUAUUGUAAUGCUUGCUUAGAAAGGGAUUGUUUCUGAUGCACCAUAACUUUUUCUGAUAGGUUCUUUGUAAAUUUAUUAUAUUCGACCAUCAUGCAUUGCAGGCACAGCUAGCUGGUUUUGUUAUUGAUGAGGCACAUUACGUGAGGUAUGUGUAAUAUUUGGCAUGCCUUGUACAUGAAGAAAGAUCAUGCUGGAGUUACUUCAAAAGGAAUAAUUAUUUGUGAUGUUGCCACUGGAAAACUAUUGUCCUUGUUCCUGAUAAACAUAAGCAAGUUAACUUUUAUAGAUGCUAACUUAAACUCUUUUUCCAAACUUUCUGCAUUUUCUGGGUUUCUAGCCUAAUUAAAUUGAUCGUGUUAAACUAGACCUUCCGAAGCCCAGAACCCUUUAAAGUUCUAAUAUAACCGAAUGCAGUGUUCCUUGUUUGAUGAAAAGAUUUAGGUUCCGUUAUUUGAGAACAUUUAGUGGCACAUCAUAUAUUAUAUUGAGUGAAGAGGACACAACUUAAUAAAACUGCAAUGGAAAGUACUUCCUAGAGUAAUUGGAUCCAGCAUAAGCUUGGAUAAGGAUCCAAUCUCCUCUUUAUGUUUGGCAGGACACUCAAUCUCUUGAGUUGGUUCUUGUAUCCCUAUUUAUUCCACUAAAGCUUAUGGUUUAUGUGAACAACUUGAGAAAGGUAAAGGUUCAACCAUGUGAUCAUUGAUUGUGUUUCUUAAAAUGUCUUAACUGGAUUUGCUCUGCUAGUUUAAUCUCAUGAAAGGAACGUACUGCUGAUUUGAGCUUUUCUUGAACAUUUGACUGAUUAACAUUGAAAGCUCAUAAUUGUCACUUUUGUGGUUGUCAUUAAUGUAGUCUAUGGGUACAGGAUUUUGAUCUAGAUUACGGACUGGCAUGUCUCAAGCCUAACUUUGCAUAUGACCCAAUGCUGGCCUUAGCUGAAACUGCCACUCACUCAGUUCGUGAGGUACUAAACUUAUAUAUUAACCUCCUCAUCAUUAUGUUGAAAUAAUAUGUUCAUUCUGAUUGAAUUAUUCAUCCAUUGCAGGAUAUCCUAAAAUCUCUUGGGAUUCCCCAUGCUCUUGUUCUUGAGACAAGCUUUGACAGACUAAAUCUAAAAUAUGAGGUCAUAGCCAAGACCAAGGAACCAUUGAAGCAGCUCGGAUAACUGCUAAAAAUCGUUUUGCUAAUUUGUGUGGCAUGAUAUAUUGCCUUUCAAAGAGUGAAUGCGUUGAUGUCGCAAAAUACUUGAAUAAGUGUAUAAAGACAGUGUACUAUCAUGUUAGAUUAGUAGCCAGCCAAAGGGUAGCUGUUCAAAAGAAAUGGCAAACUGAAGAGGUCCAAAUUGUAUGUUAUAAAAAGAAAUGGCAUACUAUCAUUCUCGUGUUAUUGACUAGCUAUAUUAUAAAUUAUAUAAUCAAUACAUUGACUUUACUAGCAACUUUUCUCAUGUUAUAUAUAAUCAGUAUGCUCAAAAUUAGAUUAUUUCGUGUUUGAUAUAUUUAAAAAUGUUUUGACUUGUUAGUGCGGCCCGCAUUACGUAUGAUUUAGUGCUUGAAUAUGCAUACUUGGCUUAACAAGUUAGUUAAAGUUUUGGUAAUAUAUGAUUAUCUUGUGAGUAGCUUUUAACUACUAAAGUUCCACUGUUGUAAUGCAGUAUGAUGAAGAGGAACAUUUGAGAGUACCGGCCCAAAGAAAAUGCUUCGAAUGAAACUUGAAUGCAUGACCAAUGACUACAAUUUGGUGUAGUAGAGUCCAAGUACUAACCAAGUAGACGACCGUUCAAUGGUUUAGUCCAAAUUUUGGCGUAGUAGAGUCCAAGUACUAACCAAGUAGACGACCGUUCAACGGCUUGGUCCAAACCAAAUGGAUAUAAAUUUCGGGAAGAUUUAACAUUUUCUUUAUCAGUCAACUAUAGCCAACACCAAAGAAAAUUUGGUUUCAAGUAUGAUAAUGUAUGGCUGUGUCUACACUGCUUUAUAGGCUCAUGCUUAAAGGAAUCAAGUUUGAGAUUAUACUAUCAAAGUGAUUGCAAAAUGCCAAUACAUGAACUUCCCAAAAUCCAAGAGCUGAUUGUACACUAACGAACACUUUUAUUUUGCGCUCAAAAUUCUUCCGAGUGAGAAACUACUGUCUUUUGAGAACCUUUUUACUGAAAAUCUUGCCUGCAAUUGACAGAUUAUUUGCCGAUUCCAUGAUAUUCGCUUUUUACACUAAAGAAGUCUCUCACAUUCACAAAAUUGCAGCUAGAAGUGGACAUCUAAAACGGUAAUCUUGUCGACAAACAUGACUUUAUGCUUAACUUCACAUCCAGAACCACCUGUACAUGCAGUCUUCCUGCAAGCAUUUUGAAAUUCUACCUUCGCUAAAUAAUAGCAUGAUGUCAAAGUUUGCAAAGGACUACUGCACCGCAUUAGAAGAGGUCCCUUUAUAUCAAGAAUCCUAUCAAGAUUAUCAGCAUAGAGCACAUUAUAAACACCUUUAGCGAAGAACUUUGGAACACCUUUCCAUAACGUCUCAUGACAUAUCUCAUUUCGGUCCACAUCUCCGUCCUGUGAUGCUCGGGAAUGUUCUCUGAAUUUUAUGAAAUGCAGCUUGAAUCUACACAAGAAGGAUAGGAUUUGCUAGUUAUCAAUAAAUGGGGAUAUCUGAGAUCGAGGCAUCACAAUUUACAUCAUGAAAGAUAAGGUACAAAUGCACAAACAUCAUUUGCACCAAUUGCAGUUGAACCGUAAUGAACAGAGACUUCAUGAGCUGGCCGAUGAAAACGUAAACAAUAGGCUUGGAAGAAGUAACAAUUAGCAACACUUUCCUUGUUUGUUCUUAGGAACAUAAUUGAUGUCAAUAAAAAUAUGCUGAAAUGUGAAGUACUUAAACUACAUAAUAGAAAGAUAAAUUUAUUAUUUUGUUAUUUUGCAAUAUCCUGUUAGCAAAAUCAGCAAACUAGGAUAGUUUGCUAGGAGGUGAAUUUUAACUUUACAAAGUCAAAGUCGCAUGAGAACUGACCUUAUCAAAUUAAAAAAAGUCAGAAACCUAUAUGACAACAUUCAAAGGAUAGUAUCACAUUGAUGAACUGAUAGAAAUGAAGGAGAUUGUCCUCAUGCAUACUUGCAUACUUUUUCAGGUGCAAUUCCAUAGCUCAUAUAGUAUGAGCAAACAAGUUAUUUUUCCAUUGUUAUGGUACGACUAGUAGUGCAUACCUCCCUCUGCAAAGCCUUAUUGAGUUCCGGAAUGAUAACAUUAGAAUGCAACGGCAUUAAACAAACAUUUCUGCAUCGGGGUGACAUACAAAAAAAUCAGCAGCUACGUAUUGGAUUAACAGAGAGGUUGAACCUCAUGAACAUACAAAAAGCAGACUCAACUCAAAAUACAACAUCAAAAUCAUUCGAGUAUGUGCUGUCGAGACCAGAUAAAGUGUACUAGAUCCUCACAAGCAUAAAAAAUUCCCCAAGUAACAUAGAGAAUCUCAAGCGAAGACAAGUCACUGUUUUCACUUGGAAUUGCUCUUUCAGAUAAUAGCAUGAUGGGAAACUUAUAGUGCACCAAUUUUUCAACCUUCCUAUAGCACUAGGAAGCUUUUCAAUACCAGAAGCACUAAUGUCUAGAUGUUGCAAAUUCUGUCAAUCUCAAGUUGAGCUAGUGAUAACUGUGAGCGACUCACAAUAGCUGGCACUUGGUUUCUCCAGCUUCCUCAGAGAACCAAUAGACGUAGGAAUCUCAGUAAUAUCAGCAAAAUUUAAUAUAAGUUCUAAUUUGACAGAUUCACCUCCUUUCAGUUCUAACUCACAUACCCAUCCGCUCUUGGUCCAGUCCGUUGCCACAUUCUUCUUCCAUGAUCCCAAAUCUCCUGUGGAUCCUAAGAUUGCCACACUCUCCCCAAUUUCAACUUGGCGAUCCAGCUGAACGCUGAGAUGCACCUUCUCCCGUCCCAGCAAUGAUCUGAUCUUCUUUGCUUUCUUCUCCUCUUCUCUGCAAUGAACACAUUAUUUCAUAGCUUCUACGAAUAGCCUCCUUCCUUGUCUAAACAACUUAAACAACAAUUUUCACUUGAACCACCGAUUCAUUAUUUGUCAUUUAACACCACAUUCAAAGAGAAACCUUAAGUCUCGGUGUUAGAUAAUCCAUGCCGCUAGCUUUUAUUACAAGAAGAACUCGAAAGAAAAACUGAAUAACUCUUUUUUCCGCACUGAUUCUUGUUCAAGUAAUAAACCCCACAUAAACUCCAUCCACACUAUAGACUCAAACAAACCUUUGAUCGAGAAUUACAUAAAACAACUCCAUACUUCACUCCAAACCCCAGUGCUUGAUUAGACUGACAUAAGUGCACUAGAACAAAUCCAGAGAGAGAGAGAGAGAGAGAGAGAGAGAGAGAGAGAGAGAGAGAGAGAGAGAGAGAGACCUGCUUUUAGUGGUGAAAAAACCACGAACAACCAUGAAGGAGCGACUCUGAGUUGCAUGAGCUCCAUGCAUCCACAUGAGAGAAUCUCGAAGGGGAGAAGUAAUGCUGCUCUUCAAGAAAAAACCGGUCUCUUUACUUGGUUUUAGGUAUGAAAAUACACAUGGCUGUGUCUCUUCUGCUUUUAUAUUCAUGCUUAAAUAAAUCAAGUUUGAGGUUAUAUGACCAAAAUGAUUAGAAGAUGCCUACAUAUGAAUUUCCAAUGUAACCAGACCAAACGAAUGAUUUUAUAAUGCCAUUAUUUUGGGUUCAAAAUUCUUCCAAAUGAGAAGCUACCGUCUUCUUGGAAACCUUUGCAGUUGACAGAUUAUUUUUUGAUUCCACGGCAUUUGCUUUUUCCACGAAAAAAGUCUCUCCCAGUCACAAAACUAUAGCUUGAAGUGGACAUCUAAAUGGUAAUCUUGUUAACAAAUCUCAUUUUAUGCUUGACUUCACAUAUAAAACCACCUGCACAUGCAGUCUUCCUCCAAGCGAUUUGUGAUGCAGCCUUUGCUAAAGAAUAGCACAAUUUCAACCUUGCAAAGGACUAAUACACACAUAUGAGAAGAGGUCACCUUAUAUCAAGAACCUUUGAAGAGUAUUAACAACAUGGAGCAAAUGACAAAUGCCAAUGGCAAAGAACUUCAAAAUGCCUUUCUAUACUGACAUAGCUCAUUCUUGCCCUUAUCUAAACCCCGUGGUGUUUGGGGACUUCCUCCGAAUUUCAUCAAAUGCAACUUUAAUCUGCACAAGGAAGAUAGCACUGAGUAAUUAUCAAUAAAUGAAGAUGGCCAAGAUCGUAGCAUCAUAAUUUACCUCGUGAGAGAUUAAGGUACAAAUGCAUAAACAUCGACACCAAUCAGAGUUGGACCACAAUGAAAGGAGACUUCAUUAGCUAGCUGAUGAAAAAGAAACACACGGGCUUAAAAGAAGUAAGCAAUUAGCAACACUUUCCCUAUUUGUGUUUAGGAACAAAAUUGAAGUUAAUAAAAUUAUGCUGAAAAGGUGAAGUGCCUAAACUACUGAACAGAAAGAUGCAUUUCCUACUUGGUUAUUUUGCAAGAUCCAAUUAGCAAAAUUAGCAAUAUUGGAUCGUUUGCAAAGAGGUCAAUUUCAACUUUACAAAUCCAAUGCCGCAUACAUGAGAAAUGAGCUGGUCAAACCUAUAUAAUAACAUUCAGAGGAUAUCAUCACACAAAUAAACUGAUAGAAAUGGAGGAGCCUAGCAAUGCAUACCUCCCUCUGCAUAGCAUCAUCAAUUCCAGAGUGAUAUCAUUAGACUGCAACUACAUCGAACAACUCUGCAUCAGGGUAACAUACAAAAAAUCAUCAACUUAGUUUUUGAUUAAAGGAGAGCUAGAACCUAAUGAGCAUACAGAAAGCAUAUUUAAUUGAAAAUAAAAAUACAUUUACAAUCAUUUAGGGAUGUGACAUUGAGAACAGAUCAAGUGUUUUGGAUCUUCACGAGUAUCAAAACUUCCUUAGGACACUCCAGUCGGGCCCAAAGCCUCUUCAAGUUUGGCACGCAAGAUGUUCCUUAGCUGUUGUUGAUGCUUCCUCUGCAAAAUCCCUUUUCUUUAUUUUGAUCAGUCACAAGUAUACAAUUUGAAGUUCCUCAACCAAGUGAGCCACACCCAAAUCAGUCAUGUAAUAAAGCAAUUCCAUGGCAACAAUAGGAUCAAAUGGUAUGCAAACUAAUUAGCAAAUUCUUGAGCUCCUCAUCCUAGCUUGUGUCAUGACGGGCAAAACAUUGUUCAUUAAUGCAAAAGUCAUCGAUACAGUUAAUCGAACUGAAGUCCCAAAGUAAGCCUUGAUCAUUACACAAACCAACCAAACCUGUCAUGUGACAUCCUGAAAUUCGACUGUUUCGAUAAAAUGAAAUGUGCAUUUCGUCGACGUGCCUAUGGUCCUUUUUCUCUGAGUUGAUCACUCACGAGUUAGCUAACCUAUUGGGUGAAGCCGUUAAGGGAUAUAACCGCGGUAAAAUCCCUAAAAGCUACCUAAUUUGUUGGAUUUGACUAAAAUCGCGUCCGAUCGAUUUUAAUCAUGAAAUUUAAUUCGGUUUUGGGAAUCGAAUAUUCGGGCGUGUCACAAUUCAUUUUUAGGACCGUCUCAUCGUCAAUCAAUUUAUUGCCGAGUCCGAAAUUUCAAGAAAGAAAUUAUCGGAGAAAAAAUCGAAGACCAAAAGAAAUUAAAAAGGGAAUGAGAAAAGGAAAAUAAUAGAGGUAAUGAGAAAAUGGUAUUUUCUUAUUUAAAAUAUUAUUUUCCUUUCCCUUUUUCUUUCUCUCUCUCUUUUUCUCUCUUUUCUCUCUCCUCUCCCCUCCCCCUUCGUGCGCACCCCUUCCCCACGCCUACUCUCUCUUUAUUUUCCCUCUUUGACUAGUCAAAAGCUUAUCCUCUCUCUCUCUCUUCUUCCCCACCCCACGUGACAGAAACCCCUCUUCUUCCUCUCUUCUUCGUGAGACCCAGCUGAACAGAAACGGAAGCAGCUCGCCUGGGAUCAGAGCAGCCGCCGUCGCCGCCCAAGCUCAGCCGCUCGCCGGUCGUCCUUCCCCGCGCGACGCCGCGCGUUCAGCCGCUCGCCCCUUGCGCCCGUGCGCCGUCUGCCCCCGUCCAGCGAAGCUUCCGCCUCUGCCCCGCCGCUGUCCAACCCCUGUUCAGCCACCGUCGGACCGCCGUCCAGCUCCGAUCGGCCGUCGUGCAGCCUCCCCGGAGCUCCGCCCAUCUUUCCCGACCCCUUGCCGCCCCCAUCCCUCUCUCUUUCUCUUUGUUUUGCAGCGAUCCAGCAACCCCAUCGUGUGGGUAUCCAGCCGGCUUCGGGCCCGCUUUGGGCCAUUUCCGGGCCCCGAACCCGAGCCGUGCUUUGGGAAGAGUUGUUCCUCGCGUCGCCCCGGUCGGAUUGAUCCGAUUUGCGCGCGAUUUGGUGAGUAAUCUCACUAAUCUUGGAUUAGUUGGCUAAUUAUGCUUAAGGUUGGUUUAGAUUUAAUUAAUUAUGUUUAGGUUGUUAGAUUAGAAUAAAUUAGCAAUUAUUAGUCAAUUGUGGUGCGAUUUAGAUAAAUUGAUUGCGCAAUUAAUAAGUAGACGUGGUCUACUAAUUAUUGGAAGUGCCUCGGGAUUUUUCCCGACCCUUAGUGGGCUCCAAUUAGGCUUUUCGGGCCUAAGUGGAAUUUUUAGUAUUUAAAUAUUAAUUUUCGGAAUUAAAUUAAAUAAUUAUUUAUUUUCCGAAAAUUCAACUGAGAUGGCCCGAGACCGGAAUAUUAUGCUGAUGACGGUGGUGAAGUCCGUUUAUUUAAUUGGGCUUUAUUUUGAGCUAAAUUGAAUUUUUAAUAUUAAUUAUUUAAUUUUCGAAAUUAAUUAUUUAAUUAAUUAUUUUUCAGAAAUUAAGAUAGUGAUGGCCGACGACCGAAAUCUCGUGCUGAUUGUCGUGGCGCAGUUCGUUUAUUUAUUUGAGUUCUACGUUGCAUGGAAUUAAAUAAAUUGUGAUGGUUUAGGGAUUUACCCUAAUUUGAUUGGAAUUGAUUGAGAUUGAAUUGUAGAUUGGUAAAUGGCCAAGUAUGUUAUUCAGCAUUUCUAAUGCUUUGUUGAGUUUGAUUGAGAAAUCGUUGGGCAUUGGUUGUCGGUAUUGAAAGUAGAUUGGUAAUCACUUAAAAGAAAACACGUGGGCUCGGUGAAUUGGAAUAUCACCUGGAGAAUGCACGUGAAUUCAGUGGUUGAAUAUGUCACCUUGGCGAAAAGGUCGCUUGAGAGAAUGCACGUGGCUCGGAGACUCGGUAUGUCGUCCUGGAGAAUGCACGUGGCUCGGUGAAUUGAUGCAUCACUUUGGUAAGCGAGUACCUUAGAGAAUGCACGUGGGCCCAGGCAUCUAAAAGGACACGUGGCUCGGUGAUCUGAUGCGUCACUUUGGUAAGCGAGUACCUUAGAGAAUGCACGUGGGUCCAGUAUUCGGAAAUAGCAUCUAAAAGGGCACGUGGCUCGGUGACUUGAUGUACCACCUUGGCGAAGAGGUCGCCUUAGAGAAUGCACGUGGGCCCAAGGUUCGAGGCACGUGGCUCGGAGACUUGGAAUGUCGUCCUAGAGAAUGCACGUGGCCUCGCUUUUAUAUACUCCUCCGUGGAGAAUGAUUUGUGUGACAUGUAAUCGACUGGUUCGAUUUGUUUUGAGUAAAUGGGUGCCUAUUGUGAAUUGUACUGACUUGCAGGUGAGAUUUGAGGCCAAGGUAAGUCUUCUGCCCUGUGCGUGUUUAGGCAGCCUGUAGUAUAAUAGUUUACUAAUCUGGCCUUAGUGGGGUAGAACUCGCUGAGACGUAGUCUCAUCCCGGUUUGGGGAAAUCAUUUCAGGACCCCGCUGAGGAGAUGAGGAGGAGGAGUCUGAGAAGGAUUUUUGGGAGAGGAAGAUAAUCCCGAGAGGGGCCUUGAGUACAGCCCGGGUGAACUGAAGUUCUAUCUUCUUUUGAGACCUUCAUUUUGAUGUGAAUAGAGUUUAAAGUAAAAAGUUGUGAAGUGCUUUGGUUUGUGGUUUGUAUAAAAGUUUGGUUAUAAGUUUCAAUAUGAAAAAUAUGGCCCUGCUUUUCUAUCCCAUUGUUUUAUUGUCUGGGGAUUUUAACUGUUUCCGCAUGUGCUUAAUAAACGAAAGGGUCGGCGAUACAUAGUCCUGGGAUAUCGCAUUAUAAAAUCGACCAAGCGAGAAGGAUGUGUGCGUGCCCGAGGAUCGGGGCGUGACAUCCCCUUUUUGUGGUAUCAGAGCGAAGUUCAAGAUUGGAGUGAUAAGGAGCGAUGGUUAAUGGGAUAGUUAGUAGGAAAUGCCUUUAAAUUCAUGCUGGUGCAUGUCUGUGUUAGCUGAGUGCUAAAAUUGUUUGUUGUGUGUGGAUCGCUCAUGUUCUAAUCCAGUGUGGGCUUAGAAGACGGGUUGCAGUGUAAGACUGAACCAUGAGCGAGUAGGAGUUGAGAACUCCUAGUGAGAGGACAAUGUCCUCUGUGACUCGGGAUAAAGCACCGACAAAGGUCGGUACCCGAGGUGGUUGUGGCAGAGUGUUGGCUCUGGCCAGCUCGAGUGUAAGAGUACCACCGCAGGUUGGUACUAGUGUAGCAGCGUCGAAUGAUCCUAAGUUCGAUAGGAUCGUUCUGAUGCUAGUGUUCCUUGGGAAUUGGAUGAGCCAGCAAGCUCAGGAUCAAGCCGUUGUUGUUGUCGUUAUCACUACCGCCGUUGUCGCCUCACCUGCUGAAAUCAAAGUGGAGAUGUGAUCCGGGAGCAAGUCAUUGCAUUCGAGCCGAGGUAUAGAUCCAGUUCAGGCAGAAAUGUGAAUCGGUCAGAGAAAAGACCGAGGUCGAGAGAAAAGUAUUCUAUUCCACUUGCGAAGAAUGGUGGGGUAGUCAAGCCAGCACCGAGUCAAAUAAAUCAGGUUGUUUCUGGAAGUGAUGAUGGAGAUCGGUCUUAUGUCCUUCCUAGGACGUGAAAUUGUUUAGAGUAUAGCCAACAGGGAUAUCUGGUUGGGAGUGAUCCUAGCAGACUGAUGAGGCAACCAGAAAGAGUGUGUGCUGUCACUUAGUAGGAGAUAGAAGACUCACCUAGUAGGUGUCAGAAUUGUAGAAGGAAGUAUGGAUAAAUCCAGUGUCCGAGUAUGACUAGAACAUGUUGUGAUGAUGACUAGCAUGGCCAUCAGGUGAAGGAUUGUCAGUGGAAGUCCAAGAUAGCAUAGGCAUCGCUACUGCGGCCAGAACGCUUGUAGGAUGGCGAAAGGAAUGGGAGUAGAAUUGAUCUUGCACCGAUUAGAGAAAGAAUGUAUUGGAGGUGAUUUUAUCAGAGUAACGUAGCAGAGUUUUGUGCUGAGUUGGUAGAACUUAUACCGUUGAAGUAAAAGUGAAAGAGAAGGGAAUCACUAGCAAUAGUUGUGCUUGACUAGUUGCUGAGGUGUGAGUUUGACGCCACAUGAAUAGUGUGAGUUCAUAGAGCAUUUGGUGAUAAGGAAUCAUGGUCAUGGAAUAAUCCAGUUUAGUCUAUUAGUUUGCGAAAAUAUCAAGAUUAUUAAGAGUCGAAAAGAAUCUUCGAUUUCAUUAAUCUCGUUGGCUAAAGACAAUCCGUUGGUUAGACGGAGGUUGCCAAGAUUGAUUUGACAACUGUAGUGGAUGUGUCAGUUGAGAAAUAGAAUGAGAAGAAGGUGGCCGUGAUACAGAAAAUUUCUAAGAUGGUUCCAAAGGAAUUGCUUGGGUUACCGCCAGAAAGAGAGAUUGAAAUUGCAAUUGAGAUAGCACCAGGAUAGAGCCACUCUCGAAGGCUUCUUACCAGCUGUUGUUGUCUGAAGUGGUAGAAUUGAAGACGCAGAUGUGAAGAUUGAUGAAUGAGGAAUUCGUGUAUAUCGGUGCAUCACUUUUGGGAAACAUCAGUUUUGUUUGUGAGAAGAUGAAAGAUGGUUUAUUGCGAGUGUGCAUCAACAAUCGUUAACUCAAUUAGGUGAAGAUCAAGGACAAGUGUUCUUUGCCAAAGAUCAAUGAAUGGUGUGACUAGUUAUAAAGAGUAUCGAUGUUUUAAAGGUCGACUUGAGAUUAAGAAGUCGUCAGUUACGAGCCAGGAAGGAAGUUGUACAAAAGGCAGCUGUUCGUACUUGAUAUGGUCUUUACGAGAGUAUAGUAAGAUCGUUUAGCUUGGUGAACACUCCAGUUGCUGUCAUGAAUUUGACAAACAGAGUGUUCAAGGAAUAUAUGGAUCAGUUUGUGAUCGUGUUCAUUAAUGACAUCUUAGUCUAUUCGAGAAGUAAUGAAGAGCACGCGAAUCAUCUGACAGUAGUGCUUUAGACCUUAAGAGCUCAUCAGCUGUAUGCUAAGUUUAGCAAAUGCGAGUUUUGGUUGACUCGUGUUGCGUUCUUAGGUCAUGUGAUUUCCGGAGAAGGGAUCUCUGUCGACCCGAGCAAGAUAGAAGCCGUGAUCAAGUGGCUGAGACCGACAACAGUGUCAGCAAUCAGAAGUUUUCUGGGGUUAGCAGGUUAUUACAGACGGUUUGUGGAAGGGUUCUCAUCGAUAGCGUCGCCUCUGACAAAGCUCCUGAAGAAAGAAGAAAAAUUUGUAUGGUCAGACAAGUGCGAGCGUAGUUUCCAAGAGAUGAAGGAAAAGCUGACUACCGCACCUAUGCUGACGAUUCCAUCUGGUCUUGGAGGAUUCGAGAUCUAUAGUGAUGCGUUAUUCAAGGAAUUGGAUUGCGUGCUGAUGCAACAUGGCAGAGUUGUUGCAUACGCUUCUCGGCAGUCGAGACCUCAUGAAUUGAAUUAUCCAACGCAUGACUUGGAGCUUGCAGCCAUCAUAUUUGCGUUGAAGAUUUGGAGGAACUACUUGUGCGGAGAAAAGUUUCAAAUUUUCACAGACCAUCAGAGUCUCAAGUAUUUAUUCUCUCAAAAGGAGUUAAACAUGAGACAACGACGAUGGAUGGAAUUGCUUAAAGACUACGACUGUGAUAUUCUAUAUCACCCGGGAAAGGCGAACAAGGUCGCCGAUGCAUUGAGUCGGAAGUCUUCAAUAGCGCAAAUCUUGGUUAAGGAGUGGAACUUAAUCGAGAGAACUCGAGAUUCAGAAUUCAAAUUUGAGGUAGGCCACCUUUCAAGUCUUAUGGCCACCAUCAGAAUUGAACCGGAUGUCCAGGUCAGAAUCAAGCAACUUCAACCGACAGAUCCAAACGUACAGAGAAUUCUUCGGGAAGACGCAGAUAAAAGGAAGGCUGAUUUUCAGAUUGCUGAUGACGGAACUCUAAGGUUUCAAGGACGUUUGGUUGUACCUGACAAUGUCGAGCUUAGAGAAGAAAUUUUAUCGGAAGCACAUCGUAGCAGCUACAGCAUUCAUCCUGGAAGCAUUAAAAUGUAUCAGAAUCUACGUCAACAUUACUGGUGGUCAGGUAUGAAGGCGGACAUCACCAAACAUGUGGCCAAGUGUUUGACUUGUCAGCAAGUAAAAGCCUAACAUUGCAAGCCAGGAGGACUUUUGUAACCUCUCGCGAUCCCAGAGUGGAAAUGGGAACAUAUCACGAUGGACUUCAUGACUGGACUACCAAGGAGUCAGAGGGGGAAUGAUUCGAUAUGGGUAGUAGUCGACAGGCUGACAAAGUCGGCUCACUUCAUUGCAGUUCGAAAGGACCUGAGUCUGGAUAAACACGCAGACCUGUAUGUGCGUUAGAUGGUUCGUAUGCAUGGAGUGCCGGUUACGAUAACAUCUAAUAGAGACCCGAGGUUUACUGCUACUUUUUGGAAGAGCUUGUAGAGUGCUUUAGGUACAAAGCUUCAGUACAGUACAUCGUAUCAUCCUCAGACGGAUGGCCAGUCUGAAAGGACAAUUCAGACUCUUGAAGACAUGCUGAGAGCGUGUGUAAUAGACUUCAAAGGAAGUUGGGAAGAUCAGCUUCAUUUGGUGGAAUUCGCCUACAACAACAGUUGUCAAUAGAGCAUCAAGAUGGCUCCUUUUGAAGCGUUGUAUGGCAGAGCAUGCAGAACUCCAGUGUGUUGGGAUGAAGUCGGAGAAAGGAAGAUAACAGGCCCAGAGUUGGUUCAACAAUUAGUAGAUGCCGUGGCAGUAAUCAGAGACAGAUUAAAGACAGCGCAGAGCAGGCAGAAAAGUUAUGCAGAUAAGCGUCGAAAGUCUUUGGAAUUCCAAGUUGGUGAUCACGUUUUUCUGAAAGUGUCACCAAUGAGGGGAACUUUGCGCUUUGGUAAGAAAGGCAAAUUGAGUCCGAGGUACGUAGGUCCGUUUGAGAUUCUUGAAAGAAUAGGAAACAUAGCGUAUCGUCUUGCGUUGCCGCCAAGUUUGGCGCAAGUGCAUGACGUCUUUCACGUGUCGAUGUUAAGGAAGUACGAGCCUGACCCGACCCACGUGCUCAAUUUCGAGGAAUUGGACGUGGAUGACCGUGUGUCAUACGUUGAAAGCCCGGUUUAGAUUGUCAAUCGUAAAGAGCAAGUUCUGCGUACAAAGACCAUUCCGUUGGUCAAAGUGGUCUGACAACACCACGGUACUGAAGGAGCGACUUGGGAGACUGAAGAGUCGAUGAGACAAUUGUACCCCCUCCUUUUUGAGCAAAGUGUAUAAUGGUUUAAAUUUCGAGGACGAAAUUUUUAUAAGAGCGGAAGAGUUGUGACAUCCUGAAAUUCGACCCUGUUUCGAUAAAAUGAAAUGUGCAUUUCGUCGACGUGCCUAUGGUCCUUUUUCUCUGAGUUGAUCACUCACGAGUUAGCUAACCUAUUGGGUGAAGCCGUUAAGGGAUAUAACCGCGGUAAAAUCCCUAAAAGCUACCUAAUUUGUUGGAUUUGACUAAAAUCGCGUCCGAUCGAUUUUAAUCAUGAAAUUUAAUUCGGUUUUGGGAAUCGAAUAUUCGGGCGUGUCACAAUUCAUUUUUAGGACCGUCUCAUCGUCAAUCAAUUUAUUGCCGAGUCCGAAAUUUCAAGAAAGAAAUUAUCGGAGAAAAAAUCGAAGACCAAAAGAAAUUAAAAGGGGGAAUGAGAAAAAGGAAAAUAAUAGGAGGUAAUGAGAAAAAUGGUAUUUUCUUUAUUUAAAAUAUUAUUUUUCCUUUCCCUUUUUCUUUCUCUCUCUCUUUUUCUCUCUUUUUCUCUCUCCUCUCCCCUCCCCCUUCGUGCGCACCCCUUCCCCACGCCUACUCUCUCUUUAUUUUCCCUCUUUGACUAGUCAAAAGCUUAUCCUCUCUCUCUCUCUUCUUCCCCACCCCACGUGACAGAAACCCCUCUUCUUCCUCUCUUCUUCGUGAGACCCAGCUGAACAGAAACGGAAGCAGCUCGCCUGGGAUCAGAGCAGCCGCCGUCGCCGCCCAAGCUCAGCCGCUCGCCGGUCGUCCUUCCCCGCGCGACGCCGCGCGUUCAGCCGCUCGCCCCUUGCGCCCGUGCGCCGUCUGCCCCCGUCCAGCGAAGCUUCCGCCUCUGCCCCGCCGCUGUCCAACCCCUGUUCAGCCACCGUCGGACCGCCGUCCAGCUCCGAUCGGCCGUCGUGCAGCCUCCCCGGAGCUCCGCCCAUCUUUCCCGACCCCUUGCCGCCCCCAUCCCUCUCUCUUUCUCUUUGUUUUGCAGCAAUCCAGCAACCCCAUCGUGUGGGUAUCCAGCUGGCUUCGGGCCCGCUUUAGGCCAUUUCCGGGCCCCGAACCCGAGCCGUGCUUUGGGAAGAGUUGUUCCUCGCGUCGCCCCGGUCGGAUUGAUCCGAUUUGCGCGCGAUUUGGUGAGUAAUCUCACUAAUCUUGGAUUAGUUGGCUAAUUAUGCUUAAGGUUGGUUUAGAUUUAAUUAAUUAUGUUUAGGUUGUUAGAUUAGAAUAAAUUAGCAAUUAUUAGUCAAUUGUGGUGCGAUUUAGAUAAAUUGAUUGCGCAAUUAAUAAGUAGACGUGGUCUACUAAUUAUUGGAAGUGCCUCGGGAUUUUUCCCGACCCUUAGUGGGCUCCAAUUAGGCUUUUCGGGCCUAAGUGGAAUUUUUAGUAUUUAAAUAUUAAUUUUCGGAAUUAAAUUAAAUAAUUAUUUAUUUUCCGAAAAUUCAACUGAGAUGGCCCGAGACCGGAAUAUUAUGCUGAUGACGGUGGUGAAGUCCGUUUAUUUAAUUGGGCUUUAUUUUGAGCUAAAUUGAAUUUUUAAUAUUAAUUAUUUAAUUUUCGAAAUUAAUUAUUUAAUUAAUUAUUUUUCAGAAAUUAAGAUAGUGAAAUCUCGUGCUGAUUGUCGUGGCGCAGUUCGUUUAUUUAUUUGAGCUCUACGUUGCAUGGAAUUAAAUAAAUUGUGAUGGUUGAUGGUUUAGGGAUUUACCCUAAUUUGAUUGGAAUUGAUUGAGAUUGAAUUGUAGAUUGGUAAAUGGCCAAGUAUGUUAUUCAGCAUUUCUAAUGCUUUGUUGAGUUUGAUUGAGAAAUCGUUGGGCAUUGGUUGUCGGUAUUGAAAGUAGAUUGGUAAUCACUUAAAAGAAAACACGUGGGCUCGGUGAAUUGGAAUAUCACCUGGAGAAUGCACGUGAAUUCAGUGGUUGAAUAUGUCACCUUGGCGAAAAGGUCGCUUGAGAGAAUGCACGUGGCUCGGAGACUCGGUAUGUCGUCCUGGAGAAUGCACGUGGCUCGGUGAUAGAGUUUGGCAUCUAAAAGGGCACGUGGCUCGGUGAAUUGAUGCAUCACUUUGGUAAGCGAGUACCUUAGAGAAUGCACGUGGGCCCAGGCAUCUAAAAGGACACGUGGCUCGGUGAUCUGAUGCGUCACUUUGGUAAGCGAGUACCUUAGAGAAUGCACGUGGGUCCAGUAUUCGGAAAUAGCAUCUAAAAGGGCACGUGGCUCGGUGACUUGAUGUACCACCUUGGCGAAGAGGUCGCCUUAGAGAAUGCACGUGGGCCCAAGGUUCGAGGCACGUGGCUCGGAGACUUGGAAUGUCGUCCUAGAGAAUGCACGUGGCCUCGCUUUUAUAUACUCCUCCGUGGAGAAUGAUUUGUGUGACAUGUAAUCGACUGGUUCGAUUUGUUUUGAGUAAAUGGGUGCCUAUUGUGAAUUGUACUGACUUGCAGGUGAGAUUUGAGGCCAAGGUAAGUCUUCUGCCCUGUGCGUGUUUAGGCAGCCUGUAGUAUAAUAGUUUACUAAUCUGGCCUUAGUGGGGUAGAACUCGCUGAGACGUAGUCUCAUCCCGGUUUGGGGAAAUCAUUUCAGGACCCCGCUGAGGAGAUGAGGAGGAGGAGUCUGAGAAGGAUUUUUGGGAGAGGAAGAUAAUCCCGAGAGGGGCCUUGAGUACAGCCCGGGUGAACUGAAGUUCUAUCUUCUUUUGAGACCUUCAUUUUGAUGUGAAUAGAGUUUAAAGUAAAAAGUUGUGAAGUGCUCCGGUUUGUGGUUUGUAUAAAAGUUUGGUUAUAAGUUUCAAUAUGAAAAAUAUGGCCCUGCUUUUCUAUCCCAUUGUUUUAUUGUCUGGGGAUUUUAACUGUUUCCGCAUGUGCUUAAUAAACGAAAGGGUCGGCAAUACAUAGUCCUGGGAUGUCGCAUUAUAAAAUCGAUCAAGCGAGAAGGAUGUGUGCGUGCCCGAGGAUCGGGGCGUGACAUCCCUUUUUUGUGGUAUCAGAGCGAAGUUCAAGAUUGGAGUGAUAAGAGCGAUGGUUAAUGGGAUAGUUAGUAGGAAAUGCCUUUAAAUUCAUGCUGUUGCAUGUCUGUGUUAGCUGAGUGCUAAAAUUGUUUGUUGUGUGUGGAUCGCUCAUGUUCUAAUCCAGUGUGGGUUUAGAAGACGGGUUGCAGUGUAAGACUGAACCAUGAGCGAGUAGGAGUUGAGAACUCCUAGUGUGACAUCCUGAAAUUCGACCUCAUUUCGAUAAAGUGAAAUGUGCAUUUCGUCGACGUGCCUAUGGUCCUUUUUCUCUGAGCUGAUCACUCACGAGUUAGCUAACCUAUUGGGUGAAGCCGUUAAGGGAUAUAACCGCGGUAAAAUCCCUAAAAGCUACCUAAUUGGUUGGAUUGGACUAAAAUCGCGUCCGGUCGAUUUUAAUCAUGAAAUUUAAUUCGGUUUUGGGAAUCGAAUAUUCGGACGUGUCACAAUUCAUUUUUAGGACCGUCUCAUCGUCUAUCAAUUUAUUGCCGAGUCCGAAAUUUCAAGAAAGAAAUUGUCGAAGGAAAAAUCGAAGACCGAAGGCAUUAGAAAGGGAAAUGGAAAGAGAAAAAGAAAAUUUAGAAUAUUAUUAUUCUUUUUCUUUUUCUCUCUUUCUUUUCUCCCUCUUCUCUCUCCUCCCUUUCCCCUCGUGCGACUCCCCCAGCCGACCACCCCUUUUUGCUGUCUUCCACUUGCUUUGUUUUAUUUUAUUCUUUUCUUUUGACCGGUCAAAUCUUUCUCUCUCUUCUUGCCUCCUCCCUCACGUUACCUUCUCCUUCUUCUUCGUUCUUCUCUGUGCAAAACCGAACCAGAAGUUGCAGGAGAUUGGAAGCCCAAGCCAGCCACCGUCGCCGCCUGUCUCGCCACCGCACCGCCGCCCGUGCACGCCGCGCACGCCCCCGCGUCUACCGCCGCCCCUUCGCACCUCGUCGUCUCCGCCGUGCGCCGUUCAGGCCGUUUGGCCUCUGCUCAGCCUUCGUUCCACCCCGUCCGGCCACCUCCGGCCGCCGUUUGAAGCCGCCGGACCUCCACCGGCCUUCCCCCGCGCCUUGCCGCCCUUGCCGUGGUUGUAGGUUGCUGUUUGUGUGUUUUUCCAGCCAUUCCAGCAGACCCACGAAAUGGGUUUUCAGCUGGUUCGGGCCCGUUUUGGGCCGUUUCCCGGCCCCGGAUCCGCGAGUCGCUUUGGGAAGAAUCGUUCCUCGCGUCGCCGCCGUCGGAUUGAUCCGAUUUGCGCGCGAUUUGGUGAGUAAUCUCACUAAUCCAGGAUUAGUGGCUAAUUAUGCUUUAAGCUGGUUUAGAUUUAAUUAAUUAUGUUUAGGUUGUUAGAUUAGAAUAAAUUAGCAAUUAUUAGUCAAUUGUGAUGUGAUUUAGAUAAAUUGAUUGUGUAAUUAGCAAGUAGACGUGGUCUACUAAUUAUUGGAAGUGCUUCGGGAAUUUUCCCGACCCUUAGUGGGCUCCAAUUAGGCUUUUCGGGCCUAAGUGGGUAUUUUUAGUAUUUAAAUAUUAAUUUUUGAAAUUUAAUUAAAUAAUUAUUCAUUUUCCGAAAAUUCAAGGGAGAUGGUUCGGAACCGGAAUAUUGUGCUGAUGACCGUGGUGAAGUCCGUUUAUGUAAUCGGGCUUUAUUUUGAGCUAAAUUGAAUUUUUAGUAAUAAUUAUUUAAUUUUCGAAAUUAAUAAAUAAAUUAAUUAUUUUUCGGAAAUUAAGAUUUUGAUGGCCGACGACCGAAAUCUCGUGCCGAUCGUCGUGGCGCAGCCCGUUUAUUUAUUUGAGCUCUACGUUGUAUGGAAUUGAAUAAAUUGUGAUAUUUAGGGAUNNNNNNNNNNNNNNNNNNNNNNNNNNNNNNNNNNNNNNNNNNNNNNNNNNNNNNNNNNNNNNNNNNNNNNNNNNNNNNNNNNNNNNNNNNNNNNNNNNNNNNNNNNNNNNNNNNNNNNNNNNNNNNNNNNNNNNNNNNNNNNNNNNNNNNNNNNNNNNNNNNNNNNNNNNNNNNNNNNNNNNNNNNNNNNNNNNNNNNNNNNNNNNNNNNNNNNNNNNNNNNNNNNNNNNNNNNNNNNNNNNNNNNNNNNNNNNNNNNNNNNNNNNNNNNNNNNNNNNNNNNNNNNNNNNNNNNNNNNNNNNNNNNNNNNNNNNNNNNNNNNNNNNNNNNNNNNNNNNNNNNNNNNNNNNNNNNNNNNNNNNNNNNNNNNNNNNNNNNNNNNNNNNNNNNNNNNNNNNNNNNNNNNNNNNNNNNNNNNNNNNNNNNNNNNNNNNNNNNNNNNNNNNNNNNNNNNNNNNNNNNNNNNNNNNNNNNNNNNNNNNNNNNNNNNNNNNNNNNNNNNNNNNNNNNNNNNNNNNNNNNNNNNNNNNNNNNNNNNNNNNNNNNNNNNNNNNNNNNNNNNNNNNNNNNNNGCAUCUAAAAGGGCACGUGGCUCGGUGAAGUGAUGCAUCACUUGGUGAGAUAGCACAUUAGAGAAUGCACGUGGGCCCGGGCAUCGUAAAAAGGACACGUGGCUCGGUGGCUUGAUGUACCACCUUGGCGAAGAGGUCGCCUUAGAGAAUGCACGUGGGUCCGAGGUUUGAGGCACGUGGACUCGGAGACUUGGAAGGUCAUCCUGGAGAAUACACGUGGCCUAGCUUUUAAAUAUCCCACAGUGGGGAUUGAUUUGUUUGGCAUGUAAUCGACUAGGUCGAUGCUUUGAGUUGAUGUGGUGAAUUGAUUGCUGAUGGAAUGACCGUGAGUGGUCUUGUUGGAAUAUAAUCGACUAGGUCGAUUUGAUCGAUGCUUCGAUCGGUGAUAUGAUUGCUUGGAUGCCUAUUACGAAUUGUACUGACUUGCAGGUGGGAUCAGAGGCCAAGGUAAGUCCUCUGCCCUGUGCGUGUUUAGGCAGCCUUUAGUAUAAUAGUUUAUCUAAUCGGGCUUAGUGGGGUAGAACUCGCUGAGACGUAGUCUCAUCCCAGUUUGGGGAAAACCAUUUCAGGACCCCGCUGAAGAGCUGAGAAGGAGGAAUCCGAGAAGGAAGACUCGGAGGCGAAUCUUAAGGAAAAAGAUUUUUGGAGGAAGAAGGCAAUCCUGAGAGGGGCCUUGAGUACGGCCUAGUUUGUCUAAGUUCCUGUCUUCUUUUGAGAAUCCAUUUUGAUGUGAUUAGUUUCGAAGUGGUUUAUGGUUUGUAUAAAAUUUUGGUUAUAAAUUUCAAUAUGAAAAAUAUGGCCCUGCUUUUCUAUCCCAUCGUUUUAUUGUCUGGGGAUUUUAAUUGCUUCCGCAUGUGCUUAAUAAAUGAAAGGGUCGGCGAUACUAGUCCUGGGAUAUCGCAUUAUAAAAUCGACCAAUAUAAAAGGAUGUGCACGUGCUUGAGGAUCGGGGCGUGACAUCCAGUUUAAGUGGUAUCAGAGCGAGGUUGAAGAUUGGAGUGAUAAGGAGCGUUGACCAUGGGAUAGUUAGUAGGAAAGGCCUUUAAAUUCAUGCUGAUGCAUGUCUGUGUUAGUUGAAUGCUAAAAUUUGUUUGUUGUGUGUGGAUCGCUCACCUUCUAAUUCGGCGUGGAAUUGGAAACAGGUGUUAGUUGAGUAAGACUACACCAUGAGCGAUCAGGAGCCGAGAACUCCUGCAAAGAGGACCAGUAGGGCCGUUAUUCGGGGUAGAGCUCCAACUCGUGUUGGAACCCGAGGCGGACGUGGUCGAGCGCGAGCACAGGCUAGCGCGAGUGGAGUGAAUCCACCUGUCGAAGAUGUCGGGGUAGCAGCCCCUAAUGAUCCCAGAGUGGAUGGNNNNNNNNNNNNNNNNNNNNNNNNNNNNNNNNNNNNNNNNNNNNNNNNNNNNNNNNNNNNNNNNNNNNNNNNNNNNNNNNNNNNNNNNNNNNNNNNNNNNNNNNNNNNNNNNNNNNNNNNNNNNNNNNNNNNNNNNNNNNNNNNNNNNNNNNNNNNNNNNNNNNNNNNNNNNNNNNNNNNNNNNNNNNNNNNNNNNNNNNNNNNNNNNNNNNNNNNNNNNNNNNNNNNNNNNNNNNNNNNNNNNNNNNNNNNNNNNNNNNNNNNNNNNNNNNNNNNNNNNNNNNNNNNNNNNNNNNNNNNNNNNNNNNNNNNNNNNNNNNNNNNNNNNNNNNNNNNNNNNNNNNNNNNNNNNNNNNNNNNNNNNNNNNNNNNNNNNNNNNNNNNNNNNNNNNNNNNNNNNNNNNNNNNNNNNNNNNNNNNNNNNNNNNNNNNNNNNNNNNNNNNNNNNNNNNNNNNNNNNNNNNNNNNNNNNNNNNNNNNNNNNNNNNNNNNNNNNNNNNNNNNNNNNNNNNNNNNNNNNNNNNNNNNNNNNNNNNNNNNNNNNNNNNNNNNNNNNNNNNNNNNNNNNNNNNNNNNNNNNNNNNNNNNNNNNNNNNNNNNNNNNNNNNNNNNNNNNNNNNNNNNNNNNNNNNNNNNNNNNNNNNNNNNNNNNNNNNNNNNNNNNNNNNNNNNNNNNNNNNNNNNNNNNNNNNNNNNNNNNNNNNNNNNNNNNNNNNNNNNNNNNNNNNNNNNNNNNNNNNNNNNNNNNNNNNNNNNNNNNNNNNNNNNNNNNNNNNNNNNNNNNNNNNNNNNNNNNNNNNNNNNNNNNNNNNNNNNNNNNNNNNNNNNNNNNNNNNNNNNNNNNNNNNNNNNNNNNNNNNNNNNNNNNNNNNNNNNNNNNNNNNNNNNNNNNNNNNNNNNNNNNNNNNNNNNNNNNNNNNNNNNNNNNNNNNNNNNNNNNNNNNNNNNNNNNNNNNNNNNNNNNNNNNNNNNNNNNNNNNNNNNNNNNNNNNNNNNNNNNNNNNNNNNNNNNNNNNNNNNNNNNNNNNNNNNNNNNNNNNNNNNNNNNNNNNNNNNNNNNNNNNNNNNNNNNNNNNNNNNNNNNNNNNNNNNNNNNNNNNNNNNNNNNNNNNNNNNNNNNNNNNNNNNNNNNNNNNNNNNNNNNNNNNNNNNNNNNNNNNNNNNNNNNNNNNNNNNNNNNNNNNNNNNNNNNNNNNNNNNNNNNNNNNNNNNNNNNNNNNNNNNNNNNNNNNNNNNNNNNNNNNNNNNNNNNNNNNNNNNNNNNNNNNNNNNNNNNNNNNNNNNNNNNNNNNNNNNNNNNNNNNNNNNNNNNNNNNNNNNNNNNNNNNNNNNNNNNNNNNNNNNNNNNNNNNNNNNNNNNNNNNNNNNNNNNNNNNNNNNNNNNNNNNNNNNNNNNNNNNNNNNNNNNNNNNNNNNNNNNNNNNNNNNNNNNNNNNNNNNNNNNNNNNNNNNNNNNNNNNNNNNNNNNNNNNNNNNNNNNNNNNNNNNNNNNNNNNNNNNNNNNNNNNNNNNNNNNNNNNNNNNNNNNNNNNNNNNNNNNNNNNNNNNNNNNNNNNNNNNNNNNNNNNNNNNNNNNNNNNNNNNNNNNNNNNNNNNNNNNNNNNNNNNNNNNNNNNNNNNNNNNNNNNNNNNNNNNNNNNNNNNNNNNNNNNNNNNNNNNNNNNNNNNNNNNNNNNNNNNNNNNNNNNNNNNNNNNNNNNNNNNNNNNNNNNNNNNNNNNNNNNNNNNNNNNNNNNNNNNNNNNNNNNNNNNNNNNNNNNNNNNNNNNNNNNNNNNNNNNNNNNNNNNNNNNNNNNNNNNNNNNNNNNNNNNNNNNNNNNNNNNNNNNNNNNNNNNNNNNNNNNNNNNNNNNNNNNNNNNNNNNNNNNNNNNNNNNNNNNNNNNNNNNNNNNNNNNNNNNNNNNNNNNNNNNNNNNNNNNNNNNNNNNNNNNNNNNNNNNNNNNNNNNNNNNNNNNNNNNNNNNNNNNNNNNNNNNNNNNNNNNNNNNNNNNNNNNNNNNNNNNNNNNNNNNNNNNNNNNNNNNNNNNNNNNNNNNNNNNNNNNNNNNNNNNNNNNNNNNNNNNNNNNNNNNNNNNNNNNNNNNNNNNNNNNNNNNNNNNNNNNNNNNNNNNNNNNNNNNNNNNNNNNNNNNNNNNNNNNNNNNNNNNNNNNNNNNNNNNNNNNNNNNNNNNNNNNNNNNNNNNNNNNNNNNNNNNNNNNNNNNNNNNNNNNNNNNNNNNNNNNNNNNNNNNNNNNNNNNNNNNNNNNNNNNNNNNNNNNNNNNNNNNNNNNNNNNNNNNNNNNNNNNNNNNNNNNNNNNNNNNNNNNNNNNNNNNNNNNNNNNNNNNNNNNNNNNNNNNNNNNNNNNNNNNNNNNNNNNNNNNNNNNNNNNNNNNNNNNNNNNNNNNNNNNNNNNNNNNNNNNNNNNNNNNNNNNNNNNNNNNNNNNNNNNNNNNNNNNNNNNNNNNNNNNNNNNNNNNNNNNNNNNNNNNNNNNNNNNNNNNNNNNNNNNNNNNNNNNNNNNNNNNNNNNNNNNNNNNNNNNNNNNNNNNNNNNNNNNNNNNNNNNNNNNNNNNNNNNNNNNNNNNNNNNNNNNNNNNNNNNNNNNNNNNNNNNNNNNNNNNNNNNNNNNNNNNNNNNNNNNNNNNNNNNNNNNNNNNNNNNNNNNNNNNNNNNNNNNNNNNNNNNNNNNNNNNNNNNNNNNNNNNNNNNNNNNNNNNNNNNNNNNNNNNNNNNNNNNNNNNNNNNNNNNNNNNNNNNNNNNNNNNNNNNNNNNNNNNNNNNNNNNNNNNNNNNNNNNNNNNNNNNNNNNNNNNNNNNNNNNNNNNNNNNNNNNNNNNNNNNNNNNNNNNNNNNNNNNNNNNNNNNNNNNNNNNNNNNNNNNNNNNNNNNNNNNNNNNNNNNNNNNNNNNNNNNNNNNNNNNNNNNNNNNNNNNNNNNNNNNNNNNNNNNNNNNNNNNNNNNNNNNNNNNNNNNNNNNNNNNNNNNNNNNNNNNNNNNNNNNNNNNNNNNNNNNNNNNNNNNNNNNNNNNNNNNNNNNNNNNNNNNNNNNNNNNNNNNNNNNNNNNNNNNNNNNNNNNNNNNNNNNNNNNNNNNNNNNNNNNNNNNNNNNNNNNNNNNNNNNNNNNNNNNNNNNNNNNNNNNNNNNNNNNNNNNNNNNNNNNNNNNNNNNNNNNNNNNNNNNNNNNNNNNNNNNNNNNNNNNNNNNNNNNNGAUUUUCAAGUUUCUGAUGAUGGGUAUGGAGGUUCCAAGGACGUUUGGUGUACUGACGAUGUAGAGCUUAGAGAAGAAAUUUUAUCUGAAGCACAUCGUAGCGAUUACAGCGUUCAUCCUGGAAGCACUAAGAUGUAUCAGAAUCUGUGUCAACAUUACUGGUGGUCAGGUAUGAAAGCGAGCAUUGCCGAGCAUGUGGCCAAGUGUUUGACUUGUCAGCAAGUAAAAGCCCAGCAUUGCAAGCCGGGAGGAUUUUUGCAACCUCUCACGAUCCCAGAGUGGAAAUGGGAGCAUAUCACGAUGGACUUCGUGACUGGACUACCAAGGAGUCAAAGGGGAAAUGAUUCGAUUUGGGUAGUAGUCGACAGGCUGACAAAAUCGGCUCACUUCAUUGCAGUUCGAAAGAACCUGAGUCUGGAUAGACAUGCAUACCUGUAUGUGCGUCAGGUGGUUCGUAUGCAUGGAGUGUUGGUUACGAUAACAUUUGAUAGAGACCCGAGGUUUAUUGCGGCUUUUUGGAAGAGCUUGCAGAAUGCUUUAGGUACAAAGCUUCAGUACAGUACGGCAUAUCAUCCUCAGACGGAUGGCCAGUCGGAAAGGACGAUUCAGACUCUUGAAGACAUGCUGAGAGCGUGUGUAAUAGACUUCAAAGGAAGUUGGGAGGAUCAGCUUCAUCUGGUGGAAUUCGCCUACAACAACAGUUAUCAGAAGAGCAUCAAGAUAGCUCCAUUUGAAGCGUUGUCUGGCAGAGUAUGCAGAACUCCAGUGUGUUGGGAUGAAGUCGAAGAAAGGAAGAUAGCAGGCCCAGAGUUGGUUCAGCAAUCGGUAGAUGCCGUGGCAGUGAUCAGAGAUAGAUUGAAGACAGCGCAGAGCAGGCAGAAAAGUUAUGCAGAUAAGCGUCGAAGGUCUUUGGAAUUCCAAGUUGGUGAUCACGUUUUUCUGAAAGUGUCACCAAUGAGGGGAACUUCGCGCUUUGGUAAGAAGGGCAAGUGAGUCCGAGGUACGUAGGUCCAUUUGACAUUCUUGAAAGAAUCGGGAACCUAGCGUAUCGUCUUGCGUUGCCGCCAAGUUUGGCGCAAGUGCAUGACGUCUUUCACGUGUCGAGGUUAAGGAAGUAUGAGCCUGACCCGACCCACGUGCUCAAUUUCGAGGAAUUGGACGUGGAUGACCGUGUGUCAUACGUGGAAAGCCCGGCUCAGAUUGUUGAUCGCAAAGAGCAAGUUCUGCGUACAAAGACCAUUCCGUUGGUCAAAGUGGUCUGGCAACACCACGGUGCUGAAGGAGCGACUUGGGAGAUAGAAGAGUCGAUGAGACAAUUAUACCCCCCACCUUUUUGAGCAAAGUGUGUAAGGGUUUAAAUUUCGAGGACGAAAUUUUUAUAAGAGGGGAAGAGUUGUGACAUCCUGAAAUUCGACCCCAUUUCGAUAAAGUGAAAUGUGCAUUUCGUCGACGUGCCUAUGGUCCUUUUUCUCUGAGCUGAUCACUCACGAGUUAGCUAACCUAUUGGGUGAAGCCGUUAAGGGAUAUAACCGCGGUAAAAUCCCUAAAAGCUACCUAAUUGGUUGGAUUGGACUAAAAUCGCGUCCGGUCGAUUUUAAUCAUGAAAUUUAAUUCGGUUUUGGGAAUCGAAUAUUCGGACGUGUCACAAUUCAUUUUUAGGACCGUCUCAUCGUCUAUCAAUUUAUUGCCGAGUCCGAAAUUUCAAGAAAGAAAUUGUCGAAGGAAAAAUCGAAGACCGAAGGCAUUAGAAAGGGAAAUGGAAAGAGAAAAAGAAAAUUUAGAAUAUUAUUAUUCUUUUUCUUUUUCUCUCUUUCUUUUCUCCCUCUUCUCUCUCCUCCCUUUCCCCUCGUGCGACUCCCCCAGCCGACCACCCCUUUUUGCUGUCUUCCACUUGCUUUGUUUUAUUUUAUUCUUUUCUUUUGACCGGUCAAAAUCUUUUCUCUCUCUUCUUGCCUCCUCCCCUCACGUUACCUUCUCCUUCUUCUUCCGUUCUGCUCUGUGCAAAAACCGAACCAAGAAGUUGCAGGAAGAUUGGAAGCCCAAAGCCAGCCACCGUCGCCGCCCUGUCUCGCCNNNNNNNNNNNNNNNNNNNNNNNNNNNNNNNNNNNNNNNNNNNNNNNNNNNNNNNNNNNNNNNNNNNNNNNNNNNNNNNNNNNNNNNNNNNNNNNNNNNNNNNNNNNNNNNNNNNNNNNNNNNNNNNNNNNNNNNNNNNNNNNNNNNNNNNNNNNNNNNNNNNNNNNNNNNNNNNNNNNNNNNNNNNNNNNNNNNNNNNNNNNNNNNNNNNNNNNNNNNNNNNNNNNNNNNNNNNNNNNNNNNNNNNNNNNNNNNNNNNNNNNNNNNNNNNNNNNNNNNNNNNNNNNNNNNNNNNNNNNNNNNNNNNNNNNNNNNNNNNNNNNNNNNNNNNGAUUGAUCGAUUUGCGGGUGAUUUGGUGAGUAAUCUCACUAAUCCUGGAUUAGUUGGCUAAUUAUGCUUAAGGUUGAUUUAGAUUUAAUUAAUUAUGUUUAGGUUGUUAGAUUAGAAUAAAUUAGCAAUUAUUAGUCAAUUGUGAUGUGAUUUAGAUAAAUUGAUUGCGUAAUUAACAAGUAGACGUGGUCUACUAAUUGUUGGAAGUGCCUCGAGAUUUUUCCCGACCCUUAGUGGGCUCCAAUUAGGCUUUUCGGGCCUAAGUGGAAUUUUUAGUAUUUAAAUAUUAAUUUUCGGAAUUAAAUUAAAUAAUUAUUUAUUUUUCGAAAAUUCAACUGAGAUGGCUCGGGACCGGAAUAUUAUGCUGAUGACCGUGGUGAAGUCCGUUUAUUUAAUCGGGCUUUAUUUUGAGAUAAAUUGAAUUUUUAAUAUUAAUUAUUUAAUUUUCGAAAUUAAUUAAUUAAUUAUUUAUUUUUCGGAAAUUAAGAUUUUGAUGGCCGACGACCAAAAUCUCGUGCUGAUCGUCGUGGCGCGAAUUAUUGAUUGGUGAUUGGCCAAGUAUGUUAUUCAGCAUUUAUAAUGCUUUGUUGAGUUGAUUUAAUUAUUUGAUUGAGAAAUCGUUGAGCAUGGAUUGUCGGUAUUGAAAGUAGAUUGGUAACCACUUGAAAGAGGACACGUGGGCUCGGUGAAUUGAAAUGUCACCUGGAGAAUGCACGUGAGUUCAGUGGUUGAAUAUGUCAACUUAGCGAAAAGGUCGCCUGAGAGAAUGCACGUGACUCGGAGACUCGGUAUGUCGUCCUGGAGAAUGCACGUGGCUCGGUGAUAGAGUNNNNNNNNNNNNNNNNNNNNNNNNNNNNNNNNNNNNNNNNNNNNNNNNNNNNNNNNNNNNNNNNNNNNNNNNNNNNNNNNNNNNNNNNNNNNNNNNNNNNNNNNNNNNNNNNNNNNNNNNNNNNNNNNNNNNNNNNNNNNNNNNNNNNNNNNNNNNNNNNNNNNNNNNNNNNNNNNNNNNNNNNNNNNNNNNNNNNNNNNNNNNNNNNNNNNNNNNNNNNNNNGCACCUAAGAGAUGCACGUGGGCCCAAGGUUCGAGGCAUGUGGACUCGGAGACUUGGAAUGUCGUCCUAGAGAAUGCACGUGGCCUCGCUUUUAGAUACUCCUCCGUGGAGAAUGAUUUGUGUGACAUGUAAUCGACUGGUUCGAUUUGUUUUGAGUAAAUAGGUGCCUAUUGUGAAUUAUACUGACUUGCAGGUGAGAUCUGAGGCCAAGGUAAGUCCUCUGCCCUGUGCGUGUUUAGGCAGCUUUUAGUAUAAUGGUUUAUCUAAUCGGGCUUAGUGGGGUAGAACUCGCUGAGACGUAGUCUCAUCCCAGUUUGGGGAAAACCAUUUCAGGACCCCGCUGAAGAGCUGAGAAGGAGGAAUCCGAGAAGGAGGACUCGGAGGCGAAUCUUAAGGAGAAAGAUUUUUGGAGGAAGAAGGCAAUCCUGAGAGGGGCCUUGAGUACGGCCCAGUUCGUCUAAGUUUCUGUCUUCUUUUGAGAUCUCCAUUUUGAUGUGAAUAGUUUUGAAGUGGUUUGUGUUUUGUAUAAAAGUUUGGUUAUAAAUUUCAAUAUGAAAAAUAUGGCCCUGCUUUUCUAUCCCAUCAUUUUAUUGUCUGGGGAUUUUAACUGCUUCCGCAUGUGCUUAAAAAUUGAAAGGGUCGGCGAUACAUUGUCCUGAGAUAUCGCAUUAUAAAAUCGACCAAAUAGAAGGAUGUGCACGUGCCCGAGGAUCGGGGCGUGACAAUAUCUGCCAUUAGUCAAAUUUGACAUACAAAAGAACUUACAAAGGAACUCAAAAUGGCCAAGGAUUUUUUUCAAAGAAAAUAUGAACAUUGGACAUUGGGAAAUUCUGGGUGUCGUAUACAAUAACGAGUAGUAGAAGUUCAUCAGCCUCUAGAUGAAAAUCUCAAAUCCCAGGUUUUUCGAUAAGGGAAAUGUUAAUUACUGGGUAAUUCUUGUUUAUCUUUGUUGGUAUUUAUAUUCUUGCCUCGCAAGCUGCUAUAUGUUUGCAGUCUACAAAAGCUGGCAACGAAAGAAUAAACAAAAAACAUUGCUAUAACGUAAUCAACAGCAAUUAUAGAGAGGCAAAUCCGGAGUUUCCAAAAUCAAUCAAAUAGAUACCCAUUGUAGAGCGAAUCAUUCUAAAAAUUUCUCUUUUCGCUCAUUUCGGCAUUUCAAGGAUGAAGAAUCUUACUAUGCCUUCUAUUGGGUCUACAUUUUGAUCUUGGCUAGAACAUCACGUCAGCUUCUGGCCAACUCCCCCACCUCUUCAAUAAUGUAAGACUAGCAAUUUAGACCCUGUCAUGGAAAGCCUUCUUGUCAGAAGAAGAUGGUGAUGUAAAGUUGGUCAUGGAUCUUAGAAGAAAAAUGAUUGUUCAUUGCUUAUUUACCUUUGUUGAAGAAACAUUACUCCUCUCACUAUUGUAAUACGGGCGUAAGAUUUAUUGCAUCAUUAUCACCGCAAGAUAAUGUUUCCAAAUAGAACUAAAACAUAAACUAGGGACGUAGUUCAUAAUUUCUAUUGACGUGCAUUCCAGAUAAGUUAGGUAUUGCUUUCAAUGAGUCACAACCAGAAAUAUCCAUAUAAGUUAAAUUCAACAUUUCAAGUCCCUGAAGUUGAGCAAGUUUCUUGCAAUCUCGAACUAUUAGAGAUCGUAGCUUCUCAAAUCCUGUCAAAUCUGGCAAAGUCUCCAUUGAUUUGCAUCCUGUAAAAUCCAACUCUUCUAAGAACUUCGCACCAUCAAGACCUUGAAUUUCAACUAGAUUGCCACACCUAGAAGCCUUGAAUUUCUUCAAACACUUGCAUUCAUAUAAAAAUAAGUUAGUUAUUGCUUCCAAUGAGUCACAACCAGAAAUAUCCAAAUAAGUUAAAUUCAACAUUUCAAGUCCCCGAAGGUGAGCAAGUUUCUUGCAGUCUUGAACUCUUAGAGAUCGUAACUUCUCACAUCCCAUCAAAUCUGGCAAAGUCUCCAUUGAUUUGCAUCCUGUAAAAUCCAACUCUUCUAAGGACUUCGCACCGUCAAGACCUUGAAUUUCAAUUAGAUUGCCGCACCCAGAAGCCUUGAAUUUCUUCAAACACUUGCAAAAAUAUAAAAAUAUGACCUCCAAGGACUCCAAAUUAUCACAGCCCUUAAUUUCAACUAGGCUAUCGCAAUGCUUAAUGUGUAAUCGUUUCAGAUGAAUAAAUCCUGAAAGGCCCAAUGUUCUAAUGGAACUGCACUUUUUUAUUGAAAGCUCUUCCAAGUGCGUGAGUCCGCUAAGCGAAAGUGAUGUCAACUUAUUCCACUCCUCAAAACAGAGUUUCAAUGUUAUUGAGGAAAGCUCGCAGAUGUCUUCAAGUAAAUGGCGUACCUCAAGAUCGAGUUUUUCUAAGUGGAUGAGGCGAAGGAGCUGUGGCAGUCCAAGACUUUGACAAGUAACCGACAGACAUGUUAAGCCCAAAGGAAGCUUUGGCAGCAACCGGAGCUUGUAACAGCCCCUUAAGUCAAGGCUUUGGAGAGAAGAAGGAAGCUCUGGCAGCGACUGGAGCUCCUUACAGUCAUAUAGCUUAAGGCUUUGGAGAGAAGAAAGAUUCCGGACGCUUUCUAGCAGGUCAGAUAUCGGUGUGAAAUUGAGAUAGAUAGUCUCGAGGGAAGGCAAGUCACCGAUUUCACUUGGAAUUGCCCCUUUCAGACUACUGCACAAGAUGAGAUUUAGAAUCUGCAGAUUUUUCAACCCUCCAAUAGCACUGGGAAGCUUUUCGAUUGCACAAGUAUUCAAGUUAAGAUAUUGCAAAUUCUGUAAAUCCCCAAUUGAGCUGGGGAUUUCUCUCAGUGACUCACAUUCGAAGGCACUCAGUGUUUUCAAUUUCCUCAAGAACCAAUAGAUGAAGGAAUUGUUGUAAUACCAGAUUGAUCUAAAAUAAGUGCUUCUAAAUCUUUUAAUCCACCCACCUCCUCUGGUAGCUCCUUGAGACCUGUACAUGAAUACAAGUCCAAGGUAACGAGGCCUGUGAGUUCGCAAAUAGAAGGGUGGAGAUGCUCCAAUCCAUCACAAUGGCUCAAUAGGAGAAUUUUCAACUGUGUGAAAGCUGAGAGUUCAGGAGUACAUCUUAAAUUAAGACAACCUCGAAGGUCGAGAACUUUAAGCUGCUUUGACGCCUAAUACAAAAGGAGAAUAAUCCGUCAAAUGAGGAGUUGAUUGGCUAAACAAAAAACAAACCUCAAGAUCGCAGAGAGGAUGUAUUCUUUUCCUAAUCUUACCAUGAAUGAAUUCCAUCCUUCCCAAUUCUCAGUGAAUUCUCCCCAUAAGUCUAGGCCCGAUAAUUUUGGCAAAUGCAAGUUGAUCGUCGAAAGAGACACAUCGUUUCCAGGAACAGUCCACUCAAACCAUCUCACUUCAGAAAACUUGGAAUCUCCUCUAGAAGCUGCCCCCAAAAAGUCGUGGAACCAGUGGUGUCUCUGCAAGUUUUUUCACUUUUUAGUUUUUGCUUUUUUUUAAAUCUUGAAUUUGCACGAUUACCUUUUUAUCCUUCCCCUAUACAUGUAUGGAUAUGUAAACUCACAUUUAUUAUUAUUUUUUUUACGACCUUUUGAAAGUUAAACAAAUGACGCAAAGAUAAAGAAAAAAAUAAUUAUUGCUUUAAAACAACUAAGGCAAAUGCACCUCAAUGUUUUAUCUCUUGCUUCUUCUUCUUUUUCAAAAUUUUGUAGCGCAUGGAUUUUCACUUUCAUUUAAGAAGAAAUACAUAAAACUAGUUUACAACGUACAAAUGUUUACUUGUAAAUUUUUAAAUGACUUAUGUAUAAUUUUUAAAAGAAUUUGUUAAAGAGUGUCGACGGGCCACCUGUAAGUAGCUAAGGAAGCACCCUAUUUUCAUUUCAUUAGUUAAAUGUAAUAAUGUGGAAGAGAAAAAAAAGGGGGAAUUUUUAAUAUAUUCAGAUAUAUAGAAAAGUUUACGUGGAAGGAAAUUAAAAGAAAUCAAAUAUGAUAUGCAUUAUCAAAAUAGAUAUAGAAAAUUAAAAGAAAUAUCCUUAUCUCUAGAAGGUAUCUAAAUAUCUUUAACGUCAUUAACUAUUUGCGUGGAGUGUUUACUCAUUUCUUUGACAAUAGAAAAGUUUUUUUUUUUUGGGUAAAGUUUGUUUAAAAAGUGACGUGGCAACAUUGGUUAGUAGUUACUUACCAAAAAAAAAAAAAAACAUCGGUUAGUAGUUUUGACCAGGAUUGAAAAAAAUAAGUCGCUUUCAGAAUAACUAGAAAAUGAACCGAUUAACUAAAAAGUGCAGUGGUAACAUUGUUUAAUCAUCAUACGUUGGUUUCCAUAAGAAUAGCAUCGUUUCUUUUUCCAUCUUAUAAAUCAAAAAACAUACUGUUUAACUUUCCUGCUAAAACAUAUCAUUUAAUUAGUUGCAGACGGUGAAAGAAAUUUCCUUAUGGCUUUAUUUGACUUUUAUAAUAAUACCUAUAUUUUCCCCCAAAAUUUUAAUUGGUUAGAAAUUCACUUUUAUGGUUAGACACGUUUGUCGUUAUAUCUACUUUAAUUAUUAACCAGUGAAAUGCAAUGGGUAUAAAUUCUCUUAAGUCUAUUUGUCUGAAAUGUAGCUAAAUUGUUGUAAUCAUAUCCCACACUAUCUUUAAUAAUUUUCGCUUGUAUAUCGAUCUAUACUAUGUAUUACAUUAAAAAAAUCUACUGUAUGGAAAGGGAUUUCAAACCUCAAACUUUCGUCAAAAGUUUCCACACAAUUCGCAUAUAUCUCACCAAAAUGAACUAAAGAAAUAGGAUAUAACAAAAUAGGCAUAAUCAUAUUUGAAAUAGUCAAGACAAUUGGAAAUUAGUCCCACAAGCAUUUCAAUUUCCAAAGUUAAAUCAAAAUCUCUCGAAUCGUACAAUCAUUUCAUUUUUUUUCGACACUAUUUAUCAUCUUUCAGCAUUUUUGUCCAUUCAAAACAGAAUUGACCUUUCUUUUUCAUUGUUCCAAACACUUGUAUGGUGUGGUUUUUUUGCUAAUGCUAAGAAGUUAUUGGAUCAACAAAAGAGUGUGAUAUUAAAUCAUAGGAACGAACUAUUUGAAAUUAUAUCAAGAAUAUACGGCUGCUUUGUUUGCCCAACAUCCCUUGGUCAAUUUCUAGGGUUAAUUCCUUGCCGUUGAUCAGCCAUGAAACUGUAAAGCUUUUCAAAUGGACAAUAUAUAAUAAAAUGACAUGAACAUUGACAAUUUAAGUUAAAGAUAAAACAUAGUUGAAAAAAUUUGCUUCAUGCUGAAAAUCAUAUAUAAUGAAUACAAGGUUAUGGAUAUAAUAAUAAGCAUGACAUUUCCUCCGAUUAGUCAAGUUUUCUUUUUUUAUCUUAAAAAUAGUCAAGUUAGUCUAGCGAAUUCUGGCGCAAAAGAGGCAGUGCCCAAAAAAUAUAAAUAAUAUAAAACAACUUAUAGCAGAUAGAGAUGUUUGUUAUAAAGAAAUCCACUCUUUAUUAUACGCCUAACCUAAUCCAUGAAAUAAGCAAGGUCAAUGGGAUAAAACCCUAAAAAACGGUAAGAUUUGCCUGUAUAUAUUUUUAAGGGAUUUUUGCUAUCUAUUAAGCAGAGAUAACAAUGAAAAGAGAUAGCUACAAAUAACUAGUUGAGGGAUCGGUAUCUUCAAAAUCAAAAGAGAGAAAAAAAAAUAUCAAACAUCCGAUUUCUAAAUCACAAGAGCACCACAAUACAUUUGGCCGUACUAGAAAGCAAACAUAUGUGAUAAGUGUGAAUAAUUUUUCCAAUCUUAUUGCUUUGAAUUAUUUAUCGGUUAUUAUACUAUCUCCUUCUUUUUUCUUAACCAGGAAAUCUUCAUUUAUUUGAUCUAUGAUGUUAUACUUCGUCUUCACUCAUAAUUAUAGUCCUUCUGAUUAUCAAUAUUUUCAAGACAAUUGCAUGCUUCAAGUAAAUGAGAUUUAUAGUCUAAAAUUGUAGUUAAAGAAUUUUGAAUUGAUUGCCAAACAAAUUUUUACAUAUGUAAUUUGCAUCGAUGAAAUUGAAUCAAUGAUAUAACUUUUUCAUCCUUGAGAUACUUAUGAUUUAUUUAGUGUCACAAUUAAUCUACGAUGUACAUAAAUGGAUGUUUAAAUAGAUUUUUUUUCCUAGAAAGUAAGAGCAUCUUUUCAUGCUCAAUGAAAUAUUAGAAUAGAUUGGAUUAAAUAUAUUAUAUAAGAGGGAGAGAAAAAAAAAAGAGUGCCAUAUUUUACCUCUAGAUGUCUUACUACUCUUGGGACUCCCUCAUAGUCGUCAUCCCAUGGUCCAUUACAUUUCUCAAGCAAUUGUCCUCGGCAAAAAGUGCUCCUUCCAAGAUCUCUUAGUUGAUCAUGCACCAUAAAUUCACCAUGGUCUCCAAUUUUAAUUAAGCACCUCAACUUCAACUCUUCAAUUCCUUGAUUUGGAUAAAACCCACAAUCCUCCCACAUGUACAUAGUGAAUCGUGCAACUUCGCCACCGUCACGUAUGCCAAUAAAGAAACAAACAAUAUCGAGAAAAAUCUGCUUAUGUUCAUCUUCUAAUGCAUCAUAACUUAUUUGCAAUAUUUUUUGGAUGUCUCUAUGUGGUUGGCUUUUUAAUUGCUUCCACACAUCUUCCCAUACUUUUUGAUUCGGUUUUUUAUACAAGUAUGAACCUACGACCUUAAGUGCCAAGGGAAGCCCACCCAUGGUGGAUACAAUAUCACGAGAUAGACCCUCAAAGUCCUUCGAAGAAUGGUCCAUGUAAAAUGCAUGUCUAUUAAACAAAAGCAAAGCAUGCUCCCAAUCUAAUUCAUUCAAAUCAUACUUGUGUACAUCGAAUUUAGAUUGAUCAAGAAUGGCUUUAUAUCUGGUUGUAACAAUAAUAAUACUUCCCGCCAUAAACCAAUUAUGUUCUCUAGCCAAAGCAUUUAAUUGAUCCUCGUGAUCUAGAUCAUCCAGAAGAAUGAGAACAUUUUUUCCUUUCAAUCUAGAUUUGAUCAAACUGAUUCCAUCAUCAACAUUCCCAAAUUGAGGUUCGAUUUGUAGAAUGCCCUUUAUUAGUUGCUUUUGUAAAUGAACAAUAUUGUUGCGGCAAGCUGUUUCUCGAAUAUCUGCAAGGAAGCUACAAUGCACAAAGUCAUUUGAAAGCUGGUUAUAGAUUACCUUGGCAAGAGUCGUUUUUCCAAUCCCACCCAUGCCAUAGAUUCCAAUCAUUCGAGCAUUAGUGGUAGGAGUGUCUACCCAUUUCAUGAUUCUGUUCACAUGAUCAUCAAUUCCAACUAAGUGCUCAGUAACAUCAAGCUGAAAAUCUUGUCGCAACUUGCUCAUAACAUUUUCGAUAACUUUUUUCACUAAUUCUCCUUCAUGCCUGUCCAACAAAAAAACUCAAUAAUAAUUUCGUGAUUAUACUUAAUCUCAUCAAAAGGCACCGAUAGGCAUGUGAAGAAUGGAUGGGACCAAUUAAAAUGCAAGAUGUUUUGGUUUUACAAAUAACAAUGGGGGAUGAUGGCCAGCGGUCAUUUCAUUUUUUCUUCUCUCUUUUGCUAGAUGGAUCUGCUGAAAGAAAAUAAGGCGGUACACCUGGCUCGUUAAGAGUCUUUAGAAGUGUAAUGUUUGUUACAAGGCUUAAGAUUGCUGCUAGUUAAAUGAUAGGAGGUCGAUUUUGUUUUAAUUACAGAGGUUUAGGAGAAAAGUAGGUUACUCCACUCUAAGGCCAGGGCAUCUCACGUGCCAAAAUCGAGGACUUAUAGUUGACUUACAAAUCGCUACCGAUGGGGUCUACUGACAGUAAAAAUCAAACCUAGACAUGGUAAAUGUGAAGUGUCCCGUCCUUUUCACCUGAGCCAACUUCCAUUCGCAUGAGGAGGUCUAUUUUAUCUGGUGGUGAUAAAGCUUUGAAAUACUGAGCAUGCGAGUUCUUUCUAAGCGUAUUGUUUGGUGAUUGACACUAUUGGCCGGAGGGGUUGUCAUUUAUUUGAUUUUUGCUCUAUUGGAGACAAUUGUAAUUCAUCUGUUUGGCUUGAACAAGAAAAUUUAUAGGAUAAUUACUAAAAAAAUCUUAAAUUUAUUAUAAUUGUAUUAAUUCAGUCUUUAAUUUUUUUAUGGCCAAUUUAGUCCUACACAUUUUUUCUUCUCUCUUAUGCUAGAUGGAUCUUGUUGAAAGAAAAUAAGGCAGUGCACCUGGCUCGUUAAGAGUCUUUAGAAGUGUAAUGUUUGUUACAAGGCUUCAGAUUGCUGCUAGUUAAAUGAUAGGGGGUUAAUUUUGUUUUAAUUAAAGAAGUUUAGGACAAAAGUAUGUUACUCCACUCUAAAGCCAGGGCAUCUCACAUGCCAAAAUUGAGGACUUAUAGUUGAUAUACAAAUGGCUACCGAUAUGGUCUACUGACAAGGGAAAUCAAACCUAGACAUGGUAAAUGUGAAGCAUCCGGUCCUUUUCACCUGAGCCAACUUCCAUUCGCAUGAGGAGGUCUACUUUAUCUGGUGGUGAUAAAGCUUUGAAAUACUGAGCAUUCGCGUCCUUUCUAAGUGUAUUAUUUGGUGAUUGACACUAUGGGCCGGAGGGGUUGUCAUUUCUUUGAUUUUUGAUCUGUUGGAGACAAUUGUAAUUCAUCUAUUUCGCAUGAACAAGAAAAUUUACGGGAUAUUUACUAAAAAAAUUAUUAUAAUUGUGUUAAUUCAAUCUUUAAUUUUUUUUAUGGCCAAUUUAGUCCUGCACAUUUUGAAAAUAUGCUAAUGUAGUCCAUCCGGCCAACUUUGGCUAGAAAUCGCUAAUAUAGACAUAAGCCAUUCCACGAGGCACCGUCGAUAACGUUGAGUAUUUUUAUAAUUUUUUCUGAACUUUGUUGAAUUUGCUUAUAUUUUUUUGUUUUUUCUCUCUUUCUUCUUUUUUUUCCUUCUUCUUCUACGGUCACCGGCCAUAGAUGAGGGCUGCCUCGCCAUGAGGGCUGACCUCGCCAGAAUCUGGUCCUUCUGGUGGUCCUAUAGAGAAUCGCAAGGAGGGAGAGACCGAGAGUUUUUCCAACAAGAGAGGGCCGUCGUUGGGUUAGAUGAGGAGGUUCGCCAGCAGCCAGAACGUGCUGCCGAACUUCGACUAGACGGCACAGGUGGCGCCGAUGGAUGCAACGGAGCAGAGGAACUGUUACUUUGAGGACAAAGACAGACACAAAGAAGAGCGAGAUGAGGACGACGCGACGAAGUGGUGAUUCCAUUUUCGUCCCCCAUUUUGGUAGGUGGAGUGGAGUCGAAGGCGAAGAAGGAAGCGAAUCUGUGGAAGAGAAGGACAAUGGCUCAUCCUCAACCACUUGGCUUGCGACAUCCCCAAUUAUUCUGCAAAUGUAAUCGUGUUCUCGAAUGAUUGUGUUCAUGGAUUCCCAAUUUCUGACGCUCUUCCUUCUUUUUUUGUGGGAUUCAAUUUGGGUUGGCCUCGCCUCUUCUAAAGGACCAGAUUCCAGCGACGUCGCCCUUGCCAGAUUCGGCAAGGGCAAACCUCACCGACCCUCGUUUGUGGCCUGUCACCCUCCAUCAAGGAGGCCGCGGCUAGAGUGGAAGAAGGAAAAAAAAAUAAAAAAAUAAAAACUAAAAAUUUCAGAAAAAAUAAUAAAAAUUUAUUUACGUUAACAAUUUUCAGCUGAAAUCGACUGAAUGACUAUAUUGGCAAAUUUUCAGAGGGUCUAGGAUUAAUUUGACUGCAUAAAAAUGUUUAGGACUAUAUUGACACAAUUACAAUAGAUUUAAGAUUUUUUUAGUAAUUUCUCCGAACACUUACUUAUCAAAAAAGAAAAGUGAAGGUGGAAGCAAAGUACCCGUUAGCAACUUUCUCAGACUCCCAUCCAUGUAAGUAACUCACUUCUUUGAGUGCUUGCUGCCCUUUCUGGAUAUCCUCCUCAUCAAAAUACUUCUUACGUGAAUGGAAAGCCUUCCCAAAACUUCCUUUUAGAUACCGCACAUCCGAUGAAUCCACUUUAUAAAAGAUGGGCAAAACUAUGUGUGAUGUGCUCUUCGCGUGAUCCAUGAUAUGUAUAAGCUCGCGAAGGCACCAUUUGCUUGAAGCAUAAUUUUUGGAGAUGAUGAGGAUCGAAAUCUUAGACCGAGCGAUGGCAUCAAGAAUCCAUGGACCAAAUUCCUCGCCAAUUGGAAUGCUCUUAUCAUCCCUGAACAUGAAAACCGGUACAAUCCCCGCCUUGUCUAGACCGUGAUAGAGGUGAUCAGCGAAUUCCUUGCGGGUAUCUGACCCUCUAAAGCUCAAGAACACAUCAUAAUGAUCAUUACCUUCUCCUGUGGGUGUUGGAGAGAUGAAUGAAGAUGUGGAUGCUCUCUUCUUCUUCUUCUUGAGAAGAUUGAAUGCAAGCAUACAGAAAAGAAUCGUUGCGACAAGCGCCCCGAAAGAACGCCCCAUUACAAAAGGGUGCAUCCCUUCGUUUGUUUCAAUGUGACUUCGUCCAUUGUCCAUGGUGGCAAUCGGGGGGAAGUUGGAAAGAAAAAUGCUCUUCUGCUGCAUAAAAGGAUUGAUAACUAGUCUCUAUGAAGUAUGAACAAGUAUGAACAUGAAAUCUUUUACCAAGCAAGAAAAAACAAACAUGAAAUUUUUAAUUAAUUAUUAUUUGAUUGACUAGGAGCAGUUGCAGAUGCUUUUAAUCGUUGCUUUAUCUUCUUUUGGAUAUCAUCCUCUAGUCAAGUCAAUCUUGCUGGCUUCGGUCCCGCGUACAUUAAUUUCUUAAUUGGGCUAUAGAAUAAUGGAAUCUACGUACAAGCAUGUUGCAUUCGUUCAAAAUUAUACGUAGUAGUUCAGUUUUUACUUGAUUAUUGAAAAUAAGAUUUUGAUAAAUCAUUUUUUGUCAAAGAAUUUGAUAAAUCGUUUAAAAGCUGAUAAUUGAGUUGAGACAAGAUUGGAAAUGUGGGGAAGGGGUGAAGAAAGGACCUAGCUAGUUAUUAUAAAUGUGAUUUUAAAUUCAAUUUUGCCAUAGAUUUCUCCUCCUGCACAGCACAAAGCCUCCCUUCUCCUUGUAAAAUAGAGAUAUAAUUUGUUAGAUGGCACCAAACGGAGAAGCGGAUGCUCCCUCGGUGCUCUCUUUUUAUGCACUCUUUUCUUUCUUCAUGUUAGUCUGAACAAUUAGAAAUUAGGUACUUAUUCAAUGGAAGAAAAAGAAGAUAAAAAAAGGUCUCCGGAUUCAAGCGAAAUGUGGCAAUUAAUAGAGUCUAGCAUGCUUGCAGACCUGCUCGUUCUAGUUCAAAAAGAGAUCAGUACUGAAUUAUGAUGCAACUAACAAUCAUGUAGUAAGGCCAUCAUAGGAUUAGCCACAUCUAAAGUCGAAAAUAAAGGCUUUCUUUUUUCACCGAAGUCAAAUCUGAGCUAAGGUGCCUCGUUAACAGACAACAACGAUUCCAAAAGAGAGAAUAAAAGACACCCUCCUCAGCUAUUCAGCAGCCACCCCACAUCCUCAGUAGACAAAAAGGGCCCAGAAGACACUAGUUCAGCCUAUUAUUUCAAUAAUAAAGCGAUGAAUCAAUAGAAACGACACGGUAGUAAGAGAUGAAAAAGUGAUUACCUUCCACGAGCUAAGAUACGAAGAGAGGUGCGAGAUCGGUGAGAGAAGACCCUAAGCAAGCCUAGGCAGGAACUUUCAAGGGGGGAAAAAGAAUAGAGAAAGCGAGUGAAGACUGAUCAGUAGACGAUAGUCUCAAAUUGUUCUGUAAGAGAGAGGCCGAAUGCGAAAGAUAAAGUGGGCAACGAGAGAGAGAGAGAGAGAGAGAGAGAGAGAGAGAGAGAGCCGGGGGGGAGGGGGGGGGGCGCAUCAAUCAGUAGUAGACAACAGUCUUGAAUUAUUAUUGACUGACCGGCAGAUGAUAGGCUGAUUGACUGGCAGCAAUAAAAAUUCUUUUCAGAUGGCAAGCAAAGUCAAGCCACACAAUUUGGACCAGAGUACAGAAUGACCACUUCCGUUCAUAUCCACUUAAAAACCAUUUUAUUAAAUAGAUAAACGUGGCUCUAACCAGCUUGUAAAUCUUCCAUUAUAUUAUUACCAAAGACGUUCUUACUCCUGUAGGUGCAGCAUUUUCCUCCCACCAUAAAGAUGCAUAAAUCAUAUUGUCAAAUCCAUUGUAGAUCAACAAUUUCCUACGCUAUAUACACGUAAAAUUCAUGUCUUUGCUGUAAGCAAUAAAAUCGCAUGAAAAGCACAUUUUAUAUCAAGUUUCUCUAAUUCAAUCCACAAAGAUAAAGUCUACCUAAAAAUUGUCCACAUAAUAAAUACGUGCAAGUGCAUUGAAACCAGCAGCUUUGCUCACUUUCAAGUUUUCCAUUGUAACCAGCACCAAAAAAAAAAAGUUACAAUGGUGAAUUUUUCAUAAUUGGAAAACAUUUGAAUUUUCUAUCAUUUUUCCAAAAAUAUGAAAAUUGCCAAUAUAAUGGGAAAUGGUUUCGUGGACAACCAAAAAUUCUCUAGUUGAUAUGAUAUGUUCAUAUAAAUUUUUGUUGUUGACAAUUUUGAUCCGUAGCCUAUGAAAGGUUUUGUGCAUUAUUGAAGAGAAAAGACUAGCAUGAUCGAUACUUGGAAAAAUAUUUUUAACAUUUUUCAAGAAAAAAAGAAUUAUUUUUGCAAAAAUUGAGUAUUUUGGAUGUUUUAGGCUUUAAGUGAUUUUGGACAAGUAGGGUACGCAUAGGGCUGAUGGACCCAAAAUUAGGUCUAGAAGGAUAUUUUGGUAAUUUUCAUUCCCAAGGGAGUUCAGUCAACCAUUAAUGUUUAGAAAACAACAUCAGGAUAAAGGUCAGCAUGCGAUUCCACUAGAUUCAACCAGUCUAACCAUACAUAACCGAUUAGUUUCAUGGGAAGAUUGUAGUAAGGAAAUUAGCAAUAUAUAUGUAAUGAUGAUUUUGGAAAAGUUGAGGGAACUUCACGAGUAAUGUUUCGUAUGCCUUAAAGGAUAUCAGGUGUUAUGCAAUGAGUAAUAUUCAAAUGUAUUUUUGUCUUAUCAAUUGUAAUUGACUAGAGAAUGAAAGCCGAGCUUACCUGGAGGAGUGAUGUAGAGAUGAAAUUCCUAUAAUGGGUUUUAGUGUUUGAGAAGAAGUUGCCUUGGAUAGAUCAAGUUGUGCUUGAGUCCCAAAAGACAAUACAAUUUGAGGAUCACCUUCACACCUCAACUUGGAGCUAUCAAUACAAAUAUAUCUCAAGAACAAAAAUGAGGAUCUCAGUGAUUUAUGGUGAUUGGCAUUUCUCCUCUUCAAGCACAAGCAUUUGGGACUUUUAUAUAAAGCUGUACUUCUCUUGCCCCAGAGGAAACGCGAAAUCUUGUGGUAGAUGGUGUUUCUUAGACGAGGUAAUCGUACUUCUUUUGAUUCUAACCUUUUUGACUAAGACCAACAAAAUAAUCCCUUCCUUGAAAUUGGCAAGACGACCCCUAUAGACUUCACUUAUUAAUUCUUUUUGUUAAUGCAUCCCAUGGCCAAGCAAAUCACAGUGGAAAUUAAUUUUUUUGACACAAUGCUAGUCCUUAAUAGCUACGGAAUCAUCUCCUUUUCUUUUCUUUUUUUUUCCUUUUUUUGCCAAACGAAAUUAUCUCCUUUACUUGGGAACUUUUGCAAGGUGUUCAUAUUGAAAAUUACUUCUUCUCUUGCCUCGAAAAGUGAGCCCAAUGUGCUAGGGACACACACAAUCUUACCAUGGAUUUGCAUGUCCUCGAUGGGAAAAUUUACUUUUUUUACUGACUAACCCUCGCCAUUUGUUAGUUCUCUUUGUAAUGGAAUCACAUGGCCGCACAAAUCAAAGUGCAGAUGGACAACAUUUUGCUUUCCCUUCCUAUUGAAAUAAAAGCCUCUCACUGCGGGAGGCAUUGAAAUGGUCAAAAAUCUAUUUGUUAACUCAUAUUUAGUGACCUGAAUCAUAUAUGGAUUGGCUCAAAUUGAAAGAAUAGGUUGUUAUGAAUUUAAAGUAACAAGAUUUUAUUCAACAUAUAAUAUAUUUUAAUGAGUUUGAAUCAUGUCUAUAUGCAAUUCAUGUUAAUUAAAAAAAAGAGAGAGAGAAAAGUAAUGAUCUUUUUAUUUGCUUUCACAUGGCUCUUCUUAGGGGAACUCGUGCUCGAGUGAGGUAUGCCUUGACACGUGGAGCCCAUUGUAUGUGGCGCGACAAUUGCUGUGACAUCCAGAUUUUCGGGUUUUAAUUCGACUGGAUAAAUAGAGCCAUUUUCGUUCAGUUGAAGCCAGGGAUUGUGAAGUUGGAAUGCAAGUGGGUUAUAUUGGUAAGGAAAAAUACCAAUUAGAAUGAUGAGGUGUUGCAUGGAUUAAUGGGGGUCAAUUUGAUUUAAUUCAAGAGGAAUUAAGGCCCAAUUGGAAAGAAAACCUAGCAAAUUCGUAUGCCACACAUACCCCACAUUUUGGCCUAUCUAAAGGCUUCUAGAAGGGGUAGAAUUGACAAGAAAUUGUUAGUGGAAGGUGACAUCACAUGAUGUCAUGGUGGGCCAAGUGUGUGAUGACCUAAGAGAGAGAGAGAGUGUGUGAGAGGAAGAGGGGAAAUUGAAUUUUUCUUCCUCCCCUCUCUCCUCCGUCGACGGAUCCAUCCCUAUCUUCUUCUUCCUUUUCUCCAAACCUCCAUGGGAGCGGAAGACCAGAGAAGCAGAAGCAGCUGCCGUCGUCGCCCACCGAAGCCGGAGCCGCCGCCGCUGCUCCGCGGUUGGCCGCACCUCACCGCACGCCCUCUCUUCCGCCUCUCUCUCCCUCCUCUUAUUGGUGCAAACCAGAGGACAGCAGAAAGUAAAGCAGCGUCCAGCGUCGCCGGAAGGAACCGCGACCAGUUGCCUGGACGCCGCCGCACCGGAGCUGCCGCACCGCCGCCCGCGCGACGCCGCGCGCUCCGCCGCCUCACGAUCGCACCUACCGUCCUCGCUGUGCGACCCAACCCCUGUUCCGCCUCUGUUCAGCUUCGUUUUGGCCAUCACAGGCCACGGUUCGGCCACCUCCGGCCACCGUGCGCCGCCACUUCGACCCGUCGGAGUCCCCUCGCCCUCCACCGGCCUUGGCUAGCUCGAAUCAGCCCCGGAUCCGCCCCUUCCAGCAGCGAUCAGAGAAGUCAGAAAAUGGGUUUCCAGCACUGUUCAAGGCCGUUUUGGGCCGUUUCCCGGCCCCGAACCCGAGCCGCGCUUUGGGAAGAAUUGUUCCUCGCGUCGCCGCCGUCGGAUUGAUCCGAUUUGCGCGCGAUUUGGCGAGUAAUCUCACUAAUCCCGGAUUAGUUGAUUAAUUAUGCUUUAGGUUGGUUUAGUUUUAAUUAAUUAUGUUUAGGUUGUUAGAUUAGAAUUAAUUAGCAAUUAUUAGUCAAUUGUGAUGCGAUUUAGAUAAAUUGAUUGCGUAAUUAGCAAGUAGAUGUGGUCUACUAUUUAUUGAAGGCAUCUCGGGAAUUUUCGGACUCCUAAUUGAGCUUCAAUUUGGUGAUUCGGGCCUAAGUGGGAUUUUUGGCAUUUAAAUAUUAAUUAUCGGAAUUAAAUUAAAUAAUUAUUUAUUUUCCGAAAAUUUGAGGGAGAUGAUCUGGAACCGGAAUAUUAUGCUGAUGAUCGUGGCGAAGUCCGUUUAUUUGAUCGGAAUUUAUUUUAAGCUAAAUUGAAUUUUUAAUAUUAAUUAAUUUUCGAAAUUAAUUAAAUAAUUAUUUAUUUCCUGAAAAUUCAACUGGGAUGGCCCGUGACCAGAAAAUUAUGCUGAUGACCGUGGUGAAGUCCGUUUAUUUAAUCGGGCUUUAUUUUGGGCUAAAUUGAGUUUUUAAUAUUAAUUAUUUAAUUCUAGAAAUUAAUUAAUUAUUUAUUUAUUUUUCGGAAAUUAAGUUUGAGAUGGCCGAUGACCGGAAUUUCAUGCUGAUUGUCAUGGUGUGGUUCGUUUAUUUAUUCGAGGCUUAAUUUGUGAGAAAUUGAUUUAUUAGUGAUUUUAGGAUUUAUUCCUAAAUUGAAUAAUCUUUGGUUAUUACUUGAAGAAUAACCGGGCAUCGGUUGAUAAUGCUAAUAUAUUGAAAAAGUUGCCGAGUGGGGCCGUGAUACCACUACAUAUGAUAUUGCCGAGUGGGGCCGUGAUGCCACUACAUGCCGAGUGGGGCCGUGAUACCACUACAUAUGAUAUUGCCGAGUGGGGCCGUGAUGCCACUACAUGCCGAGUGGGGCCGUGAUGCCACUACAUGCCGAGUGGGGCCGUGAUACCACUACAUAUAGCAUUGCCGAGUGGGGCCGUGAUGCCACUACAUGCCGAGUGGGGCCGUGAUGCCACUACAUAUAGCAUUGCCGAGUGGGGCCGUGAUGCCACUACAUAUGACAUUGCCGAGUGGGGCCGUGAUGCCACUACAUAUGAUAUUGCUGAGUGGGGCCGUAAUGCUACUAAAUCUAAGAAAAUUGCUUGGUGGGGCCAUGAUUACCACCUAUAAUUAAGUUGUGUCCUAAGGACCGUGAUUCAUAAUUGGGAAUUGAAUUGGAAUAGUUGAAAUGACCGGAAGUGGUCUUGUUGAUAUGUAAUCGACUAGGUCGAUUGAUCAUUGCUUGAUCUGAUGUUGUGAAUGGGCAGAUUGAUUGGAAAUGACCAUGAGAUGGUCUGAUUGACUUGUAAUCGACUAGGUCGAUUGAUCGAUUAUUCGAUCUGAGUGUGACUUGAUGUGAUUCAUUGCCUUGGUUGGAUGUUGUGAAUUGAAUGAUUGAAUGGAGAUGAUCAUGAAUGGUCUUCCUGGCAUAUAAUCGACUAGGUCGAUUUGAUCGAUGCUUCGAUAAGUGAUCUGAUUGCUUGGGUGCCUAUUAUGAAUUGUACUAACUUGCAGGUGGGAUAUGAGGCCAAGGUACGUCUUCUGCCCUAUGCGUGUAUAGGCAGCCUAUAGUAUAAUAGUUUACUAAUUGGGCUUAGUGGGGUAGAACUCGCUGAGACGUAGUCUCAUCCCAGUUUGGGGAAAAACAUUUCAGGACCCCGUUGAGGAGCUGAGGAGGAAUCUGAGAAGGAGAACUCGGAUGUGAAACCUGAGUAGAAGGACUUUUGGAAGAAGAAGAUAAUACCGAGAGAGAUUUUGAGUAUGACCUGAAGGGAUUGAUAUUUCAUCUUCUUUUGUGAACUCCAAUUGAUGUGAAUAGUUAUGAAGUUCUUUAGUGGAUGUCAUGUACAAAAGUUUGGUUAUAAAUUUCAAUAUGAAAAAUAUGACCCUGCUUUUCUAUCCCAUCGUUUUAUUGUCUGGGGAUUUUAACUGCUUCCGCAUGUGCUUAAAUAAGAAAGGGUCGGUGAUACAUUGUCCUGGGAUAUCGCAUUAUAAAACCGACCAAGUGAGACGGAUGUGUGCGUGCCUGAGGAUCGGGGCGUUACAUCCUGUUUAAGUGGUAUCAGAGCGAAGUUGAAGAUUGGAGUGAUAAGGAGCGUUGACCAUGGGAUAGUUAGUAGGAAAGGCUUUUUAAUUCAUGUUGGUGCAUGUCUGUGUUAGCUGGAUGCUAGAAUUGAUUGUCGUGUGAGGAUCGCUCAUCUUCCAAUCCAGUGUGGAUGUGGAAGACGGGUUUCAGUGUAAAGACUGAACCAUGAGCGAGCAGGAGCUGAGAACUCCUAGUAAGAGGACAAUGUCCUCUGUGACUCGGGAUAAAGCACUGACAAAUGUCGGUACCCGAGGUGGUUGUGGCAGAGUGUCGGCUCUGGCCAGCUCGAGUGUAAGAGUACCACUGCAGGUUGGUACUUGUGUAGCAGCGUCGAAUGAUCCUAAGUUUGAUAGGAUCAUUUUGAUGCAAGUAUUCCUUGGGAACUGGAUGAGCCAGUAAGCUCAGGAUCAAGCCGUUGUCGUUGUCGCUAUCUCUACUGCCGUUAGUGUUGCAAGCGCCUUUGUUGCUACACCUGUUGAGAUCCAGAGUGGGGAUAUGAUCUGGGAUCGAGCCAUCGCUUCCAAGUCAAGGUACAGAUCCAGUUCAGGCAGAAAUGGAAAUCGGUCAGGGAAAAGAUCGAAGUCGAGAGCGGUUCUAGCAGACCGAUGGGACAACUAGAAAGAGUGUGUGCUGUCACUUGACAGGAGAUAGAAGACUCACCUGAUGAGUGCCGAAAGUAUGGAGGGAAUGCAUGGAUUAAUCCUGUGUUCGAGAAUGACUAGAACAUGCUUUGAUGGUAGUGAGCACGGCCAUCAAGUGAGGGACUAUCGGUUGGGGUUUAAGAAGAACACCAACACUGUUACUACCGUUGGAACACCAGCAAGAUGGCAAAAAGAACAGGAACGGAACUGACUAUACCUUAUUCAAUAAAAGAAUAUUUAGAGGUGAUUUUAUCAGAAUAGUGCCAGAGAAUGUUGGCAUUGCAAGUGUGGAAUUUCAGUUGUUUGUUAAGGCUGUAGGAAAAGAACCAUUGACUAAAGUUGUACUUGAUUUGUUGUUGGUGUACAACUCUAUCGUCAAGUGUAGAAAGAAUUGGUUCUUGAGCAUUUUAUGGUGAUGAAUUGUUAUGGUAGAGUAACCCAGCUUAUUCCAGGAGCAUGUAGAAGUAUCGAGUUUUACUGAGAGUUGAGAAGGGUCCUUGACUUCCUUGAUCUCGUCACUUGAGGUAACCUGGUUGUCAGACAGAAGUUAUCGAGAUUGGUGGGCAAUGAUCUUAGAUAAGAUAGAUUGAAGAACUAAAAAUUGAGAACUCCUCAGUAGUCCAAGAAUUCUUGGAAGUGUUGCCAGAAAAGUGGUCAAACCGUUGCCAGAGAAAGAGAUAGAAUUACAAUCGAGUUAACAUCUGGAACAGAACCAUUCUCUAAAAGUUCUUACCGGUUGUUGUUUUUUUGAAUUGAUAGAACCAAUGGUGCAGAUGUGAGGAUUGAUGAAUGAAGAAUUCAUGCAUAUCAGUGCAUCACUUUAGGGAUCAUCAGUUUUGUGAAAAGAGAAAGAAAGAUGGUUCGUUGCAAUUAUGCAUCAACUAUAGUUGACCCAAUCAAGUGACAAUCAAGGAUAAGUGUUCAUUGUCAAAGAUCGACGAAUUGGGUGACUUGUUAUAAAGAGUGAGGAUGUCUUCAAGGAUCAACUUGAGGACAGGUUAUUGUCAGUUGAGAAUCAGGAAUGAGGUUAUACUGAAGACGGCAUUCCGCACUUGAUUUUGUCCUUGUGAGAAUAAUGUAAAGCCAUUUGAUUUGACGAACGCUCCAAUUGCUGUCAUAGAUUUGACAAAUCGAGUGUUCAAAGAAUAUCUAGAUCAAUGGUGACCGUGUGGUGUAGCGACGUUCUAGGGUGUUCAUUAAGUGAUGAGGAUCACGAGAGCCCUUAAGAAUGGUCGUGUGGUUACAGGUAAAGGAAUCUUCAUGGACCCAGCCAAGAUCGAAUCAGUUGUUAAUGGACCGAGACCGACAUCAAUGUCAGAGAUCAGAAGUUGUGGGGAUUGGACAGAUUACUAUGGAAGGUUUGUGAAAGAAUUUUCAGCAUCAGUAUCAUCAUGGGCUUGACCUCUUGAGAAAGAAGGGAAAUUCCUUGGCAUAGACAAGUGCGAGGAUAAUUUCCAGAGCUUUCAGUAAGAUCAGGCUACCGCACUUGUGCUAAACUUUUCAUUUGGCUCUGGAAAGCAUGAAACCUUUAGUGAUGUGUCUUGCCAACGACUGGGCAUGUAUUGAUACAACAUGAGAAGAUUGUUGUAUAACUGUCCCGCCAGUUGAGACCCAACAAGUUGAACAUGAAACAGUGUCGUGAAUCAGAGUUCUGGCAGAACUAUAAUGAUGUUAUCUGGUAUUAUCGUGGGAGAAUGAAAGAAGUAAUUGAUGUGUUGAGCUAAGAGCCUUCAAUUGUGCAUAGACUGGCUAAAGUAUAGACUUUACUUGAAAAUAGUUCGAAAUUUGGUUUUCAAAAUUGAGGCAGGCUACCUUUUAAAUUUUAUAGCCGCCCUCAAAAAUUGAACCAAAUGUUCAAGUUAAAAUCGGCGCCUAGUUGACAGACAAAGAUGUUCAGAAAAUCUUAUGAUUUUCUGACUUUAAGAUUUAUGAGAAUGGAAAGUUCAGGUUCCAUGAGUGAUUGAAUACACUUGACAGUGUACCACUUAGGGAAAAGAUCUUGUCAGAAGUUCACUAUAAUAUCACAGUUUUGACCAGAUGGGGCAAGUAAGUCAGAAUCGAUGUCAGCUAGAUAGGUACGCCGAUAUGAAGGUAGAUAUCGCCAAGCAGGUUGCAAGUGUCAGAGGUGUCAGUAAGUGGAAGCUCGGUAAUGCGAACCGGGAGAAUUUUUACCAUCACUUGAGAGUCCCAAGUGGAAAUGGAAAUAUAUGGCUUACUAAGGAUUCAGGGGAUUACUGAUACCAUUUGAGAAUAGGGGUUGACCGAUAGAUGGAGUUGGUCCCCUUUGGUACAAUACGAAUAUAUCUUGUUUUGAGCAUGUAACAUCCAGAUUUCGGACUCUGAUUUCGAUUAGAUAAAUUGGGCAUUUCAUCGACGCAAUUACAGUGUUUUUCUCUGAGUUGGCCACUCAUGAGAUAACUAGACUAGCUGGGUGAGUUAUUAAGGACCUUAAGGCAAAUAGACUUGAGAAUUCGACCAUGGAUCGAUUUCUCGACCGUGCUCAUCUUUAGAGAUCAUUGCGGCACAGUAUAAAACCCGAUUUGAAAUCAAAGAUAGAUCGGUUCGACUGAGAUGAAUGACCGAUCGUGGGUGACUCCACUAAAUUGGAAAAUUCUCAUCGACCGACACUAAUUUGACGUUUCUAUCGUUUUGGCGCCCUGUGUCCGUAUUUGAAUCUUUGAGAUUUUCACGACAAUCGAGGGUCACCAAUGGGUCGAGUGGGUUUAUUGUGGCUCGAAGAAAAUCGACCACGGGUCAUUUGUCCUAAAAAGCUCUGAACACUACCCGGUAGCCUAGGUCACACUAAAAGCGUGUUGGAGUGAAAUUAACCGCCAAUCUAAGUUCGAUUUCAGAAACUGAAGACCUUAUCUUGAAGUGUGUGUGCAUUAGAUAAUUCGCCGGCAUGGAGUGUCGAUGAUGAAUUAUAUUUUGAAUCUAAAUCAGAGAUUAUAAAUUCGGCAGAGUUUUCAGAGAAUUCUUUAUUAAGCAGUGUAUAGCAGAGGGUACAAAAUUUCAGUGGUAAAAAAAAAGUGAAGAAGAUUUCAGGCCAAAGACAGUACAAUAGUCAGUGAUUACAGUUGCUAAGAUCAGUGCUAGAGUUAUAUCAGAUCUUGACCCGAGGUUCCCGGUUUCAGCAGACUAGUCAGAUAGUUUCCUUUUAAUCAGUACAGGGCAGAGUGUACAGGAUUUCAGUCGGUUGGGAUGAGAUCAGAAAUCAGAAAAUCGCAAGUCCGAAGUCAGCUCAGAAAUCAAUGUUUGCAGUUGUCAGAUCAGUGUCAGAGUAAAGACUUCUCAGAAUUGUUAGAAAUUUGGAAUCGUUGAGGUUCAAAGGUUUAUUAAGGAGUCGAGAAAAAGAGAUCAGAUGUGGAUGACAGGCUGUCUUAUGUGAGAAGCUCAGUUCAGUUGUUGGUUUAGAAAGAUCAGAGUUUGUGUACCAAGAUGAUUUCCUUAAUCAAAAUGGUCAGACAGCACCACAAGCCCGAAGGAUUAGCUUGGGAAAAAGUGAGACUCAAUGAGACGACAAUACCCUCACAUUUUGUAUAAGGAUUGGUAAAAGUUUAAAUUUUGAGGACGAAAUUUUUAUAAGAGGGGAAGAGUUGUGACAUCCAGAUUUUCGGGUUUUAAUUCGACUGGAUAAAUAGAGCCAUUUUCGUUCAGUUGAAGCCAGGGAUUGUGAAGUUGGAAUGCAAGUGGGUUAUAUUGGUAAGGAAAAAUACCAAUUAGAAUGAUGAGGUGUUGCAUGGAUUAAUGGGGGUCAAUUUGAUUUAAUUCAAGAGGAAUUAAGGCCCAAUUGGAAAGAAAACCUAGCAAAUUCGUAUGCCACACAUACCCCACAUUUUGGCCUAUCUAAAGGCUUCUAGAAGGGGUAGAAUUGACAAGAAAUUGUGAGUGGAAGGUGACAUCACAUGAUGUCAUGGUGGGCCAAGUGUGUGAUGACCUAAGAGAGAGAGAGAGUGUGUGAGAGGAAGAGGGGAAAUUGAAUUUUUCUUCCUCCCCUCUCUCCUCCGUCGACGGAUCCAUCCCUAUCUUCUUCUUCCUUUUCUCCAAACCUCCAUGGGAGCGGAAGACCAGAGAAGCAGAAGCAGCUGCCGUCGUCGCCCACCGAAGCCGGAGCCGCCGCCGCUGCUCCGCGGUUGGCCGCACCUCACCGCACGCCCUCUCUUCCGCCUCUCUCUCCCUCCUCUUACUGGUGCAAACCAGAGGACAGCAGAAAGUAAAGCAGCGUCCAGCGUCGCCGGAAGGAACCGCGACCAGCUGCCUGGACGCCGCCGCACCGGAGCUGCCGCACCGCCGCCCGCGCGACGCCGCCUCACGAUCGCACCUACCGUCCUCGCUGUGCGACCCAACCCCUGUUCCGCCUCUGUUCAGCUUCGUUUUGGCCAUCACAGGCCACGGUUCGGCCACCUCCGGCCACCGUGCGCCGCCACUUCGACCCGUCGGAGUCCCCUCGCCCUCCACCGGCCUUGGCUAGCUCGAAUCAGCCCCGGAUCCGCCCCUUCCAGCAGCGAUCAGAGAAGUCAGAAAAUGGGUUUCCAGCACUGUUCAAGGCCGUUUUGGGCCGUUUCCCGGCCCCGAACCCGAGCCGCGCUUUGGGAAGAAUUGUUCCUCGCGUCGCCGCCGUCGGAUUGAUCCGAUUUGCGCGCGAUUUGGCGAGUAAUCUCACUAAUCCCGGAUUAGUUGAUUAAUUAUGCUUUAGGUUGGUUUAGUUUUAAUUAAUUAUGUUUAGGUUGUUAGAUUAGAAUUAAUUAGCAAUUAUUAGUCAAUUGUGAUGCGAUUUAGAUAAAUUGAUUGCGUAAUUAGCAAGUAGACGUGGUCUACUAUUUAUUGAAGCAUCUCGGGAAUUUUCGGACUCCUAAUUGAGCUUCAAUUUGGUGAUCGGGCUAGUGGGAUUUUUGGCAUUNNNNNNNNNNNNNNNNNNNNNNNNNNNNNNNNNNNNNNNNNNNNNNNNNNNNNNNNNNNNNNNNNNNNNNNNNNNNNNNNNNNNNNNNNNNNNNNNNNNNNNNNNNNNNNNNNNNNNNNNNNNNNNNNNNNNNNNNNNNNNNNNNNNNNNNNNNNNNNNNNNNNNNNNNNNNNNNNNNNNNNNNNNNNNNNNNNNNNNNNNNNNNNNNNNNNNNNNNNNNNNNNNNNNNNNNNNNNNNNNNNNNNNNNNNNNNNNNNNNNNNNNNNNNNNNNNNNNNNNNNNNNNNNNNNNNNNNNNNNNNNNNNNNNNNNNNNNNNNNNNNNNNNNNNNNNNNNNNNNNNNNNNNNNNNNNNNNNNNNNNNNNNNNNNNNNNNNNNNNNNNNNNNNNNNNNNNNNNNNNNNNNNNNNNNNNNNNNNNNNNNNNNNNNNNNNNNNNNNNNNNNNNNNNNNNNNNNNNNNNNNNNNNNNNNNNNNNNNNNNNNNNNNNNNNNNNNNNNNNNNNNNNNNNNNNNNNNNNNNNNNNNNNNNNNNNNNNNNNNNNNNNNNNNNNNNNNNNNNNNNNNNNNNNNNNNNNNNNNNNNNNNNNNNNNNNNNNNNNNNNNNNNNNNNNNNNNNNNNNNNNNNNNNNNNNNNNNNNNNNNNNNNNNNNNNNNNNNNNNNNNNNNNNNNNNNNNNNNNNNNNNNNNNNNNNNNNNNNNNNNNNNNNNNNNNNNNNNNNNNNNNNNNNNNNNNNNNNNNNNNNNNNNNNNNNNNNNNNNNNNNNNNNNNNGAGUGGGGCCGUGAUACCACUACAUAUGACAUCACCGAGUGGGGCCGUGAUGCCACUACAUAUGAUAUUGCUGAGUGGGGCCGUAAUGCUACUAAAUCUAAGAAAAUUGCUUGGUGGGGCCAUGAUUACCACCUAUAAUUAAGUUGUGUCCUAAGGACCGUGAUUCAUAAUUGGGAAUUGAAUUGGAAUAGUUGAAAUGACCGGAAGUGGUCUUGUUGAUAUGUAAUCGACUAGGUCGAUUGAUCAUUGCUUGAUCUGAUGUUGUGAAUGGGCAGAUUGAUUGGAAAUGACCAUGAGAUGGUCUGAUUGACUUGUAAUCGACUAGGUCGAUUGAUCGAUUAUUCGAUCUGAGUGUGACUUGAUGUGAUUCAUUGCCUUGGUUGGAUGUUGUGAAUUGAAUGAUUGAAUGGAGAUGAUCAUGAAUGGUCUUCCUGGCAUAUAAUCGACUAGGUCGAUUUGAUCGAUGCUUCGAUAAGUGAUCUGAUUGCUUGGGUGCCUAUUAUGAAUUGUACUAACUUGCAGGUGGGAUAUGAGGCCAAGGUACGUCUUCUGCCCUAUGCGUGUAUAGGCAGCCUAUAGUAUAAUAGUUUACUAAUUGGGCUUAGUGGGGUAGAACUCGCUGAGACGUAGUCUCAUCCCAGUUUGGGGAAAAACAUUUCAGGACCCCGUUGAGGAGCUGAGGAGGAAUCUGAGAAGGAGAACUCGGAUGUGAAACCUGAGUAGAAGGACUUUUGGAAGAAGAAGAUAAUACCGAGAGAGAUUUUGAGUAUGACCUGAAGGGAUUGAUAUUUCAUCUUCUUUUGUGAACUCCAAUUGAUGUGAAUAGUUAUGAAGUUCUUUAGUGGAUGUCAUGUACAAAAGUUUGGUUAUAAAUUUCAAUAUGAAAAAUAUGACCCUGCUUUUCUAUCCCAUCGUUUUAUUGUCUGGGGAUUUUAACUGCUUCCGCAUGUGCUUAAAUAAGAAAGGGUCGGUGAUACAUUGUCCUGGGAUAUCGCAUUAUAAAACCGACCAAGUGAGACGGAUGUGUGCGUGCCUGAGGAUCGGGGCGUUACAAUUGCAUGAGCUUUUUCUUUACUUGCCCAUUGCUUUAAUCAAUGAUUGAGUGACCCGUCAUUCAUUCCCUAUUAUUCAUUAUCGAUUGUUUAAUCUAGUGGGACUCAUGUAGAACUUAUAUGGCUCCGGUCAUUUUUAGUUUUCCAAAUGUAAUCUUUCCCACAAUAUCAUUUAGCUCCCCAUCUAGACAACGACGUCAAUUAGGGCCAAUUCAGCCAAUUCUCCUCUGUACUCUUAAGGACAUAAGGAAUUAGAUUGAUAUCGUGUGCUUAAUAUGCACAAAAAAAAAAUUAUCUUAGGUAUUUAGGGAUCAAAGUUAUGGUGAAAAAUAAGGGAAUGAAAAAAGCUAGGAAAAUUACCAAAAAAGUCCUAAACUAAUUACAUUUGUGCUAAUUCAAUCCUAAACCUCUAAAUUUGAUCAAUUUAGUCCUAAACCUUUUGAUAAUUUGUCAAUAUAGUCUAUCCGGCCAAUUUUGAUGGGUUUAGGUUGCUUUGGAUGGUGAUUUUUCUUGGUUAUUAGCCGAAUUGCAUCCUAAUGGGCGCUUAAAUGUCAAAAAUACUCUUCAUCAGCUUAUAUCACCAUAUGAUACAACUGUCACAUGAAAUAUCUGUUAUUCUACCACAUCAUCUCUCUCUCUCUCUCUCUCUCUCUCUCUCUCUCUCUCUCUCUCUUCUUUGUCACGGUUGAACUCAAAAUAGAGGCGUCUUGCUCAAAGCUGCAAUGACACUUGACUAGACCUAGCAUCGCAUUUUAGUAAUUUUGGCAUGCAUUGAGCUAGAUGCGGCAUUGGAUCUCUACUUGAUCUAAUGUCGAGCCCAACACUGCAGUGGGCCGUCAUUGAGGACUCAUAACUCUAGGAUAAAUAUGUUGUUGCAACAAUCAAGCGCAUCGCCAAAUUGGAUCAAUGGGAUAUUCUUUCACAUAACAUGAUCAUGCUGGUAUAUGCAUUUUGCAAAAGAAAUCUUUAUCACGAAAAAAAAAAAAGACUUUUUCAAAACUUCUAUAUCAAAUUUCCUAUGAAACCGAGUUAAAUACCUUUUAGAAAAUUGUCUAGCGAGGGAAAGCAAGUCAAAGUCUUCCACCAUCUUCCUUGCUCAGUUGCAAAGAAAGUGGUAAGGCAAAAGCUGACAAGACCUAUUCAACAGAAUUUUUUUUUUUGGGAGGGGGGGGGGGGGGGGAAGAAUAUCCGGGAAACCCCAGUUUAAAUCUUCCUCCCAUCUUGUUUCCUUUCCAAUAAAGUGAUAAGGGCAAAGCUCACCAGACCCAAAAAAAAAGGGGGGAGGGGGGAAAGACCCGUUAAGAAAAAAAAUCAAAUUCUUCCGCCCAUUUGUUUUGUUUUGUACAAAAAAAGGGAUAAUACAAAAGUUGACCAGACCUCAAAGGGAAGGGGAAAAAGGGACGGCCUUCUUAGAAAAAUCAAGGCAAAGUCUUCCAUUCUCCUGCUUCCCUGAUUNNNNNNNNNNNNNNNNNNNNNNNNNNNNNNNNNNNNNNNNNNNNNNNNNNNNNNNNNNNNNNNNNNNNNNNNNNNNNNNNNNNNNNNNNNNNNNNNNNNNNNNNNNNNNNNNNNNNNNNNNNNNNNNNNNNNNNNNNNNNNNNNNNNNNNNNNNNNNNNNNNNNNNNNNNNNNNNNNNNNNNNNNNNNNNNNNNNNNNNNNNNNNNNNNNNNNNNNNNNNNNNNNNNNNNNNNNNNNNNNNNNNNNNNNNNNNNNNNNNNNNNNNNNNNNNNNNNNNNNNNNNNNNNNNNNNNNNNNNNNNNNNNNNNNNNNNNNNNNNNNNNNNNNNNNNNNNNNNNNNNNNNNNNNNNNNNNNNNNNNNNNNNNNNNNNNNNNNNNNNNNNNNNNNNNNNNNNNNNNNNNNNNNNNNNNNNNNNNNNNNNNNNNNNNNNNNNNNNNNNNNNNCUUACAAAGAAAGCGAUAAGGCAAAAGCUAACAAGACCUAAAAGAAGGGGGAAGGACUGGUGAGGAAAAGCAAGUCAAAGUCUUCCACCAUCUUACUUGCUUAGUUGUAGAGAAAGUGAUAAGGCAAAAAGCUAACAUGACCUAAAAGAAGAGGUAGAGGGAGAACUAGCAAAGAAAAGCAAAUCAAAGUCUUCCACCAUCCUGCUCACUCAAUUACAAAGAAAGUGGUAAGGCAAAAGCUAACAAGACCUACUCGAAAGAAGGAGGGGGCGGGCGAAGGAUUGACAAGGAAAAGCAAAUCAAAGUCUUCCGCCAUCUUACUUGCUAAACCAACAAGACCUACUCAAAAGAAAUGGGGGGAAAAUAUUCUAGCAAUUGAAAGCACGUCAAAGUCUUCCACCAUCUUGCUUGCUUAGUUACAUGGGAGAACAGAAACCAUUAUUUAUGGUGAAAAUAUUGUCUAAAUUUAAUUUAUAAAUGAUGUGACGGGGCAAAUCAAUUGUGAUAUAAUAAUUGUACUGAAAUUUGUAUUUUGCGGAGGGGGCUUUGUAUGGGGUUUGCAUGAUUUCUCUUAGGUGUUUUAUUAAAAUCUAAAUGUCUGACAAUACUACAUAAAUAUGUUAUACAUCAAACUAUCCUAUUGACUCUAAACAACUUAUAUUUAUCUAAUAGCACGUGGUAAUAUUAUUGCUCUAUAAUUAUGCUCUUUUUCCUUUAAAUUGACAAGAGUGAGCCAAUAUAGAUCAUGGUCCAUGAAUGUGAACUCACGAAUAUUUGAUACAUGUAAUCCUAAUGCUAGUCUAUCAUCGAGUGUUUGGCAAGAGUUGAAAUUGACAUGUGAAGGCUAUCUGUUACUUGAAAUUACAUCAACAUAUCCAAAAGCGAAUUUUCAUCUUUAUUUAAAUUCAUAAAAUCCUUUUUCCUCUGCCCUGCUUGCUUCGCUUUUGCUGCUCGUGAGUUGUUUUGUUUUUGAGAUUUACAUUAGAUCCAACAUUUGUUUUUGGUCCGGAUACAAUUCAGCACAUAUAUAAGAUUAAAAAAAAAAAACAAUUGCUCCAUAUUAUGAGAAUGCUAUUAAAAGGAGUAACAUGUAAAAUUAGUAAGAUUUUUUCCUUCUGAUGAGGAACAUCCUUGUUGUUUUAGGGCUUAACAAGUUAACGGAUAAUGGACUGUUAAACUGAUCUAAAAAAUCCCAUUUUGCUGGCUUUUAUUGGUCAUAAACCACAGGAAUCGAAAGUAUCUCAGUACUCUCCUAAGUGUCUUCUAGAGCAAUAGUUGGAUAAAUGGAAUAAGAUUGUAUCUUUGACUCUUCCCUCUUUCAUCAGUCCACUGAGAUGAGACAUCAAUGGCCCAAAAUGGAAAAGAACAAGAAGGAAUAAAUUCAUUCACACCCAUAAUCUUAGUACCAGCAAAUAUUAAAACUUCAAAACGAAGUUAAAAAUCUUGGGUUCUAUUGCUCAAUAGACAAACGCAAAGGAUCGACGCAUGAAGAGAACAAAGAAUAUUGUUUACCUUCACCAGCCAAAAGAUUGCAAGGUCAACAGCAAAUACAGGAAAGAAAUAGAAGAAAACCGUACAAAACCUUUUAUUAUUUACAAACACAUACCAUCCUAGAAACAAUAUGCAUGCCAUCAAGGGGAAGAGCUGAAAGAUUCUCUUCAACACAAAAUAACUGUAGUCAUACCUCAUCUUUUUUAACAUGUAAAAACAACCAUUUCAUUCGGCAAAAUUUACCACCCUAGUCAUGAAGAGCAUGAUAUUCAAAAAGCAAAUCACUCUCAAACGUACUUUUCAUGCACAUGGCAAGGUACUUAUAUCAUAAAAAUUAUUGCUUAUAUCACUUAACGUAAUUAGCCAAUAAAAAAUGUUUUCAUUAUCAACAAAAAUUUAGGUCCAAACAUUUUCAUGAGUCAUAAAAGUAUCUUUUAUUCAUUCGUUAUUGUUAGCGAUUUUAGUGGAAAUGUUUGUCAAAUUCAUUUUCUACACCCUUAAUGUCAAACAGCUUCAAUGUUUAAAACUAGGAGAGGGAAAUUUGAAAACAGACGUUUUACUUUGGUUUAUGGCAAGUAAAAUGGAUUGCAAAUAUCUUUGGUUUUUGCACGUGUGAAAAUGAGAAAACACGGUCUCUGCCUUCCACAGUGUUGCUAGGUCAUUGGAUGUGGGAACCAAAGAAGAUUUGCGUAAAAAAUUGAAUGCGGUUCUAGCGGAUAGUUUUCAAUUUUCACCCAUACUACGAGUUAAUAAUGGAUCGAAUUACAAAAUUUGUAAUAUUCUUUUUAUAUAAUUAUGAUGUAAUCAGAGCAGUUUGAUAUAUUUCAUUCCAUAUUUUUAAUUUGCAGCUUGCUUAAAUUAUAUUUAAAAGAAGGUAAUGAAGGAGGUGAUGUAUACUCAUAUUUAAAUCAAUCUCGGUUGGUUAUUUAUGUGGAAAGCAUACAACUUCCAAAUCAUGAUUGUUAGCUAAUCAUAUUUCAUAGCAUAGGGCGAGGGAAAGCAAAGUCAUCCUUCAUCUUGCUCACUUCAUUGCAUUUCCCAAGUCCUCUUUUAACCAAAGAAAGGGACAAGGCAAAUGCGGACAAAACCUACUCCAAAAAGUUAAUUAAUAAAUAAAAGACUGUAGUCAACGUUCAACUUUGGAGUGAUUCUUGUUCUUCCCCUGAAUUUCCUCGAAGGUGUGUGAAUGUGAGGUAAUCAUGUAUACCUAUCUCUAGGGGACAUCAUAAUUACAAACACUUAGGUUAUGUUCACGGCGAGACAAGAGACCGGUCUUUAUUGUGGAAAAUGUUGCAUAGGAUUAAUUUAUAAGUGACACAACGGACAGUGCUAAUCAUAAUUUGGAGCUUUUGGAUGAAAGUGUGGCUACUUGUGUUUUCUAGUAAGACCUGAUAUAGGGUUCUCAUGGUUUUUCAUAGAUUAUUUUAAGAAAUUUUGAUGUUUGUUGUAAAUUUGAUAUGCACUGAACUUUUCAUUUUGUUUAUUAACUCCAAGUAACUCUUAUUUAUCUAUACAUUUGCUGCUCUAUAACUAUACUUUUUUCUUUUUCCCUUUGAAAUGAAAAGGAGUGACCUAAUAUAAGUCACGAUACAUGAAUGUGAACAUGAGAAUAUGCGAUGCAUUCAAUUGCUAGCCUCAUGAAAGGUUUGAAGGGGGUCGACAUUGACUUGUCAAGCUAUUGGUUGCUUGGAAUAUACAUCAAUAUCCUAAGAAAAUUUGUCAAAUUUUCAUCUUUGUCCUAAUUCAUAAUGUGUUUUCUUCUCUCAUGCUUGCUCUGCUCAUGGUGAGUUUAUUGAGUCCACAUUAGUCCAAUUAGUUUCAUUGAUCCAGGGGAACAAUAGUACGAGAGUGCUAUUAAAAGGAGUAACAUGAAAAACUAACAAGAUUUUUGCCUUCUGCUAAGAAUCAAACUUGUCAUUUUCCGGCUUAACAUAUAACGGACCGUUAGACUGAUCUGAAAAAAUCUGAUUUCAUCGGCUUUUAUUGGAUAGAAACUACAUAAAUCAAAGGUGUGUCGAAACUCUAUCUAGUGUCUUCCGAAGCAAUACCAGGAUAAAUGGAGUACUAUUGGCUCUUUGACCCUUCCUCUUUCAUCUGUUGACUGAGAUAAGACAUCAGUGGCCCAAAACACAAAAGAACAAAAAGGAAUAAAUUCAGUGACACCCGUACCAACAAACAAAAGACUUCAAAACGAGUUUAAAAAUCCUGGGUUCUACUGCACAAUAAACAAAAAGCAAAGGAUCAACACAUGAAGAGAAAAAAAAGAUCCUUUACCUUCACCAGCCAAAAGAUUGCAAGGUCAGCAGCAAAUGCAGGAAAGAGAUCCAGAAGAAAACCAUAUGAAACUGUUUAUUACUUACAAGCAUAUACCAUCCUAGAAACUAUAUGCAUGUCAUUAGCGGGAAGAGCUAAAAGAUUGUCUUUAACACAAAUUAACUAUAGUCAUACGUCAUCUUUUAACAUGUAAACACAAUGAUUUCAUUCGGCAAAAUUGGCCACCCAUGUCAUGAAGUGCAUGGUAUCCUCAAAUUGGAGAGUUGCAAGCUGACAAAGCCAUUUAAAGGAUCGCAGCCUUCAGCCACUAAUCAUAUGUGAAAGACAGCCAAAUGUCAUGUGAAUCAGCAACUACUGUCCUAUUAGGCAAUACUAACAUUUCAGCCUUCCCAUUGUUCACAUGAAAAGCACGGAGAAUCAUAAUGACACGAGAGAAAGCAGUGUACAAUGAUAUACUCUUUAGUCAGUCAUCAUAUGUGUCAAGCAGAACCAUUUAAGGCUCCACUACCUUCAAAAUCAGAUCACCAAGUUUUGUAUCUUCAAGCCAACUUUGAAUGGUAGUUGCAGAUCACUUCUUCUAGGAACACUCUUGGGGAAAUCGAGCAUUUGAUGAUGUUAACCUACAUUCUAACAAAUACAGGUCAUUGUCUUCAUUUUCAGAGUCUUCAGCAACCCAACCAUCAUGAUUCACUUCACCAUUGGAUUGCCCAGCUGCCACUUCACUAUUAUCCUUUCUUGCAAGGAAAUGGGGAUCCACAAACAUUGAAGACACAUUCUGUGAGAGAGUAGUUUCUAAAUCUGGAUCUGCAUGGUCAGUAGCUGAAAUGGAAUGGAAGUCCUGAUCUCCAACCAUUAAAGAGGGGAGAGACUGUGAACUUCUAAUAACUCUGUACUGAUUUUGCUGACUACUUGCAGUUUUCACUAAAGACAUGGAACUACCCUGAACAGGAUAGGACUCCUCAUUAAGACAUGCUAGUCGGCAAAAGCACUCAAAAUUAGAGGCAGACAACAAGAUGGCUCAAAAAGAACAUAACUGUGCCUACAGUUGACAGCAACAAGGUAUUUUAGUAACUAAAAUAUAACCUUUCCUGGAUGUUGAUUGAUCAAACCAUUCGCGAUUCAAAAUAUGAAUGUGACCCCAUCUUUUAGCAACCUUGUAUUUAUCUUCUGGAGCUUACAGCCAGUCAAGGGCAUCGUAGUGGGACUCACAGUGCUACAGAGCAUCAUAGAUGAGGCCAAUAGAAAGAUUCAAUGGUAAUAACAUUGCUGAGCAAUGUGCUUUGAGCAACCAACAGGCAGUCCUAACUCACACUGGAAAAGCGAGAACUGGCUGAGGAUCUUUUAACAAUUGGUGGUUCAAAUUGUACGUUGUUUAACACCUUGUUUCCUUGAACCACAGAACACAAUUAUUUAGGACUGAUUUAGAGGUCAAAGUCAAUGAUAUUCUCAUGCUGGGAAGUUUCACUGUUUCUCAUCUGAGUAAUCAAAUUCCCAAGUAAAAGGAUAUUACCAAAAACCAGGAUUAAAUCAAGUAUAGCUAUUUCCUAUUUCAAACUAUAAUCGUCACUAAACCUUGAAAUGAUACAGAUCUUCUUUUCAAACUCUUAAAAGUGUUUUCAUAUGUGAGGACAAGAUAAAGAUAUGUGCAUUUUCACACAGCAAUCAGAUAUCAAAGGGAAAAUAUGCAAGCAAAUCACUGGACUUUAAUCUUGAAGGAGAAAAAGUUAUUUCUGCAAUUAAAUGAGUGCACUUCCUGGUCAAUUCUGCAGAAUAUUUCCCACCAUUUUGUGUGAUAUGCUUCUGAAUCUCCUUCCGUGCAUCUAAGAUAAUGAAGGACAUAAAAAUUGAAGAACUAAAGGACAACCAACAGCAGCAGCUAUAUCAAAUAAUCAGUAUGUGCAGAAAUUCCUGUGACACAUACAUUGUCGAUCCAGAAAAUGGAAGAACUCUGUAAGGCUCCCGAGGUACAACACGGUGCACAACACGGCAUUGGUAUAACCAAUUAAUGGCGACAACAGGUUUCUUCAGAACAUUUAAAGCCCACUGCACGAUGACAACAUUAAUUGAUAAAUACAAUUUAUCUUUCAAGAUGAAAUUCAUAAAAGACUUUGCACAGAGAAUAUUCAAAAAAAUAUGGAGGAAACUCUUCUUUAGUUCAGCCAACUCAAUGAGAGUACUAAGCUUCCCACACUUAGUGAAAAAGCAUAAUGAAUCUCAUUUAAAGUGAUUUAACCUUAACAAGAUACAAUAAAUUCACAACUCUUAAACUAAAUUCAAAUUAUUAACCCCAAGACCUAAACCUUGUAUUUUGCAGCCAAAAUAUUCUUCGCAGUUAUGAAGCUAACAUCUGCUGAAGUUUUGGUCUGUAGAACUCCCCACAUUGAAGUUACCAAUUUCUCAAUCUCAGCCUGUAGAUUUGCGGAAAUGGUGAAACAAUAAGAGAGACAACAGGCUGCCGCCAUAUUAGUUCAGACAAAAGCAUGUCUGAAGGCAAAAGAAUCAAGGCGUCACAUAGAAGGAUAUAUGGAUAAGGACAAGUGACGCACCACACUGAAUUUGAGUGACGAGUUACGACAAAAUUACACGCUAAAAAAUCAUACAAGGCCAGGCUUAUCUAGGAACAGGCAUACCUCCUCAUCCAUCUCAAAUCUAGAUGCAAGGACUUCAACACCAUCCAUUGCAAGACAAACAAGUAUACCCUUUUUGAGGUAGAGGUCUCCGUUCUUUUCUUUCGCACGCGAAACCACCACACACUGCGGACCUGCAAGAAAGAUCCUCCAUCAAAGUCAACAUUUUUUCCCAGGCAGAAGAACUCUUCUCGACUUGCUAGACCAGCCCAUUGACCCCAAUGCCUCCGCUUUCAUUUCUCAACUACAGGUCCUGGUUUAGCAAUAGCAGCCUUGAGGAAAAACCAGAAGAUAAGACUAGGACGAGAACAAGAUCUUUACCGACUAGCUCACAACCCUUUCGCUCGAAGAUCCUCGAACUUCUCAAGACGUAAAACAACCUCAAACCCAAUUCUCAAAAAUGAACCCAAAAGCCGUUAGCGCCGCCCAAUCCCAACGUACUCACGUGAUCGGGGAGAAGAAACAGCGUGAAUAUCGCGGGGCCCACUCCUGGAAGGGUCGCAGCGGACGGAAGGCCUCAGCUCCGUUCAGCUUGAGCGCGUCGAACGGCUCGGGAGGCACUCAAGUUCCUCGACACGAACACGGUCGACCCCCUGAAACGGCUUCGUCUUCGCCAUUUCCUAUAUCUUCCUUCUCCGGCAGCGACUUCCUCAACAGAUGAUCGGUCUCGUUGCUAAGGAUUUCUGCGAAAUCCAAAUGCAUGUGCGUGAGAGAGAGAGAGAGAGAGAGAGAGAGAGAGAGAGAGCAACGAUGAAGCGCGAAGGGAAUCGGAAGUUGGAAGAGGAUGAAGGAGGAGCGACUUGGGGAAAAAUCGAGUGGAGUGAGCUUUUUCUGAAUUCUUCCCCCAAAUUGGGAUGGAUUAGAGUAUGAGAAAGCGCGGGAAUGGGGGUUUUUCUUGCCCUCUUUUCGGAUUUUCCUUUUAAUUCUCCUUUUUUGUGCUAUUAAUUUUGUGGAUAAUUUCUCAAAAACUCCCCAACUUUCACACCGUUGCAUGACUGCUCUCCAACUUUGAAAAAGUUGCGCACCAUGCCCUCGCCGGCGACACGAGCCAUGAAAAGAAAAUAAAAGAAAAGAAUAAAAGCAAAGAAUUCAAAAAGAUUCUUUUAAACUUUGCAAAAAAUUAUUCAUAUCAACAUUGAUUAUGUUACAACAAAUGAUCGAUAUUCACGUCAACGAUUUUCAAUUAAAAUUAGUAAAAAGAACUACAUUAAUAAAUUGUCAAAGUGUUAGAACUAAAAUGACCAAAUUAAAAAAUUUAUGAUUAAAUUGAUAUUUUUUAGAAUUAUUUUGUUAAUUUUCUCUAAGAAGUUAUUCACAUGUCUACAUCAAAACUUCACAUGAAGUCUUUAUUGUGGACCCAUAAGUGCCGAAAAAUUACAUUGAAUUAUGGAGAACACUUUUUAUCAUGUUUCAAGAGCAACAAAAAUCGGGGCUUCUUGGCGAUAAAUCUUUUUAUAGAUCUGUUUUUUGGUCGAUAUCUUUUUAUAGAGUUCAACUCUACAUUGUAUGACUAACCAAAAGGAUUUUAGAGACACUUUCAAAGCAAAUCCUAAUAUUAAUUAUUGUCACGCCCCGAACCUCGAGCACGCGCACAUCCCACUGCGGUCGAUAGAAAUGCUACUUCCCAGGACACGUCGCCGACCCAUUCUUUUUAAUUACACAUGCGGAAGCGGAUAAAUAAUCCCCAGACAGAACUCAAUUGGGAUAGAAAAGCAGGAUCACAUUUUUAAAACCAACCACAUACUUUUUAUACAUAUCAAACCAGUUCAUUUACAGGACUAGGCUAUUUACAAAAGAUAUAUAGAAGAUCAGUCCUCAAAAACUAGGCUGUCCUAAGAUCAGCUAGACAGGUCCAUUCACCAGCUCUUCAGUCGGGAUCGGCGAAGUCAAAAAAAUCCUCUCAGCGACCCUCACUGGUCUACCAAAAAGCUUCGGAGGAUCCGCCAUCUAAGGACCUGAAAUAUUAUCCCACAACCGGGAUGAGACGAUGUCUCAGCGAGUCCUACCCUCUAAAACUCAAUUAGGAAGAAAAUAAGCCCCAGGGUGCUCUAGCCACACAAAGAGAAUAGAGGACUUACCUCGCCUCAGUCCUUCCUGCACGUCAGUGCAACUCAUACGUCGAUAAAUUCAUACCAUAUAUCAAUUCAUAUCAUCUAUCAAUUCAUACCAUCUAUUCAUCCAUUGAUAAAUCACGGCUCACACAAGCUAAUAUAGAUGGUAGCUCGCACAAGCUGAUAUAUGCAUAGAUGAUAGCUCACACAAGCUGAUGUAUGGAUCGAUGCUCUCACAAGCUGACAUCUAUAAACCAAUUGCUCGCCAAAGCGGAUAAUUCAAUAAUAAACCAACUCAUAUCUCAAUUCAAUCAAUCAAUCAAUCCAAUCGAUUCAAACUGGUCAUACAAAUCAAUUACGGUGCUAAAAGCUAACACCGGGUAUUUUCAAGUUAAAUACCACAACUUCAUCAAUUUCACACAAUUCCACACUUUUGGAAUUAUUAACCAUAAUCAUCAAUCACUCAAUUUCUCAAUUUAAACAUACAAUUAGCACAAACCGACCGCACUGCUGCGAUCAGCGCGAAAUUCUAACGACCGGCCAUCCCGGCAAAAUUUUCGAAAUUAUUAAAUAAUUAAAAUUUAAUUCCGAAAAUUAAAUAAUUAAAUAUUAUAUUAUAACAAUAUAAAAUAAUAAAAUAAUAUUUAAAAAUUCGAAAUAAUUAUUUAAUUAAAAAUAAUUAAUUAGGGCUUAAAUUAGAUUACACUAAUUUAAACAUACAAUUAGCCCUAAUUAAACAUCCCUUAAACUAAUCAUACAACUAAUCUAAUUUACAUUAAAAUAAUCUAAUCUAACCACUUAAACCUAAUUAGACUAAUAUAAACACCCCUUAAGCAUGAUUAACUUGCUAAGCAAGGUUUAGAGGAUAAACUCACCGGUUUUGCGCGCCGGUGAGUUCACGGCGACCACGACACCAAGGCGGUCAAUAAACCCCAAAGCAGCGACACCAACGGAGGCCGGGAAGACACUGAAAACGGGCCUCGAAGUCUGGAACUUCUUGCUGUGUUCUGCUUCUGAUUUGGACUGAACUGCAGAGAAGAAACCAGCAACUUCAACGGCGAAAACGGGCUGAUCGGAGCUCUGGCGAGCGGGUGGCUGGCAACCGGCGGCUCCCGGGGGUCAAGGAAAUCUUAUUGGAGGUUGGUAUGGGUGGAGGUAGGGUAGAAAUGGGGUGAAAAUGGCUGAAAACCGCGAAACGGGCGAAAUAGGCGGAACCAGGCGAGUCCAGACGGUCCGGAGAGCGGCGGCUUCGGGCGGCCGUACGGGACAGCCGGAGAAUCUUUCCGGCGAGCGGUGAGGUGCUCCGGAACGGGCUGGAUGUCUUCUUCGCGGAGAUGGGUGGCUCGUUCGCUGAUUCAACUGGGAAGUUAACUUUUUACUCGGAUCUUUGGCGAAAGGUCGACUGGAGCAGAAACUGGAACGAGGGGAAAACAAGGAGAAAAAGAGGUCCAGCGGGCAAGAGGAAGCUUCGGGCGGCUCCCAGGCGGUGCUGUGGCUGUCGAACGGCGAGCUAAACGGCCAGAGGACGUGGGACGAAGGCGAAGCAGCGGCUGGACUCGCGGUUGCACGGGACUGGAUGCGACGAGCAAGCUAGCUGCUCCGGUGGGCUCGCGGGGCUUCGGACGGCUGCUGGUCGCUCUCCACUGGUUUCUCAAGCUUUUUCCCUUCCUCAACCAUGGAGAAAGCUGCCGCAUGAGGGAUUCAAGGAAGGAGAAGCUUCGGCUGAAGCAAGGGGCCCCCAAGAGCUCUUCUAGCUUCAACACUUGUCAAUCUCUCUCUCUCCUUGUCCCCACCAUGGCCGGCCCACCCUUCAGCCUCUUUCUCUCUGCUCUAGCUUCCCUACAAGCUAGUUAAUAGGUCCAAAACGUGGCGUGCCAAGGGGAUUUCGAAUUUUGAACAUUUGUUCACUUAAUUCACUCAAUUGCCAAUUAAUUCCAUCCAAUUGAAGCUCAAUUAAAUCAACCCAUGUGUCCUCGGCCUUCUCAUGACAUUUCCCCAUCAAAUGAUUCAACUUGCAUCCCGAAGAUUCGAUUAAAAACGGCCCUCUGACAAUCCCAAACAAAAACGGCCUUACUUUGCUUUUCCGCCAAAAAUCUCGGUUUGUAGAAAAAUCUUCUGGAGAUGAGUCGACGUUCUUAAAGUGAAUUGUGACAUGCCAGAACCUUCAAUUUCUGAAUUCGGGUUUAAAAUCACGGUUAAUUUUAAUCUAGCGCGAUUUGAGCGCGUCCUAAUCUACCAGGUAACUUUUAGGAAAUUUUCAGUGCAAUUGACCGUGGUUGAUUAUUUUCAAGCCACGACAUAAAUCUUCGACACAUUAGCGACUUCCGAUUGUCAUGAAAAUCUCAAGGUUUUCAAAUACGGACACAGGGUACCAAAAACGACAGAAUAAUCAGUUCAGUGCCGGUCGACGAGGAUAUUGAAAUCAGGUGGAAUCACCCACACUCUAAUUACAUAUCUCAGUCGAAUCGACCUAUUACUAAUCUCUGUUCAAUUCUGACAGUUUCGUAAUGAUCCUUGCAGAUUUAUACGGUCGAGCAGUCGGUUCAUGGUCAGAUUCUUAAGCCUAUUGCAUUUAAAUUCCUUAACGGCUUCACCUGAUAGACUAGUUAUCUCGUGAGUGAUCAGCUCGGAGAAUUGAACUAUAAGCGCGUCGAUGAAAAGUCCGUCUCAUUUAAUUGAAAACAGAAUCAGAAAUUUGGGAUGUCACAAUUAUAAUAAUAAAUGUGAGUCAAAAAUUUCAUUUUGUAAAUUUAAAUCCCAAAAUUUGUAACUCCAACAUAUGUGGGUCCUUUUGUUAAUUUUGUCAGAUAAUAACAAGUAGGCUUUUUCUAUCCACGGGGCAUUUUCUGUCUACUAAAACCUAAUAGGACUAACGAGAAGACUAAAGUGGAUGAAUACGAUAAGUUGAGGGCUCAGAUGCACGAAAUGAAAGUUUUGAGACCCAAAUGUACCGUCACGACAUAUUGACUUACAAAUUCAUCAUGCUAACAAAACUUAUGAUCGAUCAUUCCAUAUACUUGACUUUGGAAAUAUGCUUGCUACGUUUGCACAUAUAAUCUUGGGACAAAUAUAAUAACUGCAAAAAUCCAACGAAUCAAUCCAUGACACCUCAGGUCGGACAUGAGUAUCGCGAUAUUGGACAAAGCAUUCAGAGCCUCGUGAAACUUGCAAUCUUACAAGAUGAAAAAGGAAGCCUGGUAGGAGUAGAUGUACAAUUAGAUCCAAUCUAUAUUUUGGGACUUCGGAAUCUAUAGAGGAGGUGGGACCCCUAAAUUCCAACACACCUCGUACAAAGAAGAUUUUGAAUGAGCCAUCAAGCUACAUAUAAACAAUUUACGUAUAGGUAUAUUGGUUUAUAUGAUAAAUCUACUGUUCAUCAGAAAUGUCUUUGAUCUCAGUUUCUAAACAAGUUUGUAUUAAGGAUUCUCAAGCGGGACCGCUAGACUAAUUCACAAGUAUGCCCACGGUUAGCCUUAAUAUAGGAGUUGGCCAAACACAUCUCUGAUCCAAUAAAAUCAAUUGGACUCCGCGUGAUCAAACAGUCAAACACAAAAGUUUUGGGAAAUCUCGAUCUGUUUGCCCUGCCGCUCCCAACUUAUGCACCUAGUAAGGUACUUCAUUACAUAAUGACCAAGAGUACCUUGUCCACCAAGUGACAAAACUUAUGGGUAAUUACCGCUCUAUAUUGAUGACAUAGAAGACGAUCUCCAAAAUAAAAUCAAAAAAGGAAACUAUUUUUAAGGAAAAAAGGAAUUUACAGCUCUUGCCCCAAAAAAUCAUCGUUGGAGAUAUGAUGUAACGCCCCGAUCCUCAGGCACGCACACAUCCGUCUCACUUGGUCGGUUUUAUAAUGCGAUAUCCCAGGACAAUGUAUCACCGACCCUUUCUUAUUUAAGCACAUGCGGAAGCAGUUAAAAUCCCCAGACAAUAAAACGAUGGGAUAGAAAAGCAGGGUCAUAUUUUUCAUAUUGAAAUUUAUAACCAAACUUUUGUACAUGACAUCCACUAAAGAACUUCAUAACUAUUCACAUCAAUUGGAGUUCACAAAAGAAGAUGAAAUAUCAAUCCCUUCAGGUCAUACUCAAAAUCUCUCUCCGUAUUAUCUUCUUCUUCCAAAAGUCCUUCUACUCAGGUUUCACAUCCGAGUUCUCCUUCUCAGAUUCCUCCUCAGCUCCUCAACGGGGUCCUGAAAUGUUUUUCCCCAAACUGGGAUGAGACUACGUCUCAGCGAGUUCUACCCCACUAAGCCCAAUUAGUAAACUAUUAUACUAUAGGCUGCCUAUACACGCAUAGGGCAGAAGACGUACCUUGGCCUCAUAUCCCACCUGCAAGUUAGUACAAUUCAUAAUAGGCACUCAAGCAAUCAGAUCACUUAUCGAAGCAUCGAUCAAAUCGACCUAGUCGAUUAUAUGCCAGGAAGACCAUUCAUGAUCAUCUCCAUUCAAUCAUUCAAUUCACAACAUCCAACCAAGGCAAUGAAUCACAUCAAGUCACACUCAGAUCGAAUAAUCGAUCAAUCGACCUAGUCGAUUACAAGUCAAUCAGACCAUCUCAUGGUCAUUUCCAAUCAAUCUGCCCAUUCACAACAUCAGAUCAAGCAAUGAUCAAUCGACCUAGUCGAUUACAUAUCAACAAGACCACUUCCGGUCAUUUCAACUAUUCCAAUUCAAUUCCCAAUUAUGAAUCACGGUCCUUAGGACACAACUUAAUUAUAGGUGGUAAUCAUGGCCCCACCAAGCAAUUUUCUUAGAUUUAGUAGCAUUACGGCCCCACUCAGCAAUAUCAUAUGUAGUGGCAUCACGGCCCCACUCGGCAAUGUCAUAUGUAGUGGCAUCACGGCCCCACUCGGCAAUGCUAUAUGUAGUGGCAUCACGGCCCCACUCGGCAUGUAGUGGCAUCACGGCCCCACUCGGCAAUGCUAUAUGUAGUGGUAUCACGGCCCCACUCGGCAUGUAGUGGCAUCACGGCCCCACUCGGCAUGUAGUGGCAUCACGGCCCCACUCGGCAAUAUCAUAUGUAGUGGUAUCACGGCCCCACUCGGCAUGUAGUGGCAUCACGGCCCCACUCGGCAAUAUCAUAUGUAGUGGUAUCACGGCCCCACCCGGCAACUUUUUCAAUAUAUUGGCAUUAUCAACCGAUGCCCGGUUAUUCUUCAAGUAAUAACCAAAGAUUAUUCAAUUUAGGAAUAAAUCCUAAAAUCACUAAUAAAUCAAUUUCUCACAAAUUAAGCCUCGAAUAAAUAAACGAACCACACCAUGACAAUCAGCAUGAAAUUCCGGUCAUCGGCCAUCUCAAACUUAAUUUCCGAAAAAUAAAUAAAUAAUUAAUUAAUUUCUAGAAUUAAAUAAUUAAUAUUAAAAACUCAAUUUAGCCCAAAAUAAAGCCCGAUUAAAUAAACGGACUUCACCACGGUCAUCAGCAUAAUUUUCUGGUCACGGGUCAUCCCAGUUGAAUUUUCAGGAAAUAAAUAAUUAUUUAAUUAAUUUCGAAAAUUAAUUAAUAUUAAAAAUUCAAUUUAGCUUAAAAUAAAUUCCGAUCAAAUAAACGGACUUCGCCACGAUCAUCAGCAUAAUAUUCCGGUUCCAGAUCAUCUCCCUCAAAUUUUCGGAAAAUAAAUAAUUAUUUAAUUUAAUUCCGAUAAUUAAUAUUUAAAUGCCAAAAAUCCCACUUAGGCCCGAAUCACCAAAUUGAAGCUCAAUUAGGAGUCCGAAAAUUCCCGAGAUGCCUUCAAUAAAUAGUAGACCACGUCUACUUGCUAAUUACGCAAUCAAUUUAUCUAAAUCGCAUCACAAUUGACUAAUAAUUGCUAAUUAAUUCUAAUCUAACAACCUAAACAUAAUUAAUUAAAACUAAACCAACCUAAAGCAUAAUUAAUCAACUAAUCCGGGAUUAGUGAGAUUACUCACCAAAUCGCGCGCAAAUCGGAUCAAUCCGACGGCGGCGACGCGAGGAACAAUUCUUCCCAAAGCGCGGCUCGGGUUCGGGGCCGGGAAACGGCCCAAAACGGCCUUGAACAGUGCUGGAAACCCAUUUUCUGACUUCUCUGAUCGCUGCUGGAAGGGGCGGAUCCGGGGCUGAUUCGAGCUAGCCAAGGCCGGUGGAGGGCGAGGGGACUCCGACGGGUCGAAGUGGCGGCGCACGGUGGCCGGAGGUGGCCGAACCGUGGCCUGUGAUGGCCAAAACGAAGCUGAAUAGAGGCGGAACAGGGGUUGGGUCGCACAGCGAGGACGGUAGGUGCGAUCGUGAGGCGGCGGUGCGCGCGGCGUCGCGCGGGCGGCGGUGCGGCAGCUCCGGUGCGGCGGCGUCCAGGCAGCUGGUCGCGGUUCCUUCCGGCGACGCUGGACGCUGCUUUACUUUCUGCUGUCCUCUGGUUUGCACCAGUAAGAGGAGGGAGAGAGAGGCGGAAGAGAGGGCGUGCGGUGAGGUGCGGCCAACCGCGGAGCAGAGGCGGCGGCUCCGGCUUCGGUGGGCGACGACGGCAGCUGCUUCUGCUUCUCUGGUCUUCCGCUCCCAUGGAGGUUUGGAGAAAAGGAAGAAGAAGAUAGGGAUGGAUCCGUUGACGGAGGAGAGAGGGGAGGAAGAAAAAUUCAAUUUCCCCUCGUCCUCUCACACACUCUCUCUCUCUCUUAGGUCAUCACACACUUGGCCCACCAUGACAUCAUGUGAUGUCACCUUCCACUCACAAUUUCUUGUCAAUUCUACCCCUUCUAGAAGCCUUUAGAUAGGCCAAAAUGUGGGGUAUGUGUGGCAUACGAAUUUGCUAGGUUUUCUUUCCAAUUGGGCCUUAAUUCCUCUUGAAUUAAAUCAAAUUGACCCCCAUUAAUCCAUGCAACACCUCAUCAUUCUAAUUGGUAUUUUUCCUUACCAAUAUAACCCACUUGCAUUCCAACUUCACAAUCCCUGGCUUCAACUGAACGAAAAUGGCUCUAUUUAUCCAGUCGAAUUAAAACCCGAAAAUCUGGAUGUCACAUAUGAGGCGUCCUGCAAUGCCAAUUAACUACAAAGGCAAUGAUAACCAGUCAAUCAAAUGAAUUCAAUUAGCUAUUGAAAAGUUCAACAAAAGGAAAUGAACUUAUGUCGUAAGGGACAUCUUAAAGGUAUAUGCUUUUUAAUUCUCGCUAUGUAGCAUUAACUAGACUGUUCAAAACUCAGAUGUGCAAUUGGUUGAAGGUUUAUUUUAGGGGGAAGAGAGGGAUUGGAUUUGGUAGAUACGAGUCUUACCUCUCUGGCCUUCUUUGAAUGGAAAGGCACUUCAUUCAAAUCCACCUCCAAUUUUCUCUUAAUCUUCUUCUACGGCAAUAUCGCCUUUCCUUGUCUCGCAUCUUCUGAGAAGGUGCCCAAAGUUAUCUUGGUUUCCUUUUGUUUAAUUCUAUCUGAUCUGCAAUAGUUUAUCAGGAUUCUUUUAGCACCAGAUGAUGGUGAUGAUAAUGAUUUUUUUUUUUUGGUCGAAAGCAGAUAUAUAUUAUAUAGCUAACCAAGAGUUCCACCGUUUGCCAUACGGUCAGUACAGAUAAUAUCCAAAAGAGGUGAUGAUAAUGAUUGAUUACAGCUACUUUUAUACAACACAAGGGAGCUUUUCCUUUCCAUCCAUUCCUUUGUUUGCCGUUUUCGAUGCGGAGCUCCACAUGUAAUCUUGGCAUACAAUUAAAUACGCUCAGAUUGGAGAGAUGGAGCGGCUGGGAUUUUGGUCCCAGAAUCAGGUCAACAUGGUAAGGAUCGAAAGCCUUUUUGCAUAAAGAUAUUAUGGGCAAUGAGUCAACCCUCACUCCCCACCUUUCUUAUAGAUCCAUGACAUCUUUACUAAUUAGGGCAACGUUGUUGUAAUUAUAGGUGCAAUAAUUUUGAAGAAACGCCCAAAAAAAAAAAAAUCGCUAGGCCUCCACGGAACGAAGAGUUAUUUUCUUGCGUCAGCUGAGCGGAUGUGGAGUGCGUGCUAAUUACACACGGGUGUAAUUUGGUGAUUAGUUGGUAAGGAGAUGGUGUGUGAUUUUAACUUUCGACAGGAGGGCAAUUUUGGAAAAAAUAGAGCGACAAAAUGAUGUUUUGGUGAAAACAAAGAGGUGCAAAUGCUGCGAUAUUCAAACCCAGGACCACGAGCGAUAAAGAUUGAAUGGCAAUGAACUUAUUUUGCCGUUUGGAGAUAGAUCUUCAUACACCCAUCAAAAGGGUGUUUCAAGUUUGUUUUGGAACGAGUCGAAAAUGGUCCGGCCCAAAUAAACUCAUUUUAAUCCAUUUUAAUCCAUUUUACAUACAAUAUGUAUAUAGUGACUCAUAUCUGGCAUGUUCCGCAUUGCUAAAACAUCUCUUUAUUUGACCUAAAUCUAGGAAAAUUCACAUCCAAAAUCGAGGUGGGUCGGGUCAUAAACCCAUUUAAUACUUCAUCAUUUAUUAUAUUCGUUUACAGUCUAUUUUGAUGGGUUUAGAUACUCAAGAGGGAUAAAAAGACAAAAACACGCCCGGAUUGGAUCCGGACUCAGCACUGCAUUCGCAGCAGCGAUUGCAACGGGCAAAUGGCCCCUUUCCUCGCCCGACCCACGAUCCAUCCCCCACAUUUCUCGUCCGUGGCACGUGGCUGGCAGGUGCAGAGACAGAGAGAGAUUCGAAAGCUUCCGGUUUUCAUGUGACCCCACCUCGAACGCCCACAUCCGCCAGCUUCAGCGCUUGGAGUUUAAAGGAAAAAACGACGACGCGGCACGAACCGUUCGACCUUGGCAGUUCUUGGCAGAGGGGAAUGCCGUUUCACUCUUCCAUCCCCCGUUUUUAAAUUUUUCAUCUUUUCUUAAUUUCCUUUUUUUCUUUUUCUCGAAUAUGGUUAAAGGCCAAAUCCCCAUUUUCCCCCCUCCUCCCCUUUUCUGGAUUUUCAUACAUUCUUUUUUCUCCUCCGCUUGGGAUUUUUAUGCAGGACGAAAUUUCCAGCUUUUUUUUUUUUUUUAUAGCUAAUUUAAUGAAAGAGAUCUUGAAAAGGGGAAGUCCAGCCGUGUAUAUCCGGGUACCCUUCUUUGUUUCCAUUUUCAGUUAUUGGCAAUAAAAUUAUUUUUGAAUAGUGGAGAACCUCAAUUUUUGCAAAAAAUGAGAAUGAAUCACUCGAGAUAGAUCAGAUGUGUUGUAUAAAAAAAAAGUAAUGCAAAUGCUUUGGCCACUCACUAGGAUUUUGACUUAUGUUUUAUCUGGUUCAUGACGUUAAAAGGUUAUUUUCGGGGAUUUUUCUGAAAUUAGAUUAUCGUCAAAAAAGAAGUACAAGUAAAUUAUAAGACCGGAUCAAUAGAAUUUAUGCAAAGUCUUCUUUUUUUGGGUCUAAAAAUUUAAAUUACAGCUGCCCCCUGUGGUGGAGGACUGUGCGGAAGACGCGCCUGUCCGAACCGGUGAGGUCAAAAGUUGCCAUCCCCUUGCCUCAGUUCCCAUCCUACCAAAAAUUCACAAAACUCGCAUCUUUCGUCUUCCUCCUCAAGAGCCUCUCUCUCUCUCUCUCUCUCUCUCUCUCUGUGAAAAAUGCUUUCACCACCAUUCGCUCUGAAAAUGUAGAACAGGCACAGCAGUUUAUCUUCUCCAUCGAGUAUCGAGCGAGCGUCGACCAUCAUGGGGAAAAGAAGUGGCAAAACCCUAAUCUCCCACACCCUAGCAGUUUAUCACGAUUCUUUUAGCAUCGGAUGAUGAUGAUAAUUGAUUACAGUUACUUUUAUACAACGAGAGUGAGCUUUUCUUUUCCAUCCUUUCUUUUGUUUGUUGUUUUGAAUGCGGACUUAAAUAUGCUCAGAUUGGAGAGAUGAAACAGCUAGGAUUUUGGUUUGAGAAUCAUGUCAACAUGGUAAGGAUCGAAAGGUUUUUGGCGUAAACAAAUUUAGGAACCCUAGCAGUUUCUACUAUUGGGCUGUGAAUAGGUCUGCUGCCUAAAUCAAUAGAAAAUCUCUCUGGCGGAGUUGUGGCUGAGCAACUAAAAGAAUUGGAACUGACUCCUCUGUUUUAGGCGCCAACAUCUUUGUCUGCCUCAUUUUCUCUUGAUCCUCCUAUAAACAGAUGAUACGAACGGCAUAAGCUACCAUUUAGUCGCAUAUAUUUGCUAACACGUCGCACUUGGAAGAAAAUUCACAUAUAGGAGUAAAGAAGAAAGACACUACUCUACAUUCUCAUGAAAAGCAAAACUGCAGAUACUUUUACCACUAUGAGGUCUCCAAAUUCAUAAAUUACAUCACUCAAGGCUUAUACAUUAUUAUACUAUCAAUGUCUAAUCUAUUCUAUAAAGCAAACAAUCAAUUUAAUUUCUUUGCGACUUGGGAAUCACCAAUUCCUCCAUCCAAUGAAGAAACAUAAAAGCCAUAUUAAAUAGCAAUUACCCAUUAAAAAAAAAGUCAAAGUUAUAGGCGGAAUAAGCGAAGAUAAUAUAAUAAUCACUUUGAAGGAAGAGUCAUGUGGCGGGCAGGUAAAACACAAAACAAAACAAAACAAAAAAAAUGGCGUUCUCCCUUUUCACCAAGCACUGCAUAUUCUUUUUCAGUUCAUGGAAAAGGAAGUUCCUGGAAGAACGUAGAAAUAAUCAUACCUUGUGUCUGCUAUAAAGUGCCCUUCGCUUCUCUUUGGCCCUACAAAUUGCCAUAAAAUCAUUUGGCCACAACUCUGCAAGCUGUACCAAGUCUCCAAAAAGUCAAGACAUUACACUGACAAAAGCCUCGUGAUAUACGAUCUAGUGGAAUAGGAUUUGAUUCUGCAAGCGGUUCAGUAUGAACGAAGAAAUUUUGAACAAAAAAUUAGUGGAUGCUAGUAAAAACCAAUUGAGGUGAUAAAUAAAUAGAGAUCGUAUAAAACCAUUUGCUAUGUAGAGAUGGCAGGCUCCACGGAAACAUUCUUUAUUUUAAUAUGCUGAUGCCUACAUACCUCACAACCUCAAUUCCCCCCGUAUCUUCUUCUUUUCAAGUAGGAAAGAAUACCCUUUAGUUGUUUUACAUCUCAGUGAUCCCGAGGUCCGAACGAGGACAAAGACCAAAAGAUGAUGAAUAAAUAGAGAUCAUAUAAAAUAACAAGUCAAGCCAACCAAUUCAGUGGUUUCUCCACGUUUCAUUAUGCAUGCUAUCACGAUUAUCAUCAAAAUGUUUACUUGAACGACUUCACAGAGACCCAAAGUUGACAACUGCAGCCAUUUCAAAAAGCAGGUUGCACUGUCCACCCUUUCAAUUAUUUGUUAAUUCAGAACAAGGGGAAAGGCAGGUUUGGUGCUUGCAUAAUUUCAUAUAAUUGCAUAAAUAAAUCAUAAACUAACACGUGUGGAACCCACAUCAGGAAAACCAUCACCAUGUUUGACCACUAUAUGAACAUGUGCUUGCAAUCAUGACCAUAAAAUAUAUUAAAUAUUAGCACCGUAAAUGCAGUUGAUCCCACAUCCAACUAUUAUUUCCUGCAAACUGUGGCAAUAUACACAAUCGUGAUGGUUUUGUCAAUACUUCACGAAGAGGAACUGUUAAAACAAGAUUGCAACAUGUCUAUAGCAGCUAGAGAGCAAUACAAAUAGUAAUUUUUAGUUUUGGGGCUAGUGGUACCUCAGCAUAUAAUUUUCUGACUUGUGGACCGAUGUCCGACCCUGAAAGCAUGAGAUCUAAUAAAAAAUCACAUUUAAAAGUAGCUUUCUAAAGCACGUUUCAACUUUAAAAAAAAAGAAGCACGUUUCAACUUGAAAAAGGCAGUACAAAAAAUGUAGACGAAAUAUGUACUUCAACGAAAAGAUUAUAGAGAUCACCAAUAAAUCUUAUUGACACCCAAAUUUUUAUCUAAGUUUUAAAUGUCCACUCAUUUUCCAAAAAUACAAAAUUCUAUAAAAUGAUAAAAGGCCAAAAAUAAAAUAUACUUAACAUAAAGAAAAUAGUAAUAAUGGAAGUAUAAAGAUCCAAAAAAAUUAUAUAAAAAAAAAGAAAUGAAAGAAAAUAAGUGGAAUGAAGAGGAAAUAAAUAAAUAAAUAAAAGAGUAAAAUGAUUAAGUCGAACGGGCCGGCCCCACUCCUUUAACAAAUGGUCGGCAGCUCCUUCUUUCCGUUGGCCCAUCCGUUGAACUAUUUUUUCCAGCCCAUUUCUUUCAUCCCUUUUGUUUCCUUCAUGGCCCAUUAGAGUUGUAAAAAAGAGAGAGGAGCCCAGCCCAUGGCCCCUUCUCUUCUCUAAGUGGGCGCUCUCCAGAGAGAGAGAGAGAGAGAGAGAGAGAGAGAUGGUAGAAGGACGUGCUGUGACCAAAAAAGGGAACGUCCGUGAGCGAGGGUGAGGAGCGACGAGCAAGUGACGUGAGCGUGCCCAAGCCUUCUAAUAGGUGAGCUGUCGCGUGAGAGAGAGAGAGAGAGAGAGAGAGAGGGGCGUAGCAGAAAAAAGAUUCGGCUGAGAGGAGCGCGGCUGGUUUGGCAGAGAGAAAGGGGGGGGGGGGGAGACUAAUGGGGGGGGUAAGGACAUCCGCGGUCAAACACUUGUCUUUGGGAACUCUGUUGCUUGGCUUUGUUUAAAACGGAGCCGAAACGAUAGCUGGGUAUAAAAUAAAAUAUAUAUAUAUAUAUAUAAUCUUAAUAUAGAUUAAUCUAGAAUAUGUAUAUUUUUUAUAUAUGUGUUGAUGCCUCAAUUUUAAUUAGGUUUAUUAAUUAAGUUUUUAUUUUGUCUUUUUCGAAAUAAUAAACAAAUAACAAAAACAACAAAAAAAUCAAUAAAAACAAAAAGAAAAGCAAAAGCCCAGCCCCUCUCCUCUUUUCUUUUCCUUUGCGCAGGUCCGCGAGGCCCAUCCGCAACCUAACCCGGCCCGGCCCCCUCUUUCUCCUUUGUCUUCUUCCUCCCAUCUUCUUCUUCCUUCCUCCUUCUUCCGCCUCUGCAAGACACGCGCGGCAACGAAGACGCGCUCAAGCACAACCUACAACAGAGAGAGGAGCGUAGGCCGGUGGCUGAGAGGACGCAACAUUGAAGGCGAGCAUGCCUCCGUGGAAGGGGGAAGAUUUGACGCCGGUUUAGCCGCACCCAGGGCCGGUCGGCGUGCGAGGGCCGACAGCCGAACCUCCGUCGACCGGCCUCCUCCUCGCCUAUAAAUAGAGGAGCACCUCCGUCAAUGAAAACAAGAGCGAGCUCCGAGAUCUUCCCACUGAGAGACUUCGGGGGAGGAAUUGAAGAGCGAGCGAGAGAGAAAUCGGGCCGUGAGCUCGGCCGACCUCCCACUGAGAGACUUCGGGGGAGGCCGCCGGCGAGCGAGUCCGAAGAGGUCAGAUCCGGCCGGUGGAGGCUUGGAUCUGGCCAGAGUGAGAGAGAAGCGAAGUCGGAGGAGGUGCAGGGGUUCUGGAUUCGCGAAGAGGGGCGGAAGAAGGUCCCACCCCCUGACGCUGCUACUUUGCCGAAACCAAGCCACCGCCGUCGUUGUGACCCAGCACCAGCCACGAACCACGAGAUCCCGACGCUAGUUGCUGCUGCUAUCUCCCCCGCGAGCCGCUUCUGCUAUGAAGUUUGAAGAACCAACGCGAAAUCGAAGUCGCCGUAGCGAAGUUUCCCCGGUCGUGCUGAUCCAUUGUCGCCGCCAUCGUUCGCCGCCGCACCACGCCUUCUCUGCAAACAGGUAACAGCGGGUCUCACUCGCGCCGUCACCGUCGAAACCCUAACCACUGUCCGUCCGUGUCCCGGCCGCCGAGUCACCGCCGGGUGACGUCGCUUCCCUAGUGGAGUCGUCAGCAGCCGCUCGUCGUCGCCCUAGUCGUCGUCGCUGUGGAAGACCGUCGUCGCUGCCGUCGCCGACGCAAGCCGCCGCCUCAGUUCCUCCAUAGGCGUCGCGAGUAGAGAGAGGUGGGAGAGAGAGAGAGCCGCGAAUCGGAUGGAAUCGGGUCGAGCACAUGACCCGAUUCCCCUAGGGUUUUAGUCACGCGGGCUGGGAAGGGCCCAAUUUUGUCUGGGUCUCGGGUCGACGACUUGGGUCGGACCCAACCCGAUUCGUUUUUUAAAUUAUUAUAAUAUAAAAUAAUAUUUUAAAAAAAUAAAAAAAAAUUAUUUUCCAGAAAAAUACAAAAAAAUUCCAAAAAAUGCUUUUUAUGUCAAAAAAAUAAGAAAAAGACCCAAGAAAAUGUUUUUCCUCCACAAAUGAAUGGAAAAUCCCUCAAAAAUUCAAAAAGCCUAAGGGUUUAAACAAGAUUAGGUACCGAAAGGGCAUUAGUGAUUAACUAGUGUAAUCAAGUCCCUGAUUCUAAUUUCUUUGGUUGCGCAGGAGUGAGUAUUUCUCCCGAUACUUCGCUUGGGUUUCUAAUCAACCCACUCCAAAUCGAUUAGUGGCGACUCCAUUUUAAAAAUUGAUUUACAGGUUAAAAAAACUUGGACCAUUAAGUCGUGAAUUAGUGGACUUGGGAAAGUCCGGGCAUAAUUAAUUUCAGCCGAGCCAUUAGCCUCCUUUAGGCGCUCGCCCCUGAUCGGGCACCGAAAAAAAAAGAGGCCGCGACAGCUUGGCGACUCCGAUGGGGACUUUGAGGACUUAGGCCAUUUUAUCUUUGUUUAAAUGCUUUGCUGACUUGGAUUUUUUUCUUUUGUGUAGGGUAAUAGCUUAAAGUUUUUUUUAUUUAUUCUGUGAAAAUAAAAUGUUUUGUGAUGAUAAACUGCUGUGCAUUCUUAAAUGUUUUAGCACUACACAUGGCACACACAACCCGGCUGCCGGACCUGGGCUGCCAUAGGAUUUCUAGGAUGGUGUGAAGAAAGAUACGACCUCGAACGCGAGACUACGAUGUAGAGGUUGCCUUUCUUUGUCCGAAUUUCUUAGCCGAGGUUAGGAGGGUAUGCUGCUAACGCGAGACUGCGACGAGCGGAUAUCCUUUUAAUCUCACCAAGCCUUCUCAGUUAGAAAUCGAGCCGCACGUCCCAUGCGCAUGUUUAUGUGAUUGCCAUCAAUUUUCUUGUGUGAAGUAGGUUUUUAUUUCGUGUACUUUGCAAUUUACUUACCUUCCUGUAUAUAUUGAGUGGUCCAUGAUUAGUGUAGGAUUUAAUAUCGCGGUCAUCUAAAUUUGAAAGUGAUUGUUAUAAAGUUUUUUUUUUUAAGUUUAAAAAAAAAUUUGCAAAAAAUUACUUUCAGUUGAUGUUUUUAUUCUCAAGCAUGUUACAAAAUUUUUUUCCGCAAGAAUUUUCAUUUGCCUCAAAAAAGGGGAUAGAAACCUUUUUCAAAAUUUGUUGCAACUCAUGCUUUCUUCGCCUUUCAAAUUGAAUAUCUUUUUAGCUCAUGUUAACAUGUCACGUGCCCUUUUUCAAUCCAUGUUUAUGAAAUCCUCUACCUUUUCAUGAAUAAACAAAACUAGUAGGAUUAGGUUGUCAUCAUGGACUGACUCCCUAUUUACGCCUUGUAUUCACACACACUUGUUUACUCAUGACUAGGUAAUCACGGAACGUCAACGUUCGCCGAUCCAGACUCGUUCAAAAGCAAGAGCAAGAAUGGCCGAAGAAAAUAUACCAAGCCGUAUUGCGGUCAUGGAAAGUGAAAUGAAGCAAGUCUUCAAUGUGCUUCAACAACUUUCAAAGCAGAUAGACUCCAUCCAGGGCAAACUCACUCCCGCCCCGGCCUUAAUCAAGGUAUUGUUGCCACAAUCAUCUACUAGGGGUGAUCAAGGUGGAGAUACCGACGAUAACAUGCCCGAAUUGGAGGAUAAUCCGCACCCAACCAUGAUCGAGAAAGCUAGGCCAGACAGUUUGUCUAAAACUGAGCAUGACAAACGCCUCGAAAAGCUUGAGGAGAAGCUGAAACAACUGCAAGGCCUCCAAGAUCCUACUUUGACGAACCUCUCCAUUUAUUCCAAUGUCAAAAUGCCGGAAAAAUUCAAAAUGCCUGAGUUUGAGAAGUACGAUGGCACGACUUGCCCUAGGGCUCAUUUGCAAAUGUACUUGGUUAAUGACCCAAUAUGUCACGCCCCGAUCCUCGGACGCGCGCACAUCCUUAUACUUGGUCAAUUUUCGAAUGCGAUAUCCCAGGACUAUGUAUCGCCGACCCUUUCCAUUUAUUAAGCACAUGCGGAAGCAAUUAUAAAUCUCCAGACAAUAAAAACAAUGGGAUAGGAAAGUAGGCCAUAUUUUUCAUAUUGAAGUUCAUAACCACACUUUCAUUAACAUCACAACUCAUAGUAUAUUUACAAUACUAUUCACAACAUACUUGUCUCACACCUAUCUAUACUAAGACAGGGUUUACAAAAGGGAUGGGAUCUCAGUCCACAUCCCGGUUAUAUUCAAGAUCCCUCUCUGGAUCAUCUUCUUCUUCAAAAGUCUUUCUCCCCUUCAAGUUCCCCUUCCUUAGCUUCUCCUCAGGGUCCUGAAAUGGUUAUUCAAUAACCAAUGAGACCACAUCUCAGCGAGUCCUACCCCCUAAGACUCGAUUAGAAAGCCAAUACACUAUAGACUACCUAAACACGGCACGAGUUGGAGGACUUACCUUGGCCUCAGAUUCCAUUUGCAUAUUAGUACAGUUCAAUAGGCAUUCAAACAAUCACAUCACCGAUCGAAGCAUCGAUCGAAUCGACCUAGUCGAUUUCGUAUCAGUCGGAACCUCUCAAGAACUAGUGGCUUUACGGUCCCACCCGACCCUCUCAAGAACUAGUGGCUUUACGGUCCCACCCGACCCUCUCAAGAACUAGUGGCUUUACGGUCCCACCCGACCCUCUCCAGAUUCAAUUUAGGAAUAAAUCUUAAAUUCACUCAUAAAUUACUUUAGCACCAAAUAAAGCUCAAAUAAAUAAACGGACUGCACCACAACAAUCAGCACGAAAUUCCGGUCACCGGCCAUCCCGGUUGAAUUUCCGGAAAAAUAAAUAAUUAAAUAAUUAAUUUCGAAAAUUAAAUAAAUAAUUAUAAAAAUCCAAUUUAGGCUCAAAAUGCCGAAUUGGAUACCGAGACAAGCCCGAAAAAUUACCGAGACUCGUUCCAUAAAUAACAUGGCAUGUCUACUUGCUAAUGUCUAUUUCUAACCACCUAACAUGCAUUAUUAAGUCUCUAAUUUAAUUGAUCUAAACUAAUCUAACCACCUAAUUGCAUUUAAUUAAAUCUAACCAACCCCUAAGCAUAUUUAGCAAACUAAGAAAGCUUUAGUGAGUAAAACUCACUUGACAAAAGCGGAGACCGAAUCACCGCGACGGCAACGCGACGGCGGCCGAAAUUGGACUUUCGACAACACCGGCGGACUUGGCCCGGGCCUUAAGCUUGGCCCAACAAAUCUCAGCCCAACUGAGAUUUGUUCUUGCUUUUGGGUCAGACCCAAGUUGGGUUGGGCCUGCUGAAAUGGGCUUGAAGACUGCAGGAGAUGGGCCUCAAUAAAAUUCUGCUGAAUUGGGCCUCAAAUUACUGGGCUGCAACUUGAAUUAAAUUGGCUGAAGAACUGCUGGACUGAUGGGCUCAAAGACUGCAAGCUUGGGCCGACUGUUCUACGGGUGAAGAAGAGGAAUCACGCGGACAGGGGAUGGACUUUCGGUUGCUCAUGCGGCUGAAGACCGUGGACUCACGGCUUCGAUGAUGCUGUUGCUUCGCUGGGGUUCUGGGAUUCCUUCGGUGGAAUUCGCUGGCCGCAUAUGGAGUUGCGGACGUGAGAUCAGGGUCUUCGGUGGAUGCAAUGUUGACCGAAGAAGGGCAGGUGGCAGCGGCUUGUGAACCGAUGGAGAAGAAUCGGUUGAGCUCCGCAGGUGAUGGAUGCGCGCGGCUUCAGCUUUGCUGGCCGCGAGAGAGAGAAGACACGAAGAUGGGUGGUCUUCGUUGAUGGAGUCAACACCAAGGCUUCGUUGACGGUCGAGUAGAUGGGACGUGGCAAUAGCUGCAAGAAGAAAUCGUGGCAGAGAUGGAGAGAGCUGCUGCGGGGUCUUCGGUCAACAAACCGAAGCUUGUUGCUGGAGAAACUCAGCAAAUGGGACUUCAACGUGGCAGCUUGAAGCCAGGGGAUGAAACGUUCGGUGGACAGGAUGGUGGCCGACCGGUUGGGGUGUUGGCACCAGGAGCUGCAGCAGAGGAAUCGGUGGAACGGCCGCAAGAGAGAGAGGCUUUGGUGAAACGGCGCUCGCUUCUUCUUUGCUUGACUCUCGGUCUUCAAGCAGCGGUAAAGAAGGGUAGGAAGGAAGCUGUCGCAUGGAAUGGGAAUGAUGGAAGGGAAGAGAAGCAACUCACGGCAGCUUGGGGAAGAGGAUGAGGAAGAGGUGGGGCCUUGGCUUGAUAUUUUGUAAGAAUCUCCUCCAAGAAUCACUCUUGGCCAAGUAAAAAUACUUGGCUAUCACCAAACCAUCCAAAUGACUCCCAUAACCUCUCAAGUAGUCCAAUAUUGCUAGGGUGAGGGGAUGAUACGAAUUUCACCAUUUGAACUUCAAUUUCUCCAAUAAAUUCCCAAAUUGAGGUCCAAUUUCGAUGUAGAAAAUCCCAAAUGAUUUUCUAUAAAUCCCCGACACACAACGGCUUAGUCUAAAAGUCCAAUUUCCCAUUAAUUUAGCCAAUCUGAACUUUUGCCAAUUUCCGCGACGUCCGAACCUAAUUUCCGUAACAUUUCCCGGAUCUCCGAAAAAUCUUCUGAGAUUGAGUUGAUGCUCCUAAAAUUUAUUGUGACAUGGCCAAAACUUCAAUUUCUGAAAUCGGACUUGAAUUGGCGGUUAAUUUUCAUUCGGCGCGUUUUUAGCGUGACCUAGACUAUCGGGUAGUUUUCAGAACUUUUUAAGGCAAAUGACCCGUGGUCGAUUUUCUUCGAGCCACUAUGAACCCACUCGACUCAAUGGCGACUCUUGAUUGUCGUGAAAAUAUCGAGGAUUCAAUUACGGACACAGGGUACCAAAACAAUAAGAAAAUCAGUCUAGUGUUGGCCGACGAGAAUUUUCUAAUUCAGUGGUGUCACCCACGAUUAGUCACAUAUCUCUAUUGAUCCAGUCUAUCUCUGAUUUCAAAUCGAAUUUUAACUAUGCCGUAGUGACCUCUAAAGAUGGACACGGUCAAGAAGCCGAUUCCUGAUCGAGUUCUCAAGUCUAUUGCCGUAAAAUUUCCUUAAUAAUUUCUCCAGAUAGUUGUCGCGACCCAAUUUUUUUUCAGAGUGUGAACCACCUAGGGUUUGGCUAAUGGAUUGUUAAGCCUAGACUUAACGCGGGCUCUCCCAAGCCCAUACCAAUUCGCGACUUAGGUUUGAAUUCUUAACAUGCAAAUUGAUUUUAUUUAGGAGUCGCCACUAAUCAGUUUAUGGUAGGUCGAUUAGACACCUAAGUAAAAUAAUGGGAGAAUUACUUUACUCCUACGAACCAGAGACUAAGGGUGCGGGGACUUGAUUACACUAGAUUUCUCUAAUGCCCUUUCGGUACCAUUCUUUUAAUUUCAAAAUUGUAUUUUUUGCAGGCAGCUUGAAUUGAUUUUAAAUUCUAACAUGUGAGGUGAUAAUGCAGGUGUGCAAAUCAUCAAUUUAACACUCAAGAAAGCAAAUGAAUAAAUUGCAGGACUUACCUUAUAGCAACGAAAGCAUCUGCGUUGUUAGUUUAGAAUUCACAUCAGCAGUCCUAGAUAUGAUUUCUAAUUAACACGCAAUUUUUGUUUUGUUUCANNNNNNNNNNNNNNNNNNNNNNNNNNNNNNNNNNNNNNNNNNNNNNNNNNNNNNNNNNNNNNNNNNNNNNNNNNNNNNNNNNNNNNNNNNNNNNNNNNNNUGCAAUGCAUGCCACUAAUUUAACAUGAAAUGAUAUGACAUGGCAACAUGUCCUAAACCAUAUGAAUAAAAAAUUUUAUGAUCUCUUAAUGAGCAUGCAAUUGUUAAAUAUGCAAUCUAAAUUAACAAAAAUGACUUAAUUCUAAUGACGUGCAAUGCAAUGCAAUGACGUACAAAAUUAUUUAAUCUAAAAUGACAUGCGACAUUGCAAUUUAAUAUGCGAGCUAUAUGUCACGCGACAUUUAUUAAAUGGUCUAAUCUGAUGACGGUCAAUUUCUAAUCAGAAAUAAACUUAACAAUAAUCACUAAAUGACGUGCAUUUCAUGGACCUAAUUCUAUAUGACAUGGGCAUUUUUAUUUUCCUAACAAAACAUGCAAUUUAUCUAGGACAGAUUAUCUACCUAUAAUUGAUAAACAUGCAACCCUAACAUGCAAUGACGUGCAAAGAAUGCAUUAAUUCAACAUGAUAUAUGCAUGAUGAUUUUUUUUGUGUUUUUUUUUUAUUAAUUUCGAAAUUAAAAUUUUCACAUGCAAUUCAAAUAAUGAUAAAAACUAACAUCCUAAAUGAAUGUGCUUUUUCUUUUGGUUUUCUUUUCCAUGAUUUAAAAUAAAAUUCUUAUUUUAAAUAUAAAAGAUAAUAACCAAACCUAAUCUUAAUUCAACAUUUUUUGGAUUUUUUUAUUUAAAACUCGAGAUAAGAUUGCAAUUUUAACCCUAAAUUAGCAAAUCUAAUCCUAACUCAAAUAUUUUUUUGGAUUUUUCUUUUAUGAAAAUAAAACUGACUCAACCAACAGCGAAUCAAAUAAGAUAAGAUUGAUAUCUAAAAAUUGACGAACCAUAUCUCGCGCAUGAGAUCGGGUUGGCCAAUUUUAAAUUAAAUCGCAAAUCAAAUCUCGGGCUUGAGAUUAGAUUGUCGAUUUUUAUAAGGGAUUGCGAGUCGGAUUUCGGGCGCGAAAAUCGAACUGUCAAUCCCUAGCUUGAGGGGAACUUUCAUAUUGGGAUCUCAAUCAUAUAUUUAAGAAUAAUCCUACUAAAGGAAAAGGUAAACAAGUGAGAAUAACAUUAAAAAAUAAAAUGAAGUAAAAAGAAAAGAACUACCUAAAUAAUUUUCUUUUUUUCUUUUGUUAUACGCGGCUGGUGGUGGGUCACCGAGAGACAGCCGUUCAGAGGUCCCGGCAGGGGGAUCACCGGCGAGGGAGAGCUCCGGCGAGGCAAGGCAGGUGGGCGUUUGGCGCGGAGCAGCGAGGAUUGACGCUGGCAAGGGACUUCGGCGAAGCAGGGCACCGGCGAGGGAGGCGUCACAGGGUGCGGGGCCUGCUGUCGGGCACCGAGGAGAUGCGAGCAACAGCGAUGUGGGCUCUGGCGGCGUUGGGUCGCGGCAGGAACAACGGCACGGCGGCGGCUAAGCGUCGGGUCUCAGCGCGGUUCGGCAGCAGCGUCGGCGGGCGCUCGGGCGGAAUAAACGCGAGCGGAGCAGGGGAGCUCCGGUUUCGUCGGAUGUCGGCUGGAAACGAAAUCGGAUCAGGAGCGAUCGGCACCUAGGUUGCCGUGGGGGAGACUUCGGCUACGAGGACGCCGAGGUGGAGACGCAAGCAGGGACCGACGGUGGGCGCGGCGGGCUACAUGUGGCGAGGGAGGCUCAGCUAGCGCCGGUCACGACAGGAGCAGGGAACGCCGAGUGCUGGGUCGCGAGCAGAUCUCAAGCGCAGGCGUCGAGGAGCGGACGGAGCGGCGAGACCGGCGGCGAACGGAACAGCGAGGUGGAGGAGGACGUCGGGCUUCGCGGAGCGGAACAGAGGGUGAGCAGCGAGCUUGGGGAGAUGAUGAAUAGUGAGGGUCAAAUCACCUCUGCUUUUUACUUUUCUCCUCUUUUUCUCUCUCUCUCUCUCUCUCUCUCUCUCUCUCUCUCUCUCUCUCUCUCUCUCUCUCUCUACUUUUUCUUUUUUUCUGCAGUUUUUCCCUUUUUCUGCUCUUUUCCCUUUCGCAGAAGCUAAACCUCUCUUGACCUUUUUUCUGUUUUUUUUUCAAAAAAGCCCCCUCACAGGUCCUCGUACACGGUUGCUUUUAUAGGAGGUAAGAGAUAAGCUUCCGAUUUCCCCUUCAAAUCUACAUCCGCGAUACAUUUUCACCAACCGAUCACUAUUGAUAAAAAUUUAAGAUUAUGAUAAAUAUUUUCUCGAAAUCCAAAUCUCGCAAAGAUAAAUCGCAAUAUCGCAAUAUUUUUUCAUAAAAUUCAUCCCAUACUGAUAAGGAUUCAAGAUUAAGAUGCGAUUUUUUUUUCUAAAUCCAAAUCUUUCAAGGCCAAAUCGCAAUAUUUUUUAACCAUCUGCCCUAUCUAAAAAAGAUUCAUAUCUCGGAAAAAUUUUAAAAUAUUAUAUUCCCAUGAGAUAAUUUUUAAUUAUUAAAAAACGCGGGCUUGGGCCAACCUCCUCGCUUCGUGGGCCUGAUCCAUCUAAUUCGAACUCAUCCACCACCGGUCCAAUAGAUAAAAUGCAAAUUAAAAUAAAAUGCACCUAAAUCUAUAUGCUAUGCAAUCAAUAUAUAUAUAUUGAUAAAAUUAAACCCUAAUUUCUUAAUGCAAUAAAUGACUAAAUGGGUAGCCAAAAUUUAGGUGUCAACAGCUGCCCCUCUUUGAAAGUGAGCUCGAAGAGGUUGCCUUCAAAGACAAAUUGAGACCUAAAUUUUGACUAUGCAUAUGCAUUGAAUGAUUUUUUGUUGGAAAAUGAAUUCCAUUUUUUAAUGCAAAUUAUAUGAUGCAUGAAAAUACUAAUGCAAAUGAUAGAUGAACCUACCUGAAAUAACUUACCUUCGAGGAGAAUAGAGUAAUUCGAGGUAGUGGGUGUUACUUGUCCAGGACCCGUACCAUUCUACGGUCGCCUAGAAUAGUAACAUGACUUUGUGAAGAUGCUGCUUUCCCAGGACCCGUACCAUUCUACGGUCGCCCAGUAUGGCAGAAAGGAGCUGCUUUCUCAGGACCCGUACCAUUCUACGGUCGCCCAAUACGGCAGAAAUGUUUUGUAAUGAACUGCUUUCCCAGGACCCGUACCAUUCUACGGUCGCCCAGUACGGCAGAAAUGUUUUGUAAGGAACUGCUUUCCCAGGACCCGUACCAUUCUACGGUCGCCUAGUACAGCAGAAAUGUUUUGUCUAGGACCCGUACCAUUCUACGGUCGCCUAAACGGGGAUUCAUUUUCCAGGACUCGUAUCAUUUUACGGUCGCCUGAAUAGGGAAAUAGGUUUUGUCUAGGACCCGUUCUAUUCUACGGUCACCUAAACGGGGAUUUACCUUCCAGGACUCGUACCAUUCUACGGUCGCCUGAAUAGGGAAAUAGGUUUUGUCUAGGACCCGUACCAUUCUACGGUCGCCUAAACGGGGUUUUGCUUGGCUAGGACCCGAACCAUUCUUCGGUCGCCCAACCUUGCAACAGAGAUCAACUGACCAGGACCCGAACCGUUCUUCGGUCGCCUUAAUCAGAUCGAGUCUUAGAGGAAAAACUUUGGGGGACAACUCAGUCGAGUGUCGGUGUUUUCAAAAAGGACCCUGGGCUAUGACAGCACACCAGGUCGAUAUAAAGGGACAGCACGCCGAGUCGAUAAAAAGACUCUGGGCUACAAAAGCACACCGGGUCAAUAUAAAUGGACAUCGGGCUACGAAAGCACGCCGAGUCGAUAAAGAGGGACUCUGGGCUACGAAAGCACGCCAGGUCAAUAUAAAGGGACAGCUUGAUUGAGUCAAGUGUCGAGAAUGGGUAGAGAUACACUUACCUGAUGAUAUCUCUGAUUCUUUGGGAUAUGUCUUCUAGAACUUAAAUAUCCUAUGGAGGCCUUUCACCUCCUAAUAUCAUGAAACAUUCUUAAAGGAACUUGAAUUACCUGUCAGACAUGAUUUAGAGCAAAAACUGAUAUGCAUUCAUCAAAGAGAUAGACAAUCUAAGCUACUCUAGAAUGCACAUUUCAAAAUUCAGUGAGGUUUUUAUCAACUCAAUCAGGGUUUAUGCAUAAUGACAUUUGUAUUACCCAAAUUUCCACUGGAGAGAAUUAUCAUUCAAGACAAUCUUCACUCACGACAUGGAUUUCUUAAAAAUACUAAAUGAGAGACUUUCGGUUAGAAAGGACUUUCACUCACUCUCAUUUAGAAUGGCUAUUUUAUGAGAAUCACUCAAUUUUAUCAUAUCGACAUGGGUCCGAGUAUUCUCGCAAGCGGUACGAUCUUACCAAUCUGAGAGGUCUUUAAUAGGGACCAUAAUGUGGCUUGGUCAACGGCUUAACAAAAGGACUCUUUGAGUCAAGGCUAUUGAAAGAACAACUCUUUAAUCAUCUCCGGGUUUACAAGUCAAGAACCCUGCAAAAUGAGAAAGAAAUAAUCUUGCUCGCACUUCUUCGAGCGAUGCUUAAAACAUGUGAACCUCUAUGUUAACUCAAGUGCCCUAAUCUGAAGAGACUUUAUAAGGGACGUAACAUAGGUUAGGUUCAUGGGUUGAGAAAUGAAAGGAUCAUCAGGCUCAAAAUGUGUGUAAAUGGUGAGAGUUGGUGAUCAUCUUGGCAUUGCCACCAGUUUUCUUUUUCAUCAUCGGGGAUUGUCUUCAUGAAAUGCCCUAUUGAUUGUAAAAACUCAACUUUUGAGUUCUUUGAGUAUUGCUCCAUUGGAGAUACAAUCUUUUUACAACAGAUAGUCUUUAUCUUGACUCUCUUUUUCAUCUAUGGGCAUCAUCUACCUUGCUUUUAUCAAGCACACUGUUUUUUCAUGCCCCUAGUUCUUGUUCAUUUUUUCUUCACUUUUUUUCAUGGGCAUUGGCCUUGCUUUUACCAGGCACACUGCUUUUUCAUGACCUUUAAUUCUAUUUUGAUUUCUAUGCAUGUGUCAAGCAAUUACACUUUGAAUGACACUCGAACUUUUCAAAAGUCUUCAUCUGCCUUUUGCCUUGCCCCAAUGUGGGGGAUGAUCACCAACUGGGUUUAAAGAAAUGAAAUUGCAGGCUCAAAUGGGCUAUGCAAAGGAUAUAAGUGUAUAUGAUAGAGAAAGAAAUGCUCUUCAUCAUCCUAAGGCACUUAAAUUAACACAUGAAUUCAAUGUAAUAGCAUGACUAGAAGAUUGAUGCAAGUGAGAGCAAGAAAUUUCUUUUCAUUUUCCUCACCUCAUGAUGCCAUUUGAUCUCUUAGUUGCCCCGAUGUGGGGUGAUUCUUGACAGGGGUGAUUUGAAAAGAAUAUCCAUAAGUGUAUGGGCUCAAAAGGGUUAAGCAACGGAUCACCUGUAGUGUUUGGGAUAGAGAUAUGAAUUGCCUCUCAUCAUUUCGGUUGCCGUACCUUUUGCGAGAGAACUCUUUACCUUAUGAAUACGAACCUUCCUACACUCAUCUCACAAGUGUAUGAAUAUGGGACUGUGUAUAGGAUAGGACUUACCUUAUAGCAACGAAAGCAUCUGCGUUGUUAGUUUAGAAUUCACAUCAGCAGUCCUAGAUAUGAUUUCUAAUUAACACGCAGAUGCUUUCGUUGCUAUAAGGUAAGUCCUGCAAUUUAUUCAUUUGCUUUCUUGAGUGUUAAAUUGAUGGUUUGCGCACCUGCAUUAUCACCUCACAUGUUAGAAUUUAAAAUCAAUUCAAGCUGCCUGCAAAAAAUACAAUUUUGAAAUUAAAAGAAUGGUACCGAAAGGGCAUUAGAGAAAUCUAGUGUAAUCAAGUCCCCGUACCCUUAGUCUCUGGUUCGUAGGAGUAAAGUAAUUCUCCCAUUAUUUUACUUAGGUGUCUAAUCGACCUACCAUAAACUGAUUAGUGGCGACUCCUAAAUAAAAUCAAUUUGCAUGUUAAGAAUUCAAACCUAAGUCGCGAAUUGGUAUGGGCUUGGGAGAGCCCGCGUUAAGUCUAGGCUUAACAAUCCAUUAGCCAAACCCUAGGUGGUUCACACUCUGAAAAAAAAUUGGGUCGCGACAGCUUGGCGACUCCGCUGGGGACUUGAGUUGAAAUUCUUAGUGGACUUAGGCCAAUUUUCUUUUUUGAAAAAAUGCUUUUGUUUGGCAGCGAGGAUUCCAGGUACGUCCCUAACAUUUAGGUGUUAAAUGUUCUUGUAGGAUGGGAGGUAUAAGGGGAAGUGUUUGUUAACCUUUGUUUUGCAGGAAGGUGUAGGAAUGUAUGGUUUAUUUUCAUGAACGAAGUGUUGCUUGAUAUAAACUGUCGUGCAUGCCUUGCAUCUAGCACUACACUAUUGCACACACAGCCUGCCGCCGGACCUGGGCCGCACAGGAUCUUUUAGGAUGGUGUUGAGAUGGAUACCACUCCAACCGCAUGCUCGUGGUACGAGUCGCCCAUCUCAAUCCCGAAUUUUCUUUCAUGGUGUCAAGAGUACCCACCUCGGUCUGCAUGCUCGCGACCCGGGUCGGCUCUUUGACCAAGCCGGAGUCAUGAGGACCCGACAUAGUCCACAAGCCCGUGGCUAGUCUGAUCAUCCUUGUGGCUCCACCUUGAUAAGCCUUAUAGAUUAGAAAUCGAGCCACUUACCAUGCGCAUGUCUAUGUGAUUGCCAUUGAUUUUUCUUGGUAAAGUAAGUUUUCUAUCCCUAUACCGUGCAAUUUAUUUUGUCAUGCUUUUGGUCUGUCCAUGACAAUUUAGGAUAGUCAUUCCUUUCAAGAAUGAAAUGAGGAAAUUGCCAUGCAAUAAAUCAUUUGGAAAAUAAAAAAAAACUUUGAAGAAUUUGUUUUCAAUUCAUGUCUAGAAAAUUUGAUCUUACUAGGAUGUCUAUUUUUCUAGCUCUCUUUAGGAAAUUCCCUCAUUGUAAGAGCUCUUCAUAAAAAAUGAUGAAAAAAAGUUGAUAGAUCAUUGUCAUGGGUUGAUUCUUUAUUUGCACCUUAUACUUAUAUAUUUUCAUUCAUUUGGAUUAGGUGAUUAUGAAGCGAUCUCGCUCACCCAUCCGUACACGGUCGAGAGCUAAAAUGGCGGAUCGAAAUGAGGUGCUGGACCGUAUCAUUGACAAUAUGAACAAGCAAAUUGCACACCACCAAAGUCAAAUCAAUGAAUUGUUUGCUACUGUGACUUUUCUCAUCAAGCAAAAAGGCUGCGAUGACAUAGGUACUCCAUCUUCAAUAAGAAUCUGCGACUCGAAGAAGAGAGCCAAGAGAACUUUUGAAUCGUCUCAUUUUCCCGAGGUAGCUGAAUUUGAUGCCACCAUGAAGAGACUAGUGACAUAUCUAGAAGGAAGAAUCUCUGACUUGAAGGGUUCACAUCACACGAGCAAGGAGGGUGAAGAACUCAAGCAUACAUGAUUCAUGGUCCUAAGUAGUUCACUUUCCUUGUUUAAUUAAGGGCAUGCUCGGUUACACCUCCCCUGCAUGGGAAUUCUUAUUGCUUUUUAGGAAUUCUUUUCGCUUUCUAGGAAUCAUUUUCGAUGUUUUCUCUUUUUAGAGGGUAGGAAUCACAAUUUUCAUUCCAAUAAUGUAAUUCAUUUGAUUCAAUUCAAUGAAAUUACAAUUUUAUUUCAAAUUUUGAGGACAUGAUGGGGUACCCCAAACCAGUCCAAUGACGAUAUCCAACCAUGAAAAAGAAAAAUAUCAUCCACGGAGAAAUCUUGAGGGUUGGACUUUUUCAUGCUUCCUCCCAAAAAGCAAUACACUAUUGCACACACAGCCUGCCUAAAUAAUGCAAAAAUGUAUUUUUUGAUGGUUUGCGCACCUGCAUUAUCCAUCUCAACACCAUCCUAAAAAUCAAUGGUAUCCAUCUCAACACUCAUCUCAACAAUAGUCUAGUUAUCUCGAGAGUGAUCGGCUCUGAGAAUAACCCUAUAGACGCGUCAAUGAAAUGCCCGAUUUAUUCAGUAGAAGACAGGGUUGAAAAUUUGGGAUGUCACACAAUACGUUAAUAAUGCACCAUUAAUGAUCCAGUUGUUCCAAUCAAGUCUAAUAGGCCCUGCCCUGAGGUGGUACAUUACAAAGAACAUGAAUCUCCUCGAAGCAUGGAGCGAGGUGAGUGAGGCAUUCCUCAAGCAGUAUAAGUUCAUAAUGGACAUUACCCCUUCUCGUGAGGACCUUGAGCGAAUCGAAAAGAAAAAGCAUGAAUCGUUCAAAGAAUAUACUAUCCGGUGGAGGAAUAUGGCCACCCAAAUCAGUCUUGAACCAACCGAUUUUGAGCUGAGAAAGAUGUUUAUCAAAACCCUCCCUUACGAGUACCGCAAUCGAAUGGUAACCACGAUCGCCGAAUCAUUUAAUCAACUCAUUCCAGUAGGGGAGCAAAUCGAGAUAGGCUUGAGGGAUGGUUGGUUCACUGAACUUGCAUCCACGGGCAGGUUCAACAUGAAGAAAGAUAAAGAACCCCUGGUAGAUGUCAAUGUGACCUAUAAUCAUUCUCCGACAAUUCAGACAAGUGCAAGACAGCAACAGACCAUCAGCCAUCAGCCAUCCCAACGUUACAGUAACAAGAGACAAUUUACUCCUCUUCCUGAAUCUCCGUCACAAGUACUGGCAAUCCUCCGGAAGAAGAACCUCCUUUCGAUUGAGCCAAAGCGACCCAAUGAUGAAAGUUUUUCCAACUAUGACUCGUCAAAGAUAUGCGACUAUCACAUGGAAGAAGUGGGGCAUUCGACUGAUGAGUGCUUUGCCCUCAAGAGUCGAACACAGAACCUGUUAGAUACUAAAGCUUUCUCAUUCCAGAGCAAUUCGCUCCCUGAUCACACCGACAAAGUAAAUGCGGUAUUCAGUUCUGAAGACAGUCAGAGCAAAAAUGUCGAAGCACAUACUGCUGACAUUCAUCAAGGGCUGGUGAAAGCCGGGUAUUAUUCAGGCAAUGAAGUGCCACCCUUAGCAAUAGAGAAAGAAGGGCCAGAUGACAUGACCACCAUGUUUGGAGGCCUUUUCAUGGACACCAUCAAUGAAGGACCGUAAGGGGAAAUGGGUGCAGGCCCGCUCGAGUAGAACCCUUUUUAAUUUCCUUUCGUAUUCCCCUACGUGGGAACUUGUACCUCUUUCUUAAGUCUAGCUUGUUUUUAUUUUCAACAUCAGUUCCGCUUGAGGAACUAACUUUUGAAAACACUUUUCCAAAAUGUAAAUCCACCUAUUAAAUAAAGUUGAAAAUAUUUUGAGAGCAUGAGGCGGUAUCCCAAACCUGCCCAGUGAUGCUAUCCAACCAUGAAAAGAAAAUAUCAUCCAAGGAGAAUACUGAGGGCUGGGCUUCCUCAUGCUUUUUCUCCCCCGAAUACAUAUUUUGAAAACAAAAAACACUUCAUCACCAAAAUCUUUCAAAAAAGAUGAUAAAUUUAAUCUUGUUUGUCUUUCUGACUCACUCACUUCAUGUCUCAGAAUAUCAUCCCCUUUGACUUAGUGUGACCAAGGGACAUUUGAACCUGGCACAUCAUGUGAACUCGCCAAGUUCAAAAGCACUAUUCCAAGAAAGCAGGGGCAAACAGAAAAGAUCCCGUUUCAAAAGGGUAAGUCCUAUUCCAUGAACAUAAUGUCGAAAAUGACGUCCUCUCUCUCUUCUAUCUACAGAAGACAAAGGAUGAGACGUAAUAGGCACAGGCAUACUAUUGAACUUGAAGCAUGCAUAAUAUGAUAGCUUAAGGCAGGAUGCUGUGGUUUCAUCAAUGAGAUUUCCAGCUUUGACAAGCCAAGAAGCACAAGAAAUGGAUCUUUUCUCUUUCUUUGAAUUGGCUACUGUCAACAGGGAGAAAAUCCAAACAGUUGAAACGAUCUCUAACCCCUAUUCAGACGAUGGCUUGGGGCUUAAAAACCUCACUUCAUGCUCCAGAUGCAUGCUCUCCCAAGAAGUAAUUGCCAUCAAAGAAUUGAAGAUUUUGAUUGUCCAUAUCAGAUUCCAUAGAAGCUUGAGGUACAUGACUUUGCCCAAUGGCCAUAUAGUCAAAGACAGAAGAAAAAUUCCAAAGAAGGAAGGCGUUGAAGAUAAAUCGACAACCAUCAAUCAUGCAUACAUGGUCAUGAGUGAGGAAGGCCAAUCGAAAGAAAUGUCAAACUGUGUCAAGACGAAAAGGCUGUCAUCGACAUUCAAAUAUCCCUAGGAGAUAGCAAAUACAAACUUUGGAGAAGAGUAAUUUGGUAUUGUUUCCAAUACUCCCCACUCUUUGAAUUCGCUUUUGACGUAUUUUCCCUAUUGACAGGAAACAUUGGGAAUCAAAAACCAAACUUGAUGGUCAAUAUUGGCCAAGUGAGGUUCAUGAGAAUGACCCGUAUCGAAUUCACCUGACUCUAUGUAAAGAAGGACAUGUCAUCCAUGUGACAUCCCAAUUUUCCAAUUCUGGUUUCAAUUAAAUAAGUCGGGCAUUUCAUCGUCGCGUCUAUAGCUUUCUUCUCUGAGUUGGCCACUCACGAGAUAACUAGUCUAUCAGGUGAAGCCGUUAAGGAAUCUAAACGCAAUAGACUUGAGAAUUCGACCAGGAAACGACUGCUCGACCGUACUAAUCUGCAGAGUCAUUACAGCACAAACCGAUUAGAGACCGGAGAUAGGUCGAUUCAACAGAACCAUGUAAUUCAGUGUGGGUGAUUCCACCUAAUUGCACAAUUCUUGUUGAUCGGCACUAGACCGAUUUCUCUAUCGUCUUGGUACCCUGUGUCCGUAUUUGAAAUCUCGAGAUUUCUACGACAAUCGAGAGUUGCCAAUGUGUCGAAGAUGCUUGUGGCUUGAAAAUAAUCAACCACAGGUCAAUUGCACAGAAAAUUCCUAAAAGCUACCCGGUAGAUUAGGACGUGCUAAAGUCGCGCCAGAUUGAAUUUAACCGAGAAAUUGAACCCGAUUACAGAAAUUGGAAGUUCUGUCAAGUCACAAUUCAUUUUAGGAAUGUCGACUCGUCUCCAGAAGAUUUUUCUAGAAACCGAGAUUUUUGGCAGAAAAGCAAAGUAAGGCCAUUUUUUUGUUCGGAAUUGUCAGAAGGUCAUUUUUGAUUGAAUCUUCGGGAUGCAAGUUGGAUCAUUUGAUGGGAAAAAGUCAUGAGACGGACAAGGAUACCUUGAUGGAUUUAAUUGGGCUUCAAUUGGAUGUGUUUGGUUGAGAAUUGGAUGAAAUUGAUUGAGAUUGAAGAGGGAAAUGUAACAAAUUCGUAUGCCAUGGGGGGAGAACUAUUUUGCACCUAUUGGCAAGGUUGUGGAGGAAGCUUGAGGAGAGAGAGUGGCUGAGGUCAUGUGAUGUCAUGGUGGGGGCAAAGCCAAUGAGAGAAUGGCAAGUGUUGAGCUCUAAAGAGCCCAAGGAGACCCCCCUUGCUCAGCAGCCUUCUUCUCCCUUAAUUUGUGGCUUUCUCCAUUGUUGUUGAAGGAGAGAAGCUCAGCAAAAACCAGAGGAACCGAGCAGCACCAGCCCCUCCAUCGUCGCACGCCCGGAAGGCCAUCGUCGGCCGUUUUCCUCCCCUGUUUUCUCCUCGUUCCAGUUUCUGCUCCAGCCGACCUUUCGCCAAAGAUCCGAGUAAAAAGUUAACUUCCCGGUUGAAUCAGCAAACGCUCCACCCACGUCCGUGACGAGGACAUCCAUUCCGUUCCGGAGAAUCCCGCCGAUCGUCGGAACGAUUCUCCGACUGUCCCGAAAUCCUGAGAGAAUCUACCGCUCGCCGGACCGUCUGGUUCCUCCCUGCUCCGCCUGUUCUGCGUUUUCUUGCUGUUUCGCCCCUUUCCGACCCUUCCUUUGCCCAUCCCAACCUCCUAUAAGAUCCCCAAGACCCCCGGGAGCCGCCGGUUGCCAACCACCCGCUUGCCAGAGCUCCGAUCGGCCCGUUUUCGCCGUUGAAGUUGCUGGUUUCUUCUCUGCAGUUCAGCCCAGAUCAGAAGCAGAAGACAGCAAGGUUUUGGAGACUUCGUGGCCCGUUUUCAGUGUCUUCCCGGCCUCCAUUGGUGUCGCCGCUUUGGGGCUUAUCAACCGCCUUGGUGUCGUGGUCGCCGUGAACUCACCGGCCCGCAAAACCGGUGAGUUUAUCCUCUAAUUCUUGCUUAGUGAGUUAAUGAUACUUAAGGGGUGUUUAGAUUAGUCUAAUUAGGUUUAGGUGGUUAGAUUAGAUUAUUUUAAUGUAAAUUAGAUUAGUUGUAUGAUUAGCUUAAUGGAUGUUUAAUUUAGGGCUAAUUGUAUGAUUAAAUUAGUGUAAUCUUGUUUAAGCCCUAAUUAAUUAUUUUUAAUUAAUUAUUUAUUUCGAAUUUAUAAUUAUUAUUUUAUUAAAUUAUAUUAUUAUAAUAUAAUAUUUAAUUAUUUAAUUUUCGGAAUUAAAUUUAAUUAUUUAAUAAUUUCGAAAAUUAUGCCGGGAUGGCCGGUCGUUAGAAUUUCGCGCUGAUCGCAGCAAUGCGAUCGGUUUGUGUUAAUUGUAUGUUUAAAUUGAGAAAUUGAGUGAUUGAUGAUUAUGGUUAAUAAUUCCAAAAGUGUGGAAUUGUGUGAAAUUGAUGAAGUUUUGGUAUUUAACUUGAAAAUACCCGGUGUUGGCUUUUAGCACCGUAAUUGGUUUGUAUGACCAGUUUGAAUCGAUUGGAUUGAUUGACUGAUUGAAUUAAGGUAUGAGUUGGUUUAUUUUUGAAUUAUCAGCUUGUGAGAGCAAUGAUUGUUUAUCAGCUUGUGAGAGCAACGAUCCAUAUAUCAGCUUGUGCGAGCUAUCAUCUAUGUAUGUAUCAGCUUGUGCGAGGUACCAUCUAUAUCAGCUUGUGAGAGCAUUGCAUCCAUUUCAGCUUGUGCGAGCCGUAAUUGUAUUGAUGGAUGAAUAGAUGGUAUGGUUUAAUAGAUGAUAUGAAUUGAUAGAUGUGUGGAUCGUAUGAUAUCAAUUGGAUUGACUGAAUUGAUAGACCGAUGGGUAUGUCGGUAGUUUCAGCUUGUGCGAGCAUUGUUUGAAUAUGAAUUGUACUGACGUGUAGGAAAGGGACUGAGGCGAGGUAAGCCCUCUAUCCUAUUUGUGUGGCUAGAGCGCCCUGAGGCGUAUUUUCUUCCUAAUUGAGUUUUAGAUCGUAGGACUCGCUGAGACAUAGUCUCAUCCCGGUUGUGGGAUAAUAUUUCAGGUCCCUAGAUGACAGUCGUGGAGGACCGGAAGUCCUGGAGUUCGGAAGGUGGAGGCUGAAGAAUCGGUGAACGUGUCUGACAAGUUGGUCAUAGGACAGUUCCCUAGUUGUUGAGCCUAUCUAUUUUGUAGACAAUCCGGUGUUGUAUAUAAACCUAUGUGUUUAUAAGAAAGCUUGUUUGGUUGUGAUUGAUUGCCUGCUUUUCUAUUCCAAGUUAAAUGUUGUCAGGGGAUUUGUUUCGCUUCCGCAUGCAUAAUAAAAAUGAAUGGGUCGGCGACGUGUCCUGGGAAGUCGCAUUUGUAUCGACCAAAGUGGGAUGUUCGCGCGCUUGGAGGAUCGGGGCGUGACAAUCCAAGAGCCAAUUCUGAGAAUAAUUGACUUAACAAAGCAAGGGAUAUAAGACUUCGUGUCCCCAUCUCACUUCAGGUUCACCCAAUCGUCUGCAAACCAAUGAAAGGUAAAGUUGUAUCGAUUCAAGUUAUUCGACUCUUGAAAGAGUUCAUGACCAACACAUUCCCUCUUGUUUGUUGCAGGAUCACCUGACUGUCAAAAGCAAGGAUAACAAAUCAAUGAGAAGCAUGUCUUGUUGUAGGAUCACUUGACUGUCAAAAACAAGGAUAACAAAUCAAUGAGAGGCAUGACAAACUCUCCUAAACGAAAUGGCGUCCUGAGUAAUCGCCAAAGCAAAUGACAGAAAAUCUUCAGACCUCAACUCACAUUUGAUUUUGGCCAGACUAAUUGAUCUACUUGUACAUCUUCUCUUCUGCAGGGGCAAAAGCAGAGAUGCCCGAUCAGAUUCCCAACCCCGACUGAUCAUUCAUGUGUCAUAUCCCUAAUCAAUAAGGACAACCAUCGACACCCAUUUGCAAAUAACCCUUUUGAUGUUCAAAAUUUAACAUAUUUGGAAACACCAUUAUGUUAGCCCCUAAAGUUGUCAAUAGGGUCUUUUUUGAGUCAAAACCAUUCACUUGUUUUGAAGAGUCCAAACUCCAUCAUAUGCAAAAUGUUGCAUGUCGUUUCCAGAUGAAUUCUACAUGAUGAUUUUGUCUAUCUGGAUCACUGAUUCCACUGAGGACUAUUAGAAUAGACAGCUAAGUGAAGAAUACAAGAUUAAUCGAGCAUGCUAGAUAAGGCGCGUCAGAAUGAUGAAAGGCAAGCCAUAUCCUACACACAAUCCCCCCCAUCUAUACACUUGUGAGAUGAGUGCAGAAGAUUCCAUGACUGCAGGAUAAAGAGUUCUCUUGCGAAUGGUACGAUAACCAAAGCAGUGAGAGGCAUUUCAUUGCUCACCCCUUUGAGCUCCUUACACUGGCGAAGCUUCUCUCAUAUCCUCGUCAAGAACCACCCCACACUAGGGUAGAUCAGAGACAAAGCAGCAUCACAAGGUGAGAAGAGAGAUAGAAAUUUUCUUGCUCGCACUUGCAUCAAUCUUCGGGUGUCCUUAUUGCAUAUGAACACUCACGUUAAUUUAAGUGCCCUAGAAUGACGAAGAGCAAUUCUUUCUCUAUGCACUUGUAUUCAUUGUACAACCCAAUUGAGUCUGUAAUUUCACCCUCACAUGGAGGCAAAACAGAAGUUACUGCCAUUUAAGCAGCAUAGCCCAGAGCGCCUACUGAAGAUGAAGACUCAAGAGUCUAAUAACGGUGCUUCGAUUGAACUUGCCUAGGCCAGUUCCUCCAACGACAAGAAUGAAAAAAACAUGGGCAUAAAAAAGCAGUGUGCCUGGUAAAAGCAAGGUCAAUGCCCAUAAAUGAAGAAUUGGAAUAAAAAUAGGGGCAUGAAAAAGCAGUGUGCCUGGUAAAAGCAAGGCCAAUGCCCCCUAGUCAAAAAUGCAGCCAAGAAAAUGUUGUUGUUGUGGUCCAUAGAACCUCCAUUUGACAGUGGGAAGAAAGACUGGUGACAAAUGCCAAGGCAAUCACCAGCUCUCACCCUUUUACACAUGAAUCAAGCCUACAUUACAUCCCAUUGUAAAAGUCUCUUCAGACUAGGGGCACUUCAAUUAACGUAGGAUUUCAUAUGUCUAUAAGCAUCGCUCGAAGAAGUACGAGCAAGACUAUUCUAUCUCUUUUCGCAUGACUCUUGACUUGCAAACCCGGAGAUGAUCGUGCAACAUUUUCAUCCAUCGGCUUCGACCUUGACGGUCCCCUCUGAUGAGCCGCUGACGAAGACUUCAUCACAGUUUCGACAAAGACCUCUCACAUUGGUAAAGUCGUACUGUUUGCGAGAAUACUCAGACCCCUGCUGACAUGAUGACAGUGAGAAGUGUGGUCCUUAUAAAUCCUGCAUCAAUGGUCAGGAUAGCCUUUUCCAUAAGAGUGAGUGGAAAGUCCUUUCAGACUGAAAGUCCCUCAUCUGGCAUGCUCAAGACAUCUACAUUCUAAAUGGAGGUUGUCUUUCAAAAUUUUCCCCAGUGGAACUCAGAUGAUGCAAAACUGACAAAAUUAUCAUGCAUUAAUCCCAUUUGAACUCAUGAAUUUACAUCAUAUACAAUCAUGUGUGCAUAUUGUGCAAAUAGCAGACAUACUCUCAGAGAUCAGAGAUAUUGCCAAGUAAGCAUAUUUCUAUCCCCAUUUGUCUUAAAGUACCUACCACUUGCCGGGUACUCCCUCUUAUCGACACUUGACCUAUUCGAGUUGUCCCCAGAGUAUUGAUACUUGUGACUAACCAAGUAUCCCUUUAUCGUUGAAUACCUACUACUAUCUAGGUAUCCCUAUUGUCUUUGAGUAUCAACCACCGUUCGGAUACUCCCUUUCCCUGACACUCGACCUGUUCGAGUUGUCCCCAGAGUAUUGAUACUUGUGACUGACCAAGUAUCCAUUUAUCUUUGAAUACGUAAUGUUGUCUAAGUAUCUCCAUAUCAUCAAGUACCCACCACCGUUCAGGUACUCCCUUUUCAUGACAAUCAACUCACUUGAGUUGUUCCCAAAUAAUAGUAGUUGUUCAAGCAUUCCACUGCUUUGUGUGCCUGUGCCUGCCCAGGUAUGUUUUCUUACAUUUGGACCAGCCUGAGUGGUCCCAGAUCGUAUCAUCAAAUACUUGUAUUCAUCCAAGUAUUCCAGUACUUUGUACACCUGCGACUACCCAUGUGUUCCAACCCUUUUGAGUGCCUGUGGCCAUCCAGGUAAGCCUUGUGCUACACUCAAGUUUAUGUUGCCAGGAGGUGGGAGACCUUCACGAAUAUGCGAGGCACGCCCUCGAUAUUCCCAAUUACCAGGAGGUGAGAGACCUUCAUGAAUAUCCAAGGUAUGUCCUCGAUAUUCCAACUACCAGCAGGUGAGAGACCUUCACGUAUAUGCAAGACCCAUCGUUGAUAUUCCCACACGAAUAUCUCAGGUACGUCCUUGAUAUUCCAUGUACCAAGAGUUUGUACCUGUGAUCGUCCAGGUACCCCUUCGAUACUUGUGAUCAUCCAGGUAUCCCCCAAGAGUUUGUACCUGUGAUCGUCCAGGUACCCCUUCGAUACUUUUGAUCGUCCAGGUAUCCCCCAAGAGUUUGUACCUGUGAUCGUCCAGGUACCCCUUCGAUACUUGCAAACGUCCAGGUAUCCUCCAAGAGUUUGCACUUGUGAUCAUCCAAGUACCCGUCCAUUGCCUAUGAUCAGCCAAAUGCCCCUUUUUGAUGCCGGCAAAGGCCCAAAUAUCCUUCAGGUUAGUACUUGUGAAUAUCUAGGUACUCAUUGAUAUGCCUGUGAAUGUCCAGGUAUCUUCCAGAAUCGAUGCCCUGAGAAAGGUCGGGUUCCAACUGGUGUCUUCAACAAAAGUCAGACACCCAACAAAUCGAUGCCUUGAGAAAGGUCGGCGCAUCCUCCCGAGAAAGGUCGGGUUCCAACUGGUGUCUUCGACAGAAGUUGGACACCCCAUAAAUCGAUGCCUUGAGAAAGGUCGGCGCAUCCUCUCGAGAAAGGUCGGGUUCCAACUGGUGUCUUUGACAGAAGUCAGACACCCCAUAAAUCGAUGCCCUGAGAAAGGUCGGCGCAUCCUCCCGAGAAAGGUCGGGUUCCAACUGGUGUCUUCAACAAAAGUCAGACACCCAACAAAUCGAUGCCCUGAGAAAGGUCGGCGCAUCCUCUCGAGAAAGGUCGGGUUCCAACUGGUGUCUUCGACAGAAGUCAGACACCCCACAAAUCGAUGCCCUGAGAAAGGUCAGCGCAUCCUCCCGAGAAAGGUCGGGCUCCAACUGGUGUCUUUGACAGAAGUCAGACACCCCACAAAUCGAUGCCCUGAGAAAAGUCGGCGCAUCCUCCCGAGAAAGGUCGGGUUCCAACUGGUGUCUUCAACAGAAGUCAGACACCCCACAAAUCGAUGCCCUAAGAAAGGUCGGCGCAUCCUCCCAAGAAAGGCCGGGUUCCAACUGGUGUCUUCGACAGAAGUCAGACACCCCACAAAUCGAUGCCCUGAGAAAGGUCGACACAUCCUCCCAAGAAAGGUCAAGUUCCAACUGGUGUCUUCGACAGAAGUCAGACACCCCCACAAAUCGAUGCCCUAAGAAAAGUCGGCGCAUCCUCCCGAGAAAGGUCGGGUUCCAACUGGUGUCUUCGACAGAAGUCAGACACCCCACAAAUCGAUGCCUUGAGAAAGGUUGGCGCAUCCUCCCGAGAAUGGUCGGGUUCCUACCGGUGUCUUUGAUAGAAGUUAGACACCCCAACAAAUACGAUGCCCUGAGAAAGGUCGGCACAUCUCCCGAGAAAGGUCGGGUACCAAUUGGUGUCCUCGAUACAGAUCAAGCACCCACAAAUAGAUGCCCUAAGAAAGGUCGGCGCAUCUCCUGUCACGGCGACCGAAGAAUGGUUCGAGUGCGAGACAAACCACUGAUUGCUCCAACAGGCGACCGAAGAAUGGUUCGGGUCCUGGAAGAGCAAUUUCCCGUCAAGGCGACCGAAGAAAGGUUCGAGUCCUAGACAAACUAUCGAUUACUUUAACAGGCGACCGAAGAAUGGUUCGGGUCCUGGAGAAACAAUUUUCCGUUAAGGCGACCGAAGAAAGGUUUGGGUCCUAGACAAAUCAUUGAUUGUUUUAACAGGCGACCGAAGAAUGGCUCGGGUCUUGGAGAAGCAAUUUCCCGUCAAGGCGACCGAAGAAAGGUUCGGGUCCUAGACAAAUCAUUGAUUGUUUUAACAGGCGACCGGAGAAUAGUUCGAGCCUAGGAAAAGCAACCUCCUCAUAUCACCAGGUAAGAUGACGCCUUGAUACUUGCCAAACUCGGGGUUCACACCCUAUCUCACUCAUUCCCGGUAAGUAACUACAGGUAUCUUCUUAUCUGUCUUAGUAUAUGUAAAGUUAUAUUGCUCUUUUUCCGCAUAGAAUAAUAGGUCCCAAAUAAAAUAUAAUCUGCUACGCAUGCAUAAAAUUUAGGCAUCAGUCUGUCUUUGAAUGCAACCUCUGCGAGCUCACCUUCAAAGAGGGGCAGCUGUUGACGCCUCAAUUUUAAUUUGGUUUAUUAAUUAAGUUUUUAUUUUGUCUUUUUCGAAAUAAUAAACAAAUAACAAAAACAACAAAAAAAUCAAUAAAAACAAAAAGAAAAGCAAAAGCCCAGCCCCUCUCCUCUUUUCUUUUCCUUUGCGCAGGUCCGCGAGGCCCAUCCGCAACCUAACCCUGCCUGGCCCCCUCUUUCUCCUUUGUCUUCUUCCUCCCUUCUUCUUCUUCCUUCCUCCUUCUUCCGCCUCUGCAAGACACGCGCGGCAACGAAGACGCGCUCAAGCACAACCUACAACAGAGAGAGGAGCGUAGGCCGGUGGCUGAGAGGACGCAACAUUGAAGGCGAGCAUGCCUCCGUGGAAGGGGGAAGAUUUGACGCCGGUUCAGCCACACCUAGGGCCGGUCGGCGUGCGAGGGCCGACGGCCGAACCUCCGUCGACCGGCCUCCUCCUCGCCUAUAAAUAGAGGAGCGCCUCCGUCAACGAAAACAAGAGCGAGCUCCGAGAUCUUCCCACUGAGAGACUUCAGGGGAGGAAUCGAAGAGCGAGCGAGUAGAGAAAUCGGGCCGCGAGCUCGACCGACCUCCCACUGAGAGACUUCGGGGGAGGCCGCCGGCGAGCGAGUCCGAAGAGGUCAGAUCCGGCCGGUGGACGCUCGGAUCUGGCCGGAGUGAGAGAGAAGCGAAGUCGGAGGAGGUGCAGGGGUUCUGGAUUCGUGAAGACCGUCGUCGCUGCCGUCGCCGACGCAAGCCGCCGCCUCAGUUCCUCCAUAGGCGUCGCGAGUAGAGAGAGGUGGGAGAGAGAGAGAGCCGCGAACCGGAUGGAAUCGGGUCGGGCACAUGACCCGAUUCCCCUAGGGUUUUAGUCACGCAGGCUGGGAAGGGCCCAAUUUUGUUGUGGGCCUGGGCCCUUUCACCAAAAAAAAAAAAAAAAAAUCCUGGCCGGGCCCGCAUUGCAGGCCUGUCUGGGUCUUGGGUCGACGACUCAGGUCGGACCCAACCCGGGGAUCCGACCCGAUUCGUUUUUAUAUUAUUAUAAUAUAAAAUAAUAUUUAAAAAAAAUAAAAAAUAUUUUAUUUUCCAGAAAAUAAAAAAAAAUAAAAAAUCUCCAUAUUUUCCCAAAAAAGCCAAAAAAGUCAGAAAAAGCCAAAAAAUGAUUUAUAUUUCCAUAAAAAUAUAAAAAAAAUCCAAAAAAUGCUUUUUAUGUCAAAAAAAAAGAAGAAAAAGACCCAAGAAAAUGUUUUUCCUCCACAAAUGAAUGGAAAAUCCCUCAAAAAUCCAAAAAGCCUCAUGGUUUAAACAAGAUUAGGUACCGAAAGGGCAUUAGUGAUUAACUAGUGUAAUCAAGUCCCCGCUCCUAAUUUCUCUGGUUGCGUAGGAGUGAGUAUUUCUCCCGAUACUUCGCUUGGGUUUCUAAUCAACCCACUCCAAAUUGAUUAGUGGCGACUCCAUUUUAAAAAUUGAUUUACAGGUUAAAAAAACUUGGACCAUUAAGUCGUGAAUUGGUGGACUUGGGAGAGUCCGGGCAUAAUUAAUUUCAGUCGAGCCAUUAGCCUCCUUUAGGCGCUCGCCCCUGAUCGGGCAUCGAAGAAAAAAGAGGUCGCGACAAUAUGUAUCGAUAUAUGUAAAUAUGUAAUGUACAUAGCAUCCCAUUUAAUUUGUUUUGAUUCCAAUCAAUGUAAAACAAUAGAAAGGCAAUUCUUAAUAGUACGCUUCAAAUUCCUAUAUUUCUAAUUAUUUUCAAUAUGAAUAUCUGUAUCUAUCAAAAAAAUCAAAUCCAUGGGCGACGGGGGUAUGGAAUAUAGUAUAUUAAAACAGGAAAAAUUAAUUAAUUUUCUUUUAGCAUUAUGAAAAAGUAAUUAAUUGAGGAGUUAACAGAUGAUCCAAUAAGUUCUUUGAAAAUUUCUUUAGAUUUUGAAAAGGAAUAAAAUCUUGUUUUCCCUCAUCCACGAGCAUGCACGGUUUGAACUAGCCGUCCCUUUUGCCGAGUUUGAGCAUCACUUGCUGUUCUCUUUUGAGUCAGGACACGAGCUAGAGUUUAGAACAGGUCAAUGACCUCUCUUUAGUCCGUGCUCAUCGGACGCUCAAUAUAAUGCCUUAGUGUUGUUCUAAAGAUGAGACCGGGGUUUUAUUUGCUUCUGUGAAAGCAUGUCGAAGAUCUGUUUAAAUAAGUCUUCAUCGACUUAAAAUGUCUUUUGUUUGGUGCGGGAUGAAUGCGACACCAAGGUGUAGGUUCAUCAACAUGCUAUAUUACUUUUAGUUAGACACCUGAAAUCUAUUCGACGAAAUGUUUUGAAAAAAUAUGUAAGAAAUAGCUGCUGUUUCUGUUCGAAUCUGAAGGUGCUAGUCGUUAACUUGGUUUCCAUGAAUAAUGAGAUCACUACGUUGCAUUUUGUUUGAUAUAUGUUGUGUCUCCUUCAUUGAACGGGAUGAGUUGACGGUGUGAUGGAAGACGUCAGAAAGUGAGCUCGUUUUAUUUCGGUGGUGGUCCAUGCUGGUCGGAACGGAUGAUUGGCGGGGUGCGGUGGUGUAAGCUCCGGCACCCGAGGAGGAUGUUGUGAUGCCUGGGUGUAUGAGUUCGAAAAAUGAAAGAGAAGAAGUUGCAGAGUGAAAGCUUCGGAGGAAGAAGAUGACCAUAAGAAAAGGACAAAACAGGGGGAAAGACAAAAAGAGAAAAGAAAAAAUAAUAAAUGAAACAUUUAAAAUUGGGUUUUUUGCGGACGCGGGUCGGAUCCAAGUUGUCGGUUGUGUCAACGGUCCGGAUUUAAUUAUCUCGUCCGAACCCAUUUUCCCAAAUAUAAUAAUAUCAAUUAUUAAAAAGUUAAACCACCCGUGGUGGCGACGUGGUUGGUUAAGCACUUGUUCCUAUUCACGAGAGGUCUAGUGUUCGACUCCCUACGUCGUCUGCCUUGUUGGAAAGGAAUUCACGACUUACCCAGUAGGCAAGGGUGGUGGUGACUCUACCUGCUCCAGGGUUUACCUCGUUGGGUUGCCGGUUUACAAGGGUUCCUUGGAUUACAAAAAAAAAAAAAUUAUUAAAAAAUUAAAAAAAUAUUUUUAAAAUGUAAAGUUAAAGAAAAAUUAAUAUUAAUAAUGAUAUUAAAAAUUAUAAUAAUAUAAAAUGCUAAAAAUCGAAACAUGAUCAAGUAUUGUUUUCUCCACUUGAGCUCAGGCUCAAGUCAACUCAAUCCUCACAUAACUAGGAGUCAGUAGGCUUAGCAAUAAAACUUGGCAGUAAAAUCACGUAAGCUAGUCAUCCAGUAGUUACUUCAUGUGAAGGACAAAAAAUGCUAAGCAUACACCACGGUUAUACAAAGAGAAAAAGGCAAAGAAAGAAAGUUGUGGCAUACCAUUUUGAGUAGAACAAAUUCCUCCAUAAUCUUCAAAGCUCAAAACCAAGAGUCAGUCGAAGAAUCGAUGACAACCAAAUGAGAAGGGGAAAUGGACGAGAUCUGCAUGGCAAUAUGACUGCCAAACUAAUAAACACUACAUCAAAAUAAGGCACGUAAUUAUCGUCCCUUCAAUAGAACAAGGAACCUCUACAACACAAUUUAAGUACUAAAUUGGCUAAAAAUAAAAUAAAAUUGCCAAUAUUUCACAGUUUUAUGAUGUGCAAGAAUAGUCCGAUUUCUCUGGAAAUAGGAAGCCAUGUAGAGAAGACCCCAAAAUUACACAAAAGGUGAUAGUGCGAUGUCAGUAAUCAAUCUGAUCAAUGCUUUUUCUUGUCACAUAAAUGUCCAAAGCGAGAUAUAUGCAUGAAUUAUCAAAUUCUAUAACAAAGGGCCAAAUCACUGAAUUGUUCUUUCAACUAAACUAGUCCAAUCAAUUUAUGGUGGCUUCCCUUCAAACUUUACAAACCAAAGCAAGACAGCUAUGACUACAUAGACAUUCUAUCUAUUCCUCUAUGAUCGACCCAUUUCUGACUUCCUUCCAACAUCACCAACAAAUUCAGCAGACCAAGCAUUUUGUAAAUGACUUACGCAUUUGUCAACACUUAUCAACUGAAAAAGAAUGUCUCUGGUUACGAAUUGACAGUCUCAUGAGGCAAUAGCUCAAUUUCUUGAGUGAAGUAAUCCCAACAAAGCAAAGGAAGAUUUGAGCUGUUAUCAUUUCGAUCAAUCAAACAUAUUUUCUCAACAAAAUUGACAAUUUAUUCCUUAGAUUUGAUGAGGUUUCUAUGUUAUGUUAGGAAGGGAGGGAAAGAGAGAUGAACUAACCUUUUUCAUAGUAACUAGAAGAGAAGAGCGAAGUAGCACAAGGAGAAGCUCUAAAUAUAAGAAAUUGUGAAAAAGAGUACUUUUUCUGCAACAUAUACACAAUCUUAGUUAAUAGUAAAGUCCUUUUGUAUAUAUUGAACUGAUCAUAACAUUCUUUAUAUUUUGUAAAGUUUUGCAGCCAAUGUGUCAAUAGUUUUCUUUACUUGUGAUAACUUUUCUCAAGCAAAACAAAUUUGACGGAUUAUGUUUUUGCCCUCUCUAUUUAGCUAUCCACUUUUAAUGUAAGACCGAUCUCAUAAAAGAGAACUUUGACUUAUGAAGUUUCCAUGACAAUCAUAAUGUUUUGUGCACAAUAGAAUAAUAGUAAAGUAUUGUUGGAAACGCUAAUUUUUCAAUUUUUUUUUAAAAUCGUUCCAUUGAAAUAUGAAUAUUAACGUAUAUAAAGGUAAAAUCGUAAAUUAAAGAAAAUGUAUUACUUUGUCAAUUUUUUUGUUUUGCAGAUAAACAGCAACAGAAAAGAAAUUUGAGAUACGCAUCGUAAAUCUAAAACUUUUAGUACGACAUGGAAGCUCGUGUUUGCAAGGGGAGCCUUCACACCAAACGAACCCAAGGUUGUCAAAUGACUCAAAUGAAACCAAAAAAAAGUCGUUGGGCGGGUCGAAAAUAGAACUUAAACAAACUUCAGGGGCGAAAACGGAAUUGUCAAAAAAAGAAUUGAAAAAUAUGGCUCCAAAUCUCUUCGAGCGUGCAUGUUUGUGUUCUAUUUUUUUGUUCAUGAACAGAUUUUCUGUUUUUUUGUUCCCGGGAACAAAAAAAGAACAGAAACGCAUUUAUUUACGUUUUUGUUCAAAAUCUGUUUUUUUGUUCCCGGAACAAAAUUAGAACAUAAAUAAGAAACAAAAAAAGUUAUUUUUUUGUUCCAGAAACACUUUUAAAGAAACACUUUUUUCUCUCUCAUUUUUUUCUUCUCUUUUUUUUUUCUUUUUUUUUCUUUGACCGGUCGCCGGAGCGUUGCCGGCCCCUGGCGAGGCUCGGCCUCGCCUUAGCUGGGCGAGAUCGGGCUAGCCCAGCCAAGGCGAGGUCGAGCCUCGCCGACGCGGGAAGAGGCUCGGCGAGCUCGGGCUUGCCCAGAUCCGACGAGGACGAGCCUCGCCCAACCACGGCGAGGCUUGGCCUGGCCAGGGGCUGGCGAGCCUCGUCGUGGCUGGGUGAGGCCGCCGGCCCUCGUCGGCUGGUCGCCGGCCAUGGCCGAGGCCGGCGACCGGCCAAAAGAAGAAAAGAAAAAAAAAAGAAAGAAAGGAAAAAUAAAAUAAAAAUUUUAAAAAAAUUGAAAGAAACAAAAAAAGAAUAUAAAUUUACCAAACGUGUAAACAAACGCACCAUCCAUUCUCUGGCGUACAAAAUUGGAAAACGAAAAACAUCAUUCCCGCUAUCGCUGGGAAGGUUCUGGAACAAGAGCACUUCGAGCUCACUUGAAUAUCCGAUUCGAGACUAGAGAUCGAUUUGAUUCCGACUCAGGCAUCAUCAAUUGAUCGAAUCGCUUGAACAGGUUGAGGUUUCAUGGGAGGGAGCGGGGCUCGGAAGUAGAGAAAGCUCGGUUGCUGAGCUCGGCUCUCGAGAUCGGAUUCGACGAACAGUCCGCCAACAAGUGCUCGGGCCAUCUCGUUUCGCGCUCUACGGUGACUUGAAUCGUUAUUUCGUUGUGUGUUCUUAUGCUAAUUAGCGUUUGCGGAGACUAUGGAGGUGGCUCUCGUCCCCCACGAUGAUGAUGAUGAUGGCUGUGGAAUCAUCUUGCUUUAGGUUUGAAUGCAUCGGAGCGGGUUUAGUGAAGUAGCAGUCCUUUUGACGAGCUAAAUGUCCGGCACUGGUCCAGCUUGAUGCGCUUAGGUUACUUCGGAUGGACCGCGGUUUUUUCUUGAUUAUUGGCCCAAAUUGCGUGAUAUCUGGUCAUCGAAUGAAUGACUUUAAUCGCUUGGGUUGCGGGGAUAGUUUGUGCAUUUGAUUGAACGUGCAUUCCUACUUAAGGAGAUUCAUUGCAGUUAGUCUAGAUUCUAAUGAUGGCUUUGGAAUAACGGUCUACUUUGGAUUUGAAUGGGACCGGAGUGUAGGUCAUUGAGCGUUAGUCUUAUCCCCUGUUUCUUUGUGGGUUUGGCGGAGUAGUCCUAUUGACAAGUGAACUGUCUGGCUUAUAUCACUGCAAAUUACUUGUGGUGUCUUGCAGCAAUAUCAAUAUCAUGUCUCUUUGAACUAAGUGCAAAUUACGUAUUGGAAAUUGUAUUUAUUUGAUCUCUUGUUUGCUAUGGAUCUAGCAAAAUCAUCUCUUUAUUCUUUUGCUUUUCUCAAGGUGAUGAAGGUCGAGAGUCGAUCACCGUGGAGCGCUGUGGUGAUGACAUCCUAGCAGAACUUGCUGAAACCAUGCAAGAUUCUUACUAUUGGGAUGAUUUGCAAGCUGCAGAAUCAGAAGCUCGUGGAGUUUUGACCAAUAUGUUUGGCCAAGAUAACUGUAAUGAUGGUGAAUGCAAUUUUAUACACGAUGUCAAUAUUAUAGAAGAUUCUCCACUAUGUGUGAAAAAUCAAAUUUUCCUUGAGGUGAGGAUUCCUCUACUGACAGUGAAGACAAAGAUGAUGUAUUGGGCAGUAAAACGGGAAGGAAAUCCUCAUGUGUAUUCCUGGCCAAAGCAGUACUCUACAUCGACUCAAAUUCUGGGCAGACAAUCUUUAGAAUCCAUGGUAUGCUUCUCCCAUGGACAUAGACAAUACUGCCAAACCACUUAAAUUAGCGUGUGACUGUACUUUUCUCUUAUAAUUUAUUCUCUGCUUGAUCAUUUCCAAUUUGCUUGUGAUUCUGUACACAGCAAAAGACCUACACAAUGUUCAUGUCCAAAAGCAUUUAGUAAAUUGCUUAUGGGGUCUCUCAUCCAAUCAAAUGUCCAACAGACGGUCAUAACUUUUGCCACUCACUUCCACACUCUUCAAGAUCCAAAAUUACAUAUUAGAACUCUUUGGUCAAUAAAGAAGUUGAUUUCAGUUUUGGAUGAUGUACAAAUACAUAUAUUUCUCAAAUUCUAUGGGAGUACAGCAGAUCAUCAAAGUGUGGAACAUCAAAGUGUGGAACUUAGCAAUCCAGCAUCUUUGAUAGGAAUGUUUUGUGUAGAUGAAGGCUUGUGAUUUCUUUGAGCACAUUUUUCAUUUUCCCUGAUGAUCCAUGUCAGAAACUAUUACGGUACGAAGAGGCUUAUUUAUGUUGAAGGACUGUAAGAGCAUUGUCACUCAAGGCUCAAUAUCAUUAGUUUCGAAUAAAAGACAUUGCUCUCCGAUUUUGACAUCCAAACAAGGGACUCUGAAUUAUGCGGAAUUCCAAGGCUUGGAUGACAUAGAAUUGGCAAAUGUUGUCAUAUUCAGAAACGAGGCAUUUCGACCAAUGUUGCAUCAGGCUUGUAAAGCUUCUGUGGCCAAGCAAGUUUGCUUUAUCCUCAUGCCCACUGGAGGUGGUAAAAGUUUAUGUUACCAGGUUAGUGAAUGUUAACAUUGUCUCAACUGGGUGAUGAUCGUAUGUAGUAGAAGUGUGUGGAGACAAUGUUAGAGUAUAAGCCCUGUGCACUUUGCUCAGUGGUUCCACCAAUUAAUGUUUAAGGGUAGACCUCUGUGUCAACAUUUAAGCUUUAUUUAACAUGAUCUUCUCAUCUGCUUUGUUUAGCAUUUUUAAGAAGGUUGUGAACUUAAGGAAGGAAAUGUUUUUCAAAUGAAAAUUAAGGUAUAGGAAGUGAUUCAGGUACAUAAGCAUGGGUUCCAAUGUAUGGCAUUGGACAAAAGUAGAAAAGAAGGAAAUACGGUACAUUCUUGUUCUGCCUUCGCACUUCUCUAUCCGGUCUGUAAUCUUUAGGAAUUGAAGUUUGCACUACACUUAUGGGACCUUCUAAUCACUUACAUGAAAAUUCAUCUUGUUUAUGCAUGUUACGUGUUGUUGUUGUCAGUCAUAAUUCAUGUCCAAUUCAAAAGGGUUAUUAAGUCAAAGAGAAAUGAGUUUUUAAAGUACUUCCACCAUAUGGGUUCUAGAUUUUUAUAUGUCCUUUGCAGUUAUUUAUUUUUUAUUUUUUGGUAAGGUCCUUUGCAGUUAUUUGCUAUGCCAUUAUCUCAACAAAGGGUGAUGAUCUAUGACUUCUUUUUCCCAUAAUUGGUUUGAACUUAAUGUCCUUUAAUAUAAAUGUAUCUUGGUUGCAAGCAAAAUUAAUGAUAACUGAAUUAAGGAGGAAGAUAUAAAUCUGGAUUUAUUUAGUUGAAUUCCUUAGAAGUGUUUUCUGUUUAGUCUUGAAGUAGUUGAUAUAUGUACUGAAAGUAGUUAUAAAACAAGUAGUGACAACUGGUCCCNNNNNNNNNNNNNNNNNNNNNNNNNNNNNNNNNNNNNNNNNNNNNNNNNNNNNNNNNNNNNNNNNNNNNNNNNNNNNNNNNNNNNNNNNNNNNNNNNNNNNNNNNNNNNNNNNNNNNNNNNNNNNNNNNNNNNNNNNNNNNNNNNNNNNNNNNNNNNNNNNNNNNNNNNNNNNNNNNNNNNNNNNNNNNNNNNNNNNNNNNNNNNNNNNNNNNNNNNNNNNNNNNNNNNNNNNNNNNNNNNNNNNNNNNNNNNNNNNNNNNNNNNNNNNNNNNNNNNNNNNNNNNNNNNNNNNNNNNNNNNNNNNNNNNNNNNNNNNNNNNNNNNNNNNNNNNNNNNNNNNNNNNNNNNNNNNNAACAUCGUGCAAGCUAUGCAUGUGACUCCUGAAAGGAUCGGGGGAAAAAUAUCAUUUCUCGAGAUAUUGAAAUGCUUGCACAGAAAGGUAUUGUUUCUGAUGCACUGUAACUUUUUUCCAAAAAGGUUCUUUAUAAUUUUUUAUAUUCGAUAUAUUUUAUUGCAAGCACAACUAGCUGGUUUUGUUGUUGAUGAGGGACAUUGCAUGAGGUAUGCAUAAUCUUUGGCAUGCCUUGUACAUGAAGAAAAAUCAUGCUAGAGUUACUUCAAAAAGAAUAAUCGUUUGUGAUGUUGCCACUGCAAAACUAUUGUCCUUAUUCCAGAUAAAUAUAAGCAACUUUCCUUUUAUAUAAGCUAACUUAAAAUCUUUUUCCAAACUUUUUUGCAUUUUCUGUGUUUCUAGCCUUAUAAAUUGUUAGUGUUGCCCUAGACCUUUUGAAGCCCCUGUGAAGUUCUAAUAUAACACAAUGGAAUGUUCCUUGUUUGAGCUUUGGAAAAGAUCUAGGUUCUGUCGUUUGGGAAAAUUUAGUGGCACAUCAUUCAUUAUAUUGAGUAAGAGGACUCAACUUAAAUAAGCUGCAAUGGAAAUGACUUCCUAAAGUAAUUGGAAGUGGCAUAAGCUUGGACAAGGAUGCCAUCUGCUGUCUAUGUUUGGCAUGAUACUCCAUCUCUUCAGCUGGUUCCUAUGUAUCUAUUUAUUCUACUAAUGGUUACACUAUAUACUGACAACUUGAGAAAGGCAAAGGUCCACUCACGUGAUCAUUGAUUGUGUUCCUUACAAGGUAUUAACUGGAUUUGCUUGGCCAGUUUAAUCUCAUGAAAGGAAGAUGCCAUCUUCUAUCUAUGUUUGGCAUAAUACUCAGUCUUUUAAGCUCGUUCUUGUGUAUCUAUUUAUUCUAUUAAUGGUUAUACUAUACACUGACAACGUGAGAAAGGCAAGGGUCCACCACAUGAUCAUUGAUUGUGUUUCUUAAAAGGUAUUCACUGGAUUUGCUCUGCCAAUUUAAUCUCAUGAAAGGAACAUGCUGCUAAUUUGAGCUUUUAUUGUACAUUUGCCUGAUUGACAACAAGAGCUCAUUGGUUGUCACUUUCGUGGUUGUCAUGAAAGGAACGUACUGCUGGUUUGAGCUUUUAUAUAUGCUAACUUAAGCUCUUUUUCCAAACUUCUCUGCAUUUUUUGUGUUUCUAGCCUAAUUUAAUUGUCCAUGUUACACUAGACCUUCUGAAGCUCAGAACCCUAUAAAGUUUCUAUAUAACAGAAUGCAAUGUUCCUUGUUCAAUGGAAAGAUUUAGGUUCCGUCGUUUGGGAACACUUAGUGGCACAUCUUUCAUUAUAUUGAGUAAAGAGCGCACAAUUUAAAUAAGCUCCAGUGGAAAUUACUUCCCAGAGUAAUUGGAAUCGGCAUAAGCUUGGAUAAGGAUCCAAUCUCCUAUCUAUGUUUGGCAUGAUACUUAGUCUCUUAAGCUGGUUCUUGUGUCCCCGUUUAUUCUAUUAACGCUUAUACUUUAUGGUAACAACUUGAGAAAGGCAAAGGUUCAACCAUGUGAUCAUUGAUUGUGUUUCUUACAAGGUCUUAACUGGAUUUGCUCUGCCAGUUGAUCUCAUGAAAGGAACAUGCUGCUGGUUUGAGCUUUUCUUGUACAUUUGACUGAUUAACAAGUAAAACUCAUUGAUUGUCACUUUUGUGGUUGUCAUUAUUAGUCAAGGAGGACACGAUUUUCAUCUAGAUUAUAGGGUACUGGGAUGUCUCAAGCAGAACUUUCUGUAUGUCCUAGUGAUGGCCUUAACUACAACCGCCACUCAGUCAGUUCGUGAGUACUAAACUCACAUAUUAACCUCCUGAUUAUGUUGAAAUAAUCUGUUAAUUCUGACUGAAUUAUACAUCCAUCGCAGGAUAUCCUAAAAGCUCUUGGGGUACCCCAUGUUCUGAUAUAUUAGAUCUAGUCUGUCAAAGCUUGGGGACCUAAGGUUUGACAGACUAGAUCUAAAAUACAAGGUCAUAGCUAAGACCUAGGAACCACUGAAGCAACUUGGAGGGCUGCUAAAAAAUUGUUUUCCUAAUGUUUGUGGCAUAGUAUAUUACUUUUCGUUAAUGUCGCAAAAUACUUGAAUGAGAAGCGCCAUAUAAAAAUGGUGUACUAUCAUGCUGGAUUAGUAGCUUGUCACUGUUCAAAAGAAAUGGCAUACUGGAGAGGUCCAGAUUGUAUGUGCUACCGUUGCCUCUGGGAUGGGAAUAGACAAAUUGUAAGUCGAAAUGGACUCUGGCCUUUGCCUAUUUCUUACGUUUAGAAGUCGAUAAACGUGGUAAAAAGACCCAGAGAAGCAGAGAAGAGGAGGGUGGCCAGAUACAAGCUUUAUUUGGUCGAGGGCAAGUUCAAGGCUUCUUUCAAACAAGGGUUCCGGUGGUUGAAGCGCAAAUUGCUCGAGCUUUAUGCGUCGAUUUUUAAUAUGUAGAAAUUACAGAAUAUCAUGCUCAUUGUCAUCAAGAGAGAAAAGGAUGAAAUUGGUCGGGAGGAAACAAAGAGUUUCCAAAGAGGUUUGUUUUGUUUAUUGGCUAAUCAUCUUAAUAUGUAUCUAAUGGUAAUUAAGUAUUCGGAAGAGUGCCACAAUGUUCGAUCUUUCCAGUAUAAUGUUUGUUCAAAUCCUUGUUUCUUUCAUCGAUCUCUAGCAUUCGAAACAUAGGGAAAUGAGACGACUUGUAUGUGAUAUUCACAUAUAUUUAUAUUUAUCAAAAGUUAUUUUUCCCCGAAUUUCCUUACCUUCCGAUUUACUGCAACAUGAUUCUGCAUGCAUGCAUGCUUUCUCGUGCGAAGUAAAAAUUGUCUGACCUUCUAAUUUCUCUUCUCAGCAACACGAUGUUGAUUGCAAAAUAAGAUGACUGCUUUCAUUUGUAGGAUUUGACGUUUACACGAAAGUAGAUUUCGUUGUUAAGAACUUUUUUUUUUUGAUCAAAUGUUCUUUUAAGUCUCUGUUUUGGGGUUCAUUAACGCUGUAAUUCCUCAAUUUGUCUAUUUCUUUUUCUUUGCAUCAUAUGAUUUUAUCAUAUGGCAAACUACCAAAUCUAUACAUUCUAACAUGCAGCUAGCAGUGUUAAGGGCUUCUAUACUUCCAUUCUGAUUCAAGGAUUCAUAUUUCAAGUACUGUCUUGUCGAGUUUGAGUUACGAAUGUGGAGGAAAUCAAAGAGCUCGAAGCGAANNNNNNNNNNNNNNNNNNNNNNNNNNNNNNNNNNNNNNNNNNNNNNNNNNNNNNNNNNNNNNNNNNNNNNNNNNNNNNNNNNNNNNNNNNNNNNNNNNNNNNNNNNNNNNNNNNNNNNNNNNNNNNNNNNNNNNNNNNNNNNNNNNNNNNNNNNNNNNNNNNNNNNNNNNNNNNNNNNNNNNNNNNNNNNNNNNNNNNNNNNNNNNNNNNNNNNNNNNNNNNCCAACUUCAAUCGAUUCGGCUGAUGGGGCUGUGAAUGAUGUUCCAUAAGUAGUCAAACACAAAGCUAUUGCCCUUUGGAUUAAUUGCCUAGACACCGAUUAAGCAGCUAAGUAAAUAAAGUGUAGAGCUGAUGCAUUGACUUUACUCGCGACUUUUCUCGUGUAAUGUUCAACCAAUAUUCUGAAGUUAAAUUAUUUCAUAUUAAGGAUUUUUAACUAGUAUUUCAACACGACCCGCAUUACAUGUGUUAGUACUUAUAGAUUCAAAUGCGGCUUAACAAGCUACUUGGCCUUGUCUUGAGCUCUGGAAAAAUUGAGUCAAAGUUCAAGGGGAUAACAAGCAAAUCAAACCAUGAGUACCUUGCAAGUAGCUUUCAACUACUAAAAUUCCACUACUGUAGUUUAGUACAGGGUACAGGAAUAUCUGAGAGUGGCCUCCAAGAAAUUGCUUCGAUUGAAACUUGAAUGUGUGAACGGUGACCGCAAUUUGGUGGAGUGUCGUCUCAUUAUAAACCAAUUAGAUGACCCUUAGAAGUUUUUUGUUCAAAGACAAUGAGUAAAUUUUGGGAAGGGCUCUUUUCACCCUUCCAAAAAUUUUGUCCACGUUUUAUCAUUAGUCUUCAACUGCAGCCAAUGCAAGAGAAAAAUAGGUUUCAGGUGUGAAAAUAUAUACGGUUGGGUCUCUUCAGCUUUUAGAUUCAUGCUUAAAUAAAUCAAGUUUGAGAUUAUACAAUAAAAGUGAUUGCAAAAUGCGGACAUAUGAAUUUUCUGAGGUAACACCAGACCAGAGAGAUGAUUUUACACAAUUGAACACCUUUCUCGUGUGUUCGAAAUUCAACCAAAUGAGAAACUACUGUCUUCUUGUAAACCUUUUCGCUGAAACUCUUGGCUGCAAUUGACAGAUUUUUUGCUGAUUCCAUUGCAUUCGAUUUUUCUAGUCGCAAAAUUGUAGCCUGAAGUGGACAUCUAACUGGUAAUCUCCUUGACCAAUCUCAUUUUAUGCUUAACUUGCACAAAUAAAACCACCUGCGCGUGCAGUCUUCCUGCAAGCGAUUUGUGCUUGCAAAGGACAAAUAACCCACAUGAGAAGAGGCUGCUUCAUAUCCAGAAUCCUUUGAAGAGUAUUGACAACACGGAGAACAUGAUAAACGCCACUAGGUUCAGAAUACAUUUUCAUAAUGACAUAGCUCAUUCCUGCUCGCAUAUCCAACAUGUGGUGUUUCGGGGACUUUCUCCAAGUUCCAUGAAAUGCAGCUUGAAUCUACACGAUGAGCAUAGGACUGACUCAUUAUCAAUAAAUAAAGAAAUGCGAGAUUGCAGCAUCACAAUUUACCCCAUGAAAGAUAAGGUACAAAUGUGAAAACAUCAUUUACACCAAUCGUUGUUCAACCACAGUGAACAUAGACUUGAUUAGCUAGCAGAUGAAAACGGAAAAAAAUAGGCUUAAAAGAAGUAAACAAUUUGCAACAACACUUUCCCCGUUUGUGUUCAGGAACAAAAUUAAUGUUAAUAAAAUUAUGCUGAAAAUGUGAAAUGCCUAAACUACAUAACAGAAAGACGUACUUGUUACUUGAUCAUUGGCAAUAUCCAAUCAGCAAAAUCAGCAACUCGGGAUAGAUUGUGAGGGGGUCAGUUUCAACUUCACUAAUUCAAUAUUGCAAACAUGAGAACUGAGCUUAUCAAAUCAGAAACCUAUAUGACAACAUUCAAAGGAUAAACUGAUAGAAAUGGAGGAGCUUAGUGCAUACCUACCUUUGCAUAGCCUCAUCAAGUUCAGGAGUGAUGUCCCUAGAAUGCAACCACACCAAACAACUCUGCAUCAGGAUAACAUACACAAAAAUGACCAGCUACUCAUUUGAUUAACAAAGAGAUAGAACCUAACGAGCAUACAAACAACAGAUUCAAUUUAAAAAACAACAUUUACUAUCAUUCAGGUACAUGCUGUUGAGACCAGAUCAAGUGCUUUGGAUCUUCACAAGCAUCAAAACUUCCUCAGAACAUUUUGCUUGGCCCACGAUGUCACGCCCCAACCCUCAGGCAUGCACACAUCCCUUACUUAUGGUCGAUUUUAAAAUGCGAUAUCCCAGGACUAUGUAUCGCCAACCCUUUCAAUUAUAUAUGCACAUGCGGAAGCAGUUAUAAAUCCCCAGACAAUAAAGCAAUGGGAUAGAAAAGCAUGCCAUACAUUUUUCUUACUGAAAAUUCACAACUACAUCUUUUUACAUGCAAACAAAGUCUGACAAGACAGGAUAGGAUUUCGGUCCUCAUCCGGGUCGUACUCGAUGUCAUACUCGGGGUCCUCCUCCACGUACUCCUCUUUGGGUUCCUCAACAGGGAUCUCCUCAUCAGAUUCAUGCUCCUUAGGCUCCUCAUCCAGGUCCUGAAAUGGGUAUUCAAUAACCACUGAGACCACGUGUCAGCAAGUUCUACUUCCUAAGACUCGAUUAGUAAACUAAUACACCUUAGGGCUGCCUAUGCACAACAUGAAUUAGAAGACUUACCUUAGCCUCAGAUUCCACCUGCAUAUUAGUACAGAUCGAAUAGGCACACAAGCAAUCACAUCACAGAUCGAAGCAUCGAUUUAAUCGACUUAGUCGAUUUCACAACAGGAAGACCACUCACGAUCAUCUCCCUUCAAUCAUUCAAUUCACAACAUCAAAUCAAGGCAAUGCAUCACAUCAAAACACACUCAGAUCGAAUCAUCGAUCAAUCGACCUAGUCGAUUACAAGCCAGACGGAUCAUUUCUAGGUCCUUCAUCCAACACCAAGCAAUUCCUUAGAUUUAGUGGCUUUACGGUCCCACCUGACCCUCUCAAGAACUAGUGGCUUUUCGGUCCCACCCGACCCUCUCGAGAACUAGUGGCUUUACGGUCCCACCCGACCCUCUCGAGAACUAGUGGCUUUUCGGUCCCACCCGACCCUCUCGAGAACUAAUGGCUUUACGGUCCCACCCGACCCUCUCGAGAACUAGUGGCUUUACGGUCCCACCCGACCCUCUCAAGAUGCCAUACUAUGUCACCGAGCCACGUGCAUUCUCCAGGAAGACAUACCGAGUCUCCGAGCCACGUGCAUUCUCUAAGGCUACCUUUUCGCCAAGAUGACAUAUCUAAUCACCGAGCCACGUGUCUUUCCCAAGUAACAUUCCAAUUCACUGGGCCACAUGCAUCCUCAAGGUGAUUUACCAACUCACUUUCGAUACUAACAACCGAUAUCUGACCAAUUCUCAAUAACAAGGCCAAAAUUGCAUUAUUUAAUAACAUACUUAGAAAUGCACCAUUAAAUCAAUUCGACACGAAUUAAAGCUCAAAUAAAUAAACGGACUGCUCCACGACAAUCAGUACGAAAUUCCAGUCACUGGCCAUCCCAGUUGAAUUUCCGGAAAAUAAAUAAUUAAAUAAUUAAUUUCGAAAAUUAAAUAAAUAAAUACAAUAAAUUCAAUUUAGCACAAUAUAAAGCUCAAUUAAAUAAAUGGACUGCGCCACGAUCAUCAGCAUAAAAUCCCGGUAACUAGCCAUCCCAGUUGAAUUUCCGAGAAAUAAAUAUUAAAUAAUUAAUUUCGAAAAUUAAUAUUUAAUUCCUAAAAAUACCACCUAGGCCCGAAUUGCUUAAUUAACACCCGAUAAGGGACGGGAAAAAUCCCAAGAAGCAUCCAAUAAAUACUACAUGCAAUUCUCUAUCUAAUUACACUAAUUACAUCACUAAUAUACAAAGCAAUUAACUAAUAAUCCCUAAUCCAUUCUAAUCUAACAACCUAAUUACACUUAAUUAACACUAAUCAACCGUUAAGUAUAAUUAGCACACCAAGAAGGCAUUAGUGAGUAAAACUCACACAAAACGACGGGCUCGACGCGAGGAUCAACUUUCCUCAAAGCGGGCCGAGCAUCCGGGCUCGGGAAGGCGGCCAAAACGGGCCAAAACCUCACUGCAAACCCAUUUCUACAAUCCUCUGAUCGCUGCUGGUCGGGGCAGAUUUGGGGCCGGUUGAGGCGGCCAAGGGCGGCUGAGGGCGAGGCGGAGCUCCGGCGAGGCUGACGGUGGCCGGAGGAGGUCAGGCGGUGGCCGGAGGCGGCUGAUCGGGACUUAACAGAGGCGGAACAGGGGUUGGGUCGCAUAGCGGGGACGGGAGGCGCGAGCGUGAGGCGGUGGAGCGCGCGGCGUUGCGCGGGCGGCGGUGCGGCAACUCCGGUGCGACGGCGUCCAAGCAGCUGGUCGCGGCUCCUUCCGACGACGCUGGAAGCUGCUUCUGCUUCUGCUAUUCGAUUCUGUUCGAACCAGAGGAGGAGAGGGGGCGGAGAUGCGCAGAUGGCAGCACGGCGGUGGGCUCGGGUUCGCGAGCAGCUCCGAUGCUUGUGGGCGUGCGACAACUUCAGGCGACAUACGACGCUACUGGUUGUCUCGGCGUCCUCCCAGAUCUGCGGGGCGUCGAGCAACCACCGAAGAAGAAGAAGAAGUAAUCGACGGUAGUAGAAGGGGGAAGAGGAAGGCGGAGGGCGGAGCAACGGCGAGAGCGAGGCAAAGCGGCGGCGGCGACUCCAGCUUCAGCUGCUGGCUGCAACGGCGAGCUGCUUCUGCUUCGCUGGUCUUUGGCUUCCAUGGUGUUGAGCAGCCGAAGAGGAAGAUGGGGGGGUGUUUUGGUCGACGGAGGAGAGAGGAGGAAGAAGAAAUCAAUUUCCCCUCUUCCUCUCACACACUCUCUCUCUUAGGUCAUCACACAUGGGCUACCAUGACAUCAUGUGAUGUCACCUUCCACUCACAAUUUCUUGUCAAUUCUACCCCUUCUAGAAGCCUUUAGAUAGGCCAAAAUGUGGGGGCAUGUGUGGCAUACGAAUUUGCUAGGUUUUCUUUCCAAUUGGGCCUUAAUUCCUCUUGAAUUAAACCAUUAAUUUAUGCAACACCUCAUCAUUCCAAUUGGUAUUUUUCCUUACCAAUGUAGCCCCACUUGCAUCCCAAUUUCACAAUCAUUGGCUUCAACCGAACAAAAGCGGCCCUAUUAUCCAGUCGAAUUUAGAAUUCGAAAAUCAGGAUGUCACACACGAGCCUCUUCAAGUUUGGCAUCUCAGCUGUUGCCGAUGCUUUCUCUGCAAAAUUGGUCUCAGGUAUGGAAUUUGAAGUUCCUCAGCUAAGUGAGCCACACCCAUUUCAGUCAUGUGAUAAAAUAAUUCCAUGACAACAAUAUGAUCAAAUGGGAUGUAAACUAAUCAGCAAAUUAUUGUGCUCCUCACCCCAGCUUGUUUCACAGAUGGGCAAAAAAUUGUCCAGUUAUGCAAAAGGUCAUCAAUACAGCUGAUUGAAUUUAUGUCCCAAAGUAAGCCUUGAUCAUUACAUAGACCAACCAAACCUGUAAUAGAAGCAACACCGGUUUACCUUGCUUGAUAAUAUUUCAAGACAACAUUUUGAUUACCGGUAAUUUUAAGAAAGGCAUACAUUCAUAUAUGACAGACUAGCCAAAACUACUUUAACAUUUCUUAAUCACCAACCAAAAAUACACCGAUUCUCGUUCAAGAAAAAGACCCUAUAUAAACUCCAUCCACACUAGAGACUCGGACAAACCUUUGAUCGAGAAUCUGCAUAAAACAACUCACUACUCCACUCCAGAACCCAGUACUU